This 102858-nucleotide long non-coding RNA is filed under the name Ananas comosus (pineapple). The record is from RNAcentral. Lineage: Eukaryota; Viridiplantae; Streptophyta; Magnoliopsida; Poales; Bromeliaceae.
UUCGGAGGUCCUGGCAGCUUCCAUUUUGUAAAACUAGUUCAUUUUUCGAAUGAAUGAAGCGGAAUAGCUCGUUAUCUAUUUCUCAAAAAAAUAUUGGACAAGCCCUUGCAAGAAAGUCUUAUUUUAUAUACAAUAUGCACUUCAAGGUGGUUAAUCGGUUAGGCACAUAAUCGUUAAGCAAGUUCACUGCACCUAUUCGACCAAUACUACUUUAUAUAGUAUUUGCUAAAGAUAAACUAAUAUUUAAGGUACACAUAUCAACUGUUCCUAGAGCAACGUGGCAAGAAGAGUUUGUGGUUCGGUACACCGAAAUUCAAUUUGAAUUUUUAAUUGAUUCAUAUAUUUCCAGCUAUAAUUUAUUUCUAAAUGAAAUAAAUGAAGCGGGAAGCUCUAUCUAUCUCUUCCAAAAAAAAAAAAAAAAAAAAAAAAAAAAAAAAGUUCAGCAUCUUGCUGUGAUUUUCGAACGCGUUGCUAAGCAUGUAAAAUUUUGCUAUAAUCGAUAGAGAGAAUGCAGCAAUUCUUUAAUAAAGUAUACAAAAAUAUUUACUACCAACAAAUUUAGCAGAUUCAGUAUGAGCCAAAAGAUAAAAAAAAUAUAAUUUUAAUAUCUAAAAAAUAAAAACACUAACAUAAACGUUGAUUCUGCCCAAAAAAAAAAAAAAAAAAAAAAAAAAAAAAAAAAAAAAAAAACUUCUCUCUUCGAAACAAAAGAACACACAUCAGAUCUGAAUAGAAAACUUCCGCACGCUGAUAGUUGAUGUUCAACAAAAUGGUCAUUUAUCAAAACAAAACCAUCCUGGAUCUAACUUUAUCUGAAAUAAAACAGAGAAAAAAACAAGGUGAAUAUUUUUAGUUGUGGGGCCCCAGUUUCCUUUCUACUGCCGGCAACUGGAAAAGAGAGUUUUACUCCCUGAAACCUCCUCAUUCUCACUUUCCCCAGAUCCGGUCUCCUUUGGAUAAACCAUUCCGUGCAUUAACCGAAGUCCACAUCCAUUGCCUUACUCAAACAAGCUACAGCAACACAUAACUCUCAAAAACAUAAAAUAAAGAAAAAAAAGAGAAAGAGUAUGUAUCGUCAACACAAUCGUAUACGACCAUUAUUUGUAAUCAACUCCUAUUUUGUUAUCCUAAAAAUCUAAGUUUCGAAAAAUCAAAUAAAAUAUAACAAAAAAAAAAAAGGAGAAAAUUAAUUUGGAAAGAAUAAGAGAGCUCUAAUGAAACAGUCGUGCGAGAAAAAUAUGCAUGGACGCUAUUCUCCAGACGAAGACGGCGGCGGAUUCUGGCCGAGACCGGGCCAAGUCUGCGCCGAAUAGCGGGACGCCCCAGUCCCCGGAGCUGCACUUCCGGGGGGGCGAAGGUAACCCAGUUGCUGCUCUGUUUCCCCUGUGCCGUAGAGAAGAGGAAACGACGAAGACGAAGAAGCAGCGGAGGUCGAAGCGGCGGCAGCGACACCCGAAGGGGACGCUAACACAGAGGGAGCCACAGAUACGGAGCCCCCGAGCAUGGUCGACGAGGACGACGAAGCCAUGUUUGAUUGAGAGUAGAUUACUUGGUCCAAAAGCGCUGUGGGAGAAAGCCUCUGGUACUCCCCUGCUCCUUGGAGAAGCCGAGAGUACUCCAAGUAGUCUCCGGAGGGGUCGUUUUGGGGUGCGUAAAUGGUGGGGAAGGGCUGGGACUCUAAGAGGGUGGCGGGGGGGAAGGAUUCGGGGUAGUGGAGCUGCGGCAGCGGCGCAGGGCGAGGGGGUCGGAGGCUGACGUUCUCCGGGAAGUUGAGCUUGGCCCUGCUGCCGCGGAACCGGAGGGCCGCUUCGUCGUAGGCGCGCGCCGCGCCCUCGGCGGUGUCGAAGGUGCCGAGCCACACGCGCGCCGCCUUGUGCGGGUCGCGUAUCUCCGCCGCCCACUUCCCCCACGGCCGCUGCCGCACCCCGCGGUAGCGCCGCCGCGACUGUCCCGCCUCAUUUUCGGUGCUCGCGGAAGGGGAGGAGGCCUCUGCUGUUGAUGCUAUAGCAGGAUGGAGAAGGGCAAGGCCUUGUUGUUGUGGUGCAAUUUGAUCUCUUCCUAUGAAUAUUAAAAAAAAAAAAAGAAUAAAAUGUCGUAUGGAAUCUAUUAAGGGAAAAAAAAGAAAAAAGCUUAAGAAUACUUUGUAAAUACAUAAGUGUUAUCUUUUAGUAUAAUUAUGUUGUCUUCGUGAAAAUUAUGAGAAGUGUUAAACUAGUUGAUUCAUAUUUUUGAAGAUAACUCUAUAAUUUUAAUACUAAUUUUAAUGCUCCUUAUGCACGAAAUAAAAUAUGUCUGUAUUUCGAUUAUUUGAGAUUAUAUAUUAAAAAUAUAUAUAUAUAAAGCUAAUAUUAAAUGGAGGAAGAUUUCAUGGGGACCGCGAUGACGUUGAUUUUGUCCUUUUUUUUUUUUUUUUUUUUUUUUUUUUUUUUUUUNCGCCAAAUUCGGCGCCGCGUUCCCACCGUCCUCCCCCGCGACGACCUGCGCCAGCGCCGACACCAUCACCGACAUUUCCCUCGCCUGCCCGAACUCCGAAAGCAUGUACGGCGAUCCCACGUGCGCCUGCUGGUGGUGGUGGUGGUGGUGGUGGUGCUGCUGCUGCUGCUGCUGCUGCUGCUGCGGAACCAAUUCUUCGUCUCCGGCCCCCUGCGCGCCGGCCCUCGGCUGCGGCGGCGCCGCUAGCUUCGCAAGCUCGUGAAAUUCUCGUGGGUCCGCCACUUUGAAACACACAAAUCAAGUGAUCACCCCAAUUGCUCUCUCUUCAAAGCUUCAUUGCCCUUUGAAUUCUCGUUCCUCAACUCCUAUAUAUAGUUAUGGAGACUUUACAAAGCAACCAAAAAAAAAAGUAAAAAAAAGGAAAGGGCUUGUAUUAAGCAAACGAGUUCCAACGUAUAUGUAUAUAUGCGCCCGCCGCCUUUUGCAUAGAGGGGUGCAUAUCCCUGCCUUCUCUUUUAUUUUUUUUUUUGUUUUUCUUUUCGGCAGAGUAUUAAAUGGGUUUUUAUCGACAUCGGUUUAUUUUGGAAAUUUUUUUUAAAAAAAAUAUGCUUAUUUGGGACAAGGGGUUUUUCUUUUUUUUUUUUCUGGUAACUAAAUUAAAAAGAUAAAAAAAAAAGAGCGGCGUUUGACUAAAACUUGGGGUUCACACAGGGGGAUUUGACCAACUGGGCUUUUCGUCGGUGAUGGAGGGAGGAGUCGGUGGCGAGUUGGACUCGAGAUAACGAUUUAUGCCGACAUCGACGUUAGGUUCGUGUUUGGGCUCGUAAUUUGGACCGGAUAUUGUUGGGCCUCUGUACAUGUAACAAUUUACAAAGAACCCUCAACUAUAGGACUUUUUUUUAAAAGGCCCCUUCAACCUAGUAACUUUUUUAUUAACAUCUUCAUAACUUUUGUAUUUUUUUUUUUUUUUUAAGAAUUGAGCGAUUUUGGCUGUAAUGUCAUCAUAUUGAAAUAAUUCUAUUAUUUUUAAUAAAUAAAACUAAAUUAAUUAGCAUAUAUUGCAGAUAGACUUAUCAAAUUUACCAAAAGUUUAUAUUUAGAUAAUAAGAACAAUUAAUAAAAGGUUAAGAGAUAAGGUGUCAAUUAUAUAUUUGGUGUUGAGAGGACUCUCCUUAUAUAUUUACCAAAUUAGAAAUUUUUUGGUGAAUUAUGUCAUUUGACCAUUCAAAGAGAAAAAUUCAUUUGGUCCUUGAAAUAUUAACAUGUUAAUGAAAAAGGUUAUCUAAUAAUCCAUGGUUUUUGAAGAGUUGCACAGAUGCAGAUGAAUCUCGUUUGGUGGAGCUACUAUCCUGAUCCGUUUAGAAUGGGGCAAUAAGUAAAAACCAAAAGUAUAAUCCAUUUGGAACCCGCUCUAAUUUGCCAAAAAAAUAAAGUAGAAGCUCUUUUCUUUUUCUUUUUUUUUUUUUGAUCUGUUAAAAUUUGCUUUCAUUUCGAUCUGUAUCAAAUAGAGCAGUAAAUAUGGGUCAAAUUAAAAAUUAAAAUUAAGUUGUCUCCAAUUUAUUCUGAUCCGACAAGAAAUGAGAUGGGAGAUCGAGAAUCCUCUAUCCCUGAAUCCGCACCGUUUGUAUUUCUAGUUCGACAUGACAGAUUGAUGUACGUGAUUCUCAUGUUGCAUUUGAAUUCCUUUUUAUUUCUAGUUCCACGUGAUUCUUUGUGUUUGUGUUUCUUAAUUAAAUUCUUUAAAUUAAUUUAGAAAAUUUGCGAUCUUAUUUUUCCAACAACCUCUUUAUUUUUUAUUUUUUGUUAUUAAAAAGUAGGAAUAAAGAGAAGAAGGAAAGAUAUAAGAUAUUAGACAGGAAUCAAAGUAAGGAGGAGAAGUGCGAAAACACAACAUAGUUUUUUAUUAGAAUCAGAGCAAUCAUGUCCCAAGAUACAAGGCAAGGCUAAUUAAAUUAAAGCCAAAAAUAUGAAAAGGUUGAAGACAUAUAUGAACAUAUAUUAAGUUAAAAAAAAAUAAAUAAAGUAUGUGGCUUGCUAUUUUUUCCUACAAUCACACGUUCAUAAUUCAAAUCAAACUUGGGUUUGAAAUUGUGGGUCCCUGCAAUGUAUAGUCAUCAUUAGGGGUGUAAACGAGCCGAACACGAGCGAGCUGGGGUCGACUUAUGUUCGGCUCGUUUAUUAAACGAGCCGAAUACGAGCUGGCUCGUUAAAGUAUCGAGCUGAAAAAUUCAACUCAUGUUUGGCUCGUUUAUUAACAAGCCGAACACGAGUUGGCUCACGAGCUUGCCAAUGAACAAUAAAUUAAAAAAAAUUAGAUUAAAUAUAUAUAAAAAAUAAAUUUAUAAAAUUUUAUCCAUUAGACUUUGAUCUAAUAGUUAAAACUUUACAUAUAAAUGAGUCUUUUUAUAAUUAAGCUCGUAUUUAUAUUUUUAUUUUGCUAAAAUUUAAAUAAUAAAAAUAUAUAUUAUAUAUAAUUAUUUAUUUAUAUAUAAAAAUAUAAAUUAAAUAAAUUAUAUAAAUAUAAAAUAUAUGUUUUCGAGCUUUUAUCGAAUCGAACGCGAGCGAGUUGAUCCCAGCUCGUGUUCGGCUCGUUUAUUAAACGAGCUGAAAAAUCCAGCUCGUGUUCGGCUCGUUUACUAAACGAGCGAGCCGAUCUCAAGCUCAUUUCGAGCCGAACACGAGCUGGCUUGCGAACAGUGAGCUAUAUUGCCACCCCUAGUCUCAAAUAAGUAAAAUCAGAAGCUCCAAACAGGUGAUUCCGGGUGUUUCCGCCGGUCCCAUGCCUCCAGAAACCAAACAAGCCUUUCCAAACCUUUCCAACUACAAUCAAUCAAAAAGUGAAUAGCAUAUAAGGAGAUGAUCAACCUCUAAAUAACUAGCAACGCGUUGCAGAGUACAACAUGAAAAACCUGAACUAUUACAGAAAAAAAAGGAAAAACUUCAGAUACCACCCCUGUGAUUUCCAUUAUUUUUUUUUAUUAUCCAUUUUACUAAUUUUUUUUUCGUUAAAUCAGUGACAAAAUUAAAACUAAAGAGUAUUAAAGUGAAUAUUCGAUAAAUCUAGAUAAGGUAUCUGAAGUUUUUUAUAUAUAAUUUAACGAAAUAUUAACGGAGGAGCUGACGAAAAGAGAAAAAUGAAAUUACGGGAUACUAACUUGAUACACUUUAAACCACAGUACUAAAGUGAAAAAGUGCGAAACCACAUGGGUGGUAUUUGAAGUUUACCCCAAAGAAAAAAAGAACUCACUGCAGAGAGAAGUUGCCAAGUAGCACGGAAUUGUCAACUAACCAAGUUGAUGUUGCUGCUAGUAAGUUCCAAACAUUAAACUGUAUUAAAAAUAUCAAGUUUGCCCAAUUUGUUUAACAUAAAUAUAACAGCAAAAUUGCACUUAAAUCAUCAGAUGAUAUCAUGUUCAUCUCGAGUCUGCGGCGGCUUGAAUAAAAUUUACUUUCAUCAACUGUGGGUGCAAAUAGUUCUCUACACGAGCAAGAAAAAUCCUCAUUCAUCUCCCAAGCACCUUGGUAAAUGUUAUUACUACUUUCAAUCACGUUGUAGAGAUCAUCAGCAAGUAAUUCUCAAAGAUUCAAAGAACUCGAACUUCUUUGAGCACACCACAAUUGGACAUGUUUGGUUGAUCAUUACUGUAAAUGUUUAAGCUGCAGCAGCAAUAGUUUCCGACUUAUCAAUUCCUUCAAUAUUCGUGAUUCUCAACUUAGUCAAUUCCUGGCAACAAGUCAUGAGGAGGUAAGAUGAGAACUAUUUGCUUUCUUUGGUUAGUUAAAAAAUAGCAAUAACAUAAUUGCAAAGGUUAGUUACCUGACGAUGGCCCUUGGUUCGACGGUAGUUCUUUCUCCUUUUCUUCUUGAAUAUGAUUACUUUCGCAUCUAAAGCCUAGAGAAUCGUUUAAAUCGUCAUUAGAUAAAAAGUUGAGAAUAGGAAAAGGACUAAACUGCCAUUUAAGAAAAAUGGAGGGACUCCCAGAUAUAAUCUAAUAUUGAACAUUUAGGAUCUAAUAACAAUUUACAAAUCAGAUUAACUGAAUUUUUUUCUUUUUCUCCCGAGUAUGUCAUAGGCAUUUUAUUUCUCUUUUUUCCAGUUUAUCUGAUUAGAUAGGACAAUUCCAAUCAUGCCCCUCACCUACACUGAUAUUAACUUGUUCAGCAAAACAAUAUUAAAGAAAGGGUGAUCAAGGUCGUCUAGCAAAGCAACUACCACCAACUACAUUCACAAAUGGUAAUUCCUAUGCAAUUUAUGUAAGACACAAAUCAAGGUCAUCUAGGAAAUAAAUUAGAGAAAGCUGAUAUCAUAGAAAUAUCACUUUACGUACAAAAACAGCAUACAGAUAAAGCAUGCAACCAGGAGAAACAUGAUAAUGCUAGUGUAAUGUUUUCUUACAUGCUCUUCAACAACAGCAUGGACAGCAGCAUCAGGUAAUAUUGGUCUGCCAAUAAUCGUUUGAGUUCUCGAACCAAGCAUAAGAACUUUUGUUAAAACUAACUGCAGAAAAAAGGUUAGAUUUUAGUUACCAUAAUGAAUAUCAGCAUAACAGAAUAAAGGAGUGAUGCAACAAGAUGCAAAAUUAAACAAGUGUAGGAAAAUAGAGGCAAUCAAUGCAUAAGAAUGAUAUAGGGGGGAAAAAAAAUCAAGGAACUAUUCAUGAUAGGAAAGGAUAACAAAUAUGAAAGAUUUACAAGCAGGCUCAAAUAACCAAUGCUUGUGACUCAGGAACAGCACACCCAUGCACUAAUUACCAAGAGUGCUCUACAACAAGCAAGAAACCACCUGGAGAGACCUAGAAUAUAAAUGCACUAUCAACAGUGAUAGCAAGAAUGUUGCGAUGUUAAUUAUGCUUCCUGCCUGCUGUUUGCAACCUUGAAAUUUAUAAAAAUAUGGAAUGAAUUCAGAGGCAAGGUCUUAUUGGUUGCUGUUUCACGAGUAAUUUUAACCAACUAGAUUGAGAUGGUUGAAAAUCCUGGUUCUUUAAAUGGAGGACCAAUAUGUUCAAGUAGAAGAGUCAGACCGCACAGUGAAUUUUUUGGUCAAGAACUUUGUAGAGCAAACCCUUCAAAAUCAAAGAUUCCAUAGCAUACCCAAGUGAGCACCACAGAUCGAAACAAAGAAACAUACAGUGAAGUUCUUCCACAAAAUUAAAGAAAAUAAUGUUGAAAGUUGCCUCCUAAUGCUAGCAUGUUUUGAAAAUCUCCCUAAUCCAUAGAAUCACAAAUAAAAAGCAGAAGAUUGACACAACUGAGCGCUCCGAUUACGUCCAAAAGGAUUCAUGAAACUUGGAUUAAAUCCAGUUUCUUCAAGUUGGAAAAAGCUGGCUACUGAAGAGUUAAUCAGUUGUACUCUUCAGACAACUGGAGAGAUCAUGGAAAAAUAAAGCCAGCAAUCUGACCUUCUUAGAUUCUUAGACCUAGUUGGAUAAUGUGGUGGCUAAAAGCACCGUUUUUAUACUAUAAAAGAACUAAAAAAACUAAAAGUGCUUUCAAUCUCCUCUUUUUUUAUACUAUAAAAUUGCAUUUACAACUGCCAGCGGAGAAGCAUGUUAUCCAGUAGCGGUUGCAAUAGCAAUUUUAUAGUAUAAAAAAAAAUUUGAAGGCACUUUUAAAAUUUUGAGCCUUUUAUAAUAUAAAAAUUGUGCUUUUAGCCACCUUAUCACCAAAUUAGGCCUUAGACUUCAGAUGUUGACCAAUUUUAACAUUUCAAUAUGGCCUUGUGCGAUCAGUGUCAAGAAAUGUGUAGAAGCAUGUUACCCGGUAGCGGUUGCAAUAGCAAUUUUAUAGUAUAAAAAAAAUUUUGAAGGCACUUUGAAAAUUUUGAGCCUUUUAUAAUAUAAAAAUUGUGCUUUUAGCCACCUUAUCACCAAAUUAGGCCUUAGACUUCAGAUGUUGACCAAUUUUAACAUUUCAAUAUGGCCUUGUGCGAUCAGUGUCAAGAAAUGUGUAGAAGCAUGUUACCCGGUAGCGGUUGCAAUAGCAAUUUUAUAGUAUAAAAAAAAUUUUGAAGGCACUUUGAAAAUUUUGAGCCUUUUAUAAUAUAAAAAUUGUGCUUUUAGCCACCUUAUCACCAAAUUAGGCCUUAGACUUCAGAUGUUGACCAAUUUUAACAUAUCAAUAUGGCCUUGUGCGAUCAGUGUCAAGAAAUGUGUAGAAACGUGCAGCAUGAUAACAUUCACAAGCUACAAAGAAAACUUCAAGAUGUCUUUGACAGAACAACCAAUAAAGUGAAUGGUUGGAUCGGCACUUGACGAGGGAUAUUCAGAAGAAGAUUACCAAGUAUAUUGUCCUAUUAUAUAAAAAUCCAUAUAGUUUCAAGCUAAAAAAGAAAGGCUUUGUAACCCCUUAUGUAAUUAAACUUACGUUUUCUCCAAUUUAGAAAAUUAGUUAACAUGUGUUCUCUUAGAAACAACAAUCUGAAGCCUAUUAUGUUUCAAGCUAAGCAUCGCACUAUGCAGGCCCAACAAGCAACCAAUUCCAGGGAGGCAGUUGCCCAACAGUGUUCACAGAGCAUAAUUUAAGGAUCAGAACUUGGCAUUGAUCAGCAAAAUGCGGUCCAGCGAUAAUAGCUCUACUUCUCUUUAUCUGUACUUACAAGGUCAACCUAUCAAAGUAUAUGGAAGCACUAGCAUACACAGUUCAUAGAUCAUACAAUAUAUUAAGCAGACAUUGUAUUUCGCUUCCUAUAACUACAGUUCCAAGAAGACCAGAACUAAUGUUAAAUCAGAUAACAUUACUCCCCAGGGGCGGAGGGAAGGUGACGCUUGCAGGGGCCAUAGCCCGCAACCCUCCCCCCCUCCCAACUUUGUUUUAUAUCAUCUUUUUAUUUUCAAUAUAUAUAUAUAUAUAUAUAUAUAUAUAUAUAUAUAUAUAGAGAGAGAGAGAGAGAGAGAGAGAGAGAGAGAGAGAGAUAGGCUGGUAUACUAUCGGUAGCACGGAGGCCUCCGUGCUACCGAGUUGUUUUCAAUGAUGUGGCUUCCAAAUCGACGAUCGGCUUAGUUAGACUUGAUUUACACUAUUAAAAGUAUUUAGAAAUUAAAUUUUAUAAUUUUUCGGCAUCAUUUAUCUAUUAAAUGAGUAGUCUAAAAAUAAACUGCAGAAAAUAAAAAUCUCAUAAAAAAUUGAUGAUAAAGGACUUGAAUUUAAGAUCAGAGAUACUAAUCUUACUCUAAAUAGUGAAAAAAAUUUCUAUAAAAAUUUCAUCAAAUUUGGAUUGUUUUACACUAUUAAAUUCACAAACGUAUUAAAUCUACCGUUAAAAUUGUCAAUUUUGAGACAUUUUGAUCACUUGCCAAAUGAUGUCGAAAAAUUAUAAAAUUUAAUUUUCAAAUACUUUCAAUAGUGUAGAUCAAGUCUAACGGAGCCGAUCGUUGAUAUGGAAGCAGCAUCAUUGAAAACAACCUGGUAGCAUGGAGGCCUCUGUGCUACCGAUAGUAUACCAGCCUAGCUCUCUCUCUCUCUCUCUCUCUGUAAGGACUGAGAUUUUUACAGUGCAACUAAAUUCUCUGUUGAUGAUGUUUAUGUGUGUAAUUUAAUUACAUAAACAUUCGUCAAGUUUCAGGAGAAAAUGAGCUAAAAUGGAGAAGUUAAGCGAUUAUUAGUUUUCACUUAAGUGAAUAGUAACUCCGAUUUUCCGGAGAAGCCACGGAGUAGAGUUGGCUUUCGGCGCUUAUCGGACUCCGUUCAUAGCAAUCCAAUAGCUCGUUUUGAACAGUUCAGCUAUUCUGGAACCAAUGGCACUGACGGAUUUUAGAUCUGAUGCACGGUUUUCGAGAAAAAUCUGAAAAUACAUGUUUCUUUUGUAAUUGUGCAUCAUUUUGGCCUUUUGGAGAGAGAGUGGGUUUCGUCGUGAAUCGGAGAUCAAAUCGGACGAAACGAAAUGCUAGAUUCAAUGCCCUCGUCGUGCUGAACGCGAUGGUGCAAUCCGUUCAGAAAUCCGAUGAACGGAUUGUCGGAUAUUGCUUGAAGUUCGCUAAGGGGUCGAGAGUGGAAAAUCGGGAUAUUCGCAAAAGUCGUAAUAUUUUAUGUACCGAAUCGCACAAGAUCAGACGUGGAGGUGCAUAAGUGUUAAAUACUCGCACUGUGAAGGACUGAUUUUCUAAUAAUCAGUUUAGAGGGACUUGUGUGCAAGUUGACAAUCAUGUAUGGUUUUUUCUAGGGUUUCAUCAUGGAAAACCCUAACUUUGGUUCACCUUCUCUCUCAGCCGACCUCCCUGCGACACCUCUGCACAUUUGCCCUAGCCGUGCACGCACCACGGCCGCCGGCAGGUGCUCCGGCCGCCGAAAAACCCCUCCUCCAUCACCUUCUUCGCCUAUUCUCCACCCUCCUCGGCUUUCUGUCCUCAGGAAGUCACCCUUUGGGUCGGGCCUGCAGUCUCUGGCAGAGGCUUCCCCUCCGGCGACAUCCCCGCCGGCCCCGCCGUCCACGCGCGUCGCCGGCGCCGCCAUGACGCGCUACAGCCGCCCAGACCCGGAGCGGGCCGAGCCGGGGCGACCUCUGCCUCCAAGGACCGCCGCCGCCAGGGACCUCAUGGGCGACCUCCCUGGUGACCGCUGCCACCUCCGCGUCCGGCCCGAGUGGCCGCCGCCGCCGCUCCUACUGUUUGCGGUCAGCCCGAGCGAGAUCUGGCCGUGGGUGGCCAAAUCUCUCUCCCCCGGGUCGCCGCUGUCCAGGAUCGGCCGGGCCGCCUCCCACCGGCCUCCGACGACCGCUCUCCGUCGCCCAGAGCUCCCCCAUCCGUCCUCGUGGCGGCCCGCCGCCGCUCCUUCUUCCUGCGGCCGCGCAGGGUCUGUGCAGGCCGAGCCACACCCAGCACCGCCGCCGCCGCCUUCCGCCGCCAGCCGGCGUGAGCAUCGGCUCCGCCUGGCCGGCCGCACCCGUUCGCCGUCGGCUACCCCGCCGCCGGAGCUCCCUAUUGGACGCACUUGGCUUGUGCUCUUCUCGGGUUGGGUGUCUAGGGCAUCAGUGCCCGUCGUCGCCGCCACCUCCCGACGCCUGACGACGCGCGCCCCAGCCUUCCUUCGUCGUCAUAAACCUCUCGCAGCCGGCGCGCCCGCAGUCCGGCCGGCGCCGGCCAACCUUGCUCCACCAAGCUCCGGUAAGUUUAGUUUGAAGUUUCCUGUGCACUGUUUGACUUUUCGAUCACUUGUUCGGUGAUUCUAGGGCACCCCGAUGACCUUGGAAGUGAGCACGAUCAUCGUUACUUCGUGCUGAACAUCGUGCUCACCUCCGGCAGGGGCAGAGAUGCCCUGGUCUGUGUAUUAAUUGCAUUCUUAGCGCUGUGCGCGCUGUUUUACAGAUUUUCUUGUCGCUUGUGCGCGCGCCACAUUGGCCGGCAGUGCUCUGAAAGGUGAGCACGGCCUUCGGCAUGCCGAAACCUGUCAGCGGGUAUCUCGACUCGGCUGAUUGACCUCUGGUUUGCGUAGAGGGACCAUAAAAGCCCGAAAAACACAUGAAAUAACGUGAUUUCUUGGAAUCGGGAGGGCUUUUAUGCAAUUUGAUUUGUCGUGGCUACUGUUGGCAGCAUGUGUGAGCAGAGGAUAACCUCUGGACUGAUUGUCCAAGGCCCCAGACCUUGUGGAGAUCGGAAAUGCAUUUCCGGUGUGUUUGUCGGCAGAAUCCGCCGACGGAACACGGUUUUAGUUCGGAAUUCUUCCGACGGUGCCUCGUGAGCAUUUGUUGAGUCGCUGAGCCUUGUUGGCUGGCCACUCAUGUCAUUUCGAGGGUUCAGAAAUGACAGGUGAGCGACGGUGGGUUCCGGUGUCGAAAUAGACACUUUCGGUAAUCCAGAUCCGAACGAUUAUCCGACGAUAAUUGUUUGGAGGCGAGAUUUUGUGUUUUGCUGCCAAGACAUCUUAUUUGAUGCGUUUUGUGGCAGCGGGUGACUCGUAGCAUGAGUCGGUGCGUUGCGGGACAUUUCAGUGGUCCCGACGGAGUCCUAGUGCGAUUUCGGGACUUCCGGCGAGUUACGGUAGUCGGUUUUGGGAAACUGAUCUCCGUGGGUUUGUUAGUGCGAUUAUGAUUUAGUAUUUAUUAGUUGUGGGUUAGACACUAACCCGGUGGACCCUCCUUAGGUCCGGUUGAUGUUCUUUUGCAGUCAGGAGACAGGCGCGACAGUUGUACAGGUGGGUACUUCGAUCCGACGUCGGUACAGUGGUGCACGUUCGGUGAUGGUUUCUUACUCUUGCCCUCUUACUAUUAUCUAUGUGCUUAUACAUAUUCAGCCUUGCACCCAUAUUAUUUUCGUAUUUACUCUACUCGGUUGUUUUCAUAUUUAGUAUCUUGUGUAGGAGUAGAGUAGAUUUCAUCAGCAUAUCCUAUAUCUGUGACAUGAUUGGUCGAGUUCAUAUCCUAUACUUGUGACAUGAUUGGUCGAGUUUCAUAUCUUAUAUCUGUGACAUGAUUGGUCGAGUUCAUAUCCUAUAUCUGUGACAUGAUUGGUCGAGUUCAUACCCUAUACUUGUGACAUGAUUGGUCGAAUUUCAUACUCUGUACUUGUGACCUGGUUGGCUGAUUUGGUUACAUGAUGACCCAUGCGGUCGAUGGGCCCUAGGGGGGCAGGAUUGUCGGCUGGUUGCCGACGGUUGAUUAUUGAGCAUAUUGCAUUGAUCGCCCGAUACUUGUCGCAUUUCACGAACACUGGCGGUCUGAUCCACCGCAAGGAGUGUUCUUUUCCGGAAAAGUGGUUGAAUGGUGACAACCCGUGAGCCCUAGAGGGGUUAUAUGCACUGGAGAGUAGUAGUGGCACUGGCUUGAGGUCUGCGGUGCUGACCAAGAGAGCAUUGGUUUCAGAUUGGGUACUUUUGGACUUCUUGACUGGUUGACGCAUAUGUCUACAGUAGCAGUCGUUGCAUGCAUACUUACAAUUCUUACUUUACAGUUGUCUUGCUGCUAUAGUAGAUAUUCAUGUAUGCUUUCGGUUCCAGUUACAGUAGCAGUAGCCGCUAUUCAGUCUAGUUCUUACUUUCUUUUAGUUUAUUGCUACUGUAUUUAGUAUAUCUGCUCAUUACCCUAUACAUCUCUUUUGUUUACUAUUGUUCCUAUUGUUGUCACGCCCCGGGACCCAGCGGAAGCCCGCCCGGCACGUGCCCAGACCCGCCAUGCGUCUAAAACGCAUAAGGCGUCUAACAACAACAAUAAUAAAAGCAAUAGUACAAGACAUCUAGGAGUAUCAGAGCAAUAUCAAUGUCUAAAAGCUAUAACAAGGGAUAAAGUUAAAACUGUAAAUCCACUAAAUAAAACAUAAGGUAAAUACAACAGGAAUCCCAUAACAAGUGCUAAAAGGAGUACAAGGUGGUCUCUCUAUACAAGGUACAAAAUCUCUCCCUCUCUCACAAAAUAUGAAAUAGAGGAGUAACCACCUAUCGCAAAAGAACUCUCCGCGAGCUAGCUACGCGACACCCUUGCCGCGAUCCCGNNUAGUUUUUUUAAUCCUCGAAAAAGGAAAGAUGUAAUUACUACGCUGGAUGUAACUUAAAAGGAAAGUUGAUAGUUAACAAAGUUCAUUAGCAAAUUAAUAAUUCAAAACCAAGUGAUCGAUUAUGCAUGAGUAGUUUAGAUCAAGUUGUUGACCAGUUCUUGAACUCACCAAAACACUAACACCAAUACUCUAAUCACGUACCGUCUUAUUAAAUGCAAUUCUCUGGUUGUUUUAACUUUAUUUCCUUCGUAUAUCUCCCUUCUUUUUUCAUAAAACGUAAUCUCAAAUUAUUACUAAGAGUUAACAUAUUGUUUUCAUCCCGGGAUCGAUAUCCCACUCUCUAUUUAUAAGGUUGAUACUAGCUUAUAAAUAAGAAUAACUUUUACCGUAUCGUAACACACUAGUGUUUCGUUGUACCGCUUCUCUUUAGCACGUGUUUUAAUUCAUCCACUUCAUCUUAUUAAUUAUAACGAUACGCAGAGGCUAUUCAACUUCUCACGUUUAAUUUCGAGAUGGUUAGCUGUUUUUAUGAAGUGUGAUAUGCAUUGUUGCCAAACUCUUUUUCUAGAUGGAAUGGCCAUCAGAUAAUCAUGCUCUUUUGUAAAGCUUAAAGCAAUUUGAACACACGUUUAUUUAUUUAAUAAAAUAAAAUAGCAGCUGUGGAAAAGAAAAGCAUCUAAUUAAGUGCUUUUUAAACUGAAAAUGUAGUUAAAAAGUAAGAAUCAUGGGUGGUGUAGGGACCAUUAUACAUCUGAGGUAUUCAAAGCUUAACUAAUACUCCUUCAGGAGAAGCGGUUAGGUGGGGGACAGGAGAAAGUAGUUGACGUGGCCCUUUUUUGGGCCUCGCAAUGCGUGCUAUAUACCUAACGAAUGUGAGAUGAUCGUGACAAAUUGCUCGUCCAAAAAAUAAAGUACAGAAUAAUUUACAUAAAGUAUAAUUGAUAGAUCAAUUUUAUAUUAUUUUUAUCAAAUAUUUUAGCAUUUUAACGGACCUUAGGAGUAAUAAUGAAUUUGAUUAUUGAUAUCCGAGAUUUCAAGUUCAAAUCUUUAAUUAAUUUAUAUUUUCAACUAAAUUUAUUUUUAAAUGAAAUAAGCGAAACGGGUACCAUGCUAUCUAUUUCUGAAAAAAAUUUAAAAUUUUUUUUUAGCAUUUUAAGUUACAAAAUUUUACUAAGAAAACAGCACAAAAUGAGAUCAACAAGUAAAAUAAUUUUUUACUUUUUAUUUUUAUUAAUUAUAAAUUAAAUUCUGCUACUAUACUAUCGAUAGAACUAACCACUUAAUAUUAUUGAGUUUUCUGUCAUUAGAUCUAUUUUUUAACCAUCUCCACCCGAUAGAUCAUACAACUACCCAUUCAAUCUUAAAAAAUCACUAUUAUCCUAAUUGCACAUCCCUUCAUCUAAGAGCCGAAAACCUAAUAGCACUAACUGCUUGACUAUUAAUAGUAUAGUGGUGGUAGUAUAGCGGCUUAAUUCAUUAUAAAUUUAUGUUGCUUUGUUCAUGAAUAAUAGUUGUUUUGAGUUAAUAUGAUAUGCAAAAAAUAUAUUUAGUAUAUUAAUUAUCUUUAAUUAAUCGUAUUUGUUUAUUAUUGUUGUUUGUGAAAAGUAAUUAGUUUUUUUAUUGGUAAUUAGCAUAUGAUUAAUUUUAUGUGGUUUGAAAGAAACUAAUUUAUUUAUGAAUAAUAUUUGCUAAUAACUACAUGAGAAAAAGAAAAUAUUAGACGAAGAAUAAAAAAUACAUUGAGAAUAAUUAUAAAAAUAAUAAUGAUAUAUUUUUCUGUGAUUUCACAUUAUUAAUAAUUACUAUACUUUUUUACUUCUCAAUAAUUUUUAUUAUUAAAUAUUUUAACCCAUUAUGAAAAGUUUCUAAAACCGCUACAGAGAUAACCCUCUUAGAUUUUUAACAUUAAAUUAAUGUAAAAUCUGAUUACCAAAUUUGAUAAAACUAAUAUAAUUAUUAAAUGGCUAAAUUACAGAAAAUUUUCCUAUCAAAAUCUAAUCUUUCACUUUCCUCCCCUGUCAUUUAAAAACCUACACUUUGCCCCCUUGUAAAAUGAAAAAUAUUCACAGGGGAUUACGGUGUGAACUGUGAUGAAAAAAUGAUCAUUUUGCCCUUCACCAUUUUGCCCCUCACCAUGUUCACAGGAGAGAAGACUGAGGGUAUUUUUGGCAUAAAAAAAUAUAAUAAUAUUUUAUAAAUGGAAUCCUAACAGAUUACUAACGGCAGAGGGCGAAGUGAACAUUUUUUUUAUUUUAUAAGGAGGCAAAGUGUAGGUUUUUAAAUAAUAUAGGAUAAAAAAAAAAAUCGAAUUUUGACAGGGAGGUUUUAUGUAAUUUAGCCUUAUUAAAUUGGAUAAAUUUUUUUAACUAAACUAAAGAUAGAAAUCAAAUAAAAAAAAUCAAAUAGCUAAAGAAUCUAAAAAGUUAAGGAACCGAUUUCAAAUUCACUAAUAGUUGACGGGGUCUCCAUGCAUUUUAACCCAGCACCUUAUGAUGAUAGUUUCACACAAUGCCGGGUGAUGAUGCCUGCAAAAUUACUUGUUUUGAGAGACAGGUAGCAUGUCACUUGCUUCGUUUAUUUUAUUUAGAAAUAAAUUUAGCUGGAAAUGUGAAUCAACUAAAAUUCGAACUUGAAAUCUCGGAUAUCAAUCAUCGAGCCUUUUGCCACUUGCGCUAGGGACAGUCGGUAUGCCUGCAAAAUUGUUGUUCCAAAAAUUCUAACGAAUCGAAUAGCAUAUUCAGCUAUCCUGCUUUGGUAUGUAUCACAAGUGUUUUAGAUUUUAUAUAUAUUAAGCUUGGAUUAACCUACAUUAAAAAUGAAAAUUGUUCUACUUGCGGCUAAACCUUUCAUCUCCACUUCUGGUUUGAGCAUUUUACUUCAAUUGUACACCCAACUCUUCAAGCUCAGGAAGUUCGUGAAUAGAAAAGGAAUCGAAAUCUUUUUCAAAAUCCUAGUUGUGGUCGUAAAAUCAUAAUUAAUUAUUAUCACUCAUUAUUGACCGUAUCUAGUGCAGUAGAUUAGGAAUUUAAUAGCAGACACUUAAGAUUUUAAGUUCAAUAAACAAAACAUAUAGCUUGUUAUGUUUCUUUCUCUCUCCCUCUAAAAGAAACAAACUAUUUUCACUCAUUCAAUGAAUUACUUUUCCUAGGAACCUUCCAGAAAUGCUUUUUAUGCCCAUAAAAAAGAUAUAAAAAAAAUCUGUCUUGUAGAUAUAUAACUUGUCCGAUUUUGAAACCUUAUCUAUAUCAAAAUGAAGGAUAUCAAAAUGAAGGAGAACAAGAGGGUUGACCCAAAUUCUAAAGCUUUAAAUUAAGCUUAAUUAAGAAAAGUAAAGUCUUUCUUAUAUAUUAUUUGAAGCUUCGCAUGCGCACUCAGUGAUCUCAUCGAAACUAUAUAUAUAUAUGUAUAUAUAUAUAUAAAUGAAACUUGAUCAUGGGAGUGAAUUAUCGUGCGUGUCGUUGACCAAUAACUCUCAAACAGGUGGGUGAAUCUUAGUUUUGACCCACCGUACGUACAUAUAUUUAUAAAUUUAAUAUAAAACUUGUUACAACACGUGCGUGGCAAUGAAACACACGAUUGGCACACAAAUUUUGUAGCACAAGUUUUGACAUCGCUUGUAUGUAUACGCAAGCAUGCCACAUUGAGGCAAUGAAAGAACACAAAACAUGCUAGAAUAUGCUUCCAGGUUUGGUGAUGGAGGAGAACGAAAGUUAAGAGCAUUGUGUUAGAAGUGUGUAUACAACUAUAGCACAAUAUAUGAGAGAAACUAAUUAGGUGGGAAAUGAUCGCAAAUUUUGACCCGUCACACUUUAUGCAUUUCACUUUUGUGUACUUGCGUGGUGGAGAUUAGAUGAAUCAUAUAAUUUGUACUAAUAGAAAAAUCAUGGGAAGAGAAUACCUUGGAGCUAAGAGUGAUUAAUUUUAACUCUUAUACGGCAUGCUAUUAAAAAAAUUUCAUCAUUUUUUCUUUUUACAAAUAAUCGUAACUUGGGUUGAAGAUGUUGCUUUCCUCUCGUUUAUAGCAAGCCUUAAGGGUGCGUUUGGUUCGAGUUAUCCUGACAGGAUUACAGGCAAUCCUGCUAGGAUAACUGUGUUUGGUUAAUCCGAUAUGUAAUCUAGUCGUUAAUAUAGCAUUACAAAUCGAGCAGGAUUACAUCAAAAAUAUUAACGGGAGGGGGGUCGUGUAUCUUGCAUUACUGAAACCCGUUAAUAAUACAUAUUAUGUAAAAUAAUAAUUUUACCCUCCAACAACCUCAAAUCUAAUUAACAGCAUUAUUUUCAUCUCUCUCUCGCCUUCCCCCCUCUCUCUCGCACGCCGCUUUCUCUCGCUCUCUCUCUCUCGACGUCUCUCUCUCUCUCUCUCUCUUUCUCUCUCUCUCUCUCUCUCUCUCGCACGAACACCUAUCAUCUUCUAUUGCGUCGUCCUCCCAAGUAUUCAUCACGAUCUCCUUCCCUUCAUUCGUCAUUUUCGAAAAAAAUAAUAUUCAAAUGACCACAACAAGGACAAUUUUGAAAAAAAUUAUAUUUUUAUGUCAGAAUUACUAAAUUUUAUAAACUGAACCACAACGUAUUAAUGCUAUAAACACUGUAAUCUAGUAUUAUAUUACUGCAUUAAACCAAACGCGCUAAUACAGCAUCAGUAGUAAUCUCACGCCGAAAUUCAAAAUAUCUGGAUAUGUCGAGAUACUUUGUAAUAUUACAUAACUCGAACCAAACGGGCCCUAACAAGUUUCCCACAGGAAUUAAUUAUAAGUUUUGACCCCUGUACUUCUGUUGCGUUAAAAAAAAUAUACAUCCUUUUACGAAUACCCAUUAAACCCCUAACAAUCAAACCUAUGAUGCAUAAACACAGUUAUAUAUCCAUGAACCCUUAUAUACUCAAUUAUAACUAUACUCUAUCUUGUUGAAACAAGUCGAUUCCGACUCACUGGCACUAAUAAUUUGAUGGGCCCAACAACUGACCCAAAAUAUUUAAACCCAAUUAUUAUUAGUAGGAUCUAUAAUUUUUUUAUAUUUUUAAUCACAAUUUCUUCCAAUGUGGGAAUAUUUGAAGUAUUACAAGAAGUGUUUACUCAGAAGAUAUAGCUUUAUUCUGUUCUGCAGGUGGCAAUUCAAAAUGUCAAAUUUGUUGAAUUAUUGUGCCUAGACAGGAGCGAAAAAAAUUCAGUAAAGGCAUGAAGCUUUAAAUUCAACAGUGAACGAAAAAAUUCAAUUCAAAUUGGAUCCACUUGCAUAUGUUGCACGUGGAGCUCAAAGAGUGGAAAUCUAAGCUUAAUUAGAUUGAGUGUCCAAGUCCUAAGUACCAAAAACAGUGAUGAACUUAAAAAGUCACAAGCUAACUCCAAAUUGAACCAAAUUAUAGCAUCUAGUGAGACUUUUGAUGUGAAUAAAAGUCGGUGUUAAAGUUUGAGCAAUAAAAUCAAAAGAGAGAAAUUAUAAGAUAAAUUAUUUAGUCGCAAAUUUUAUCAAAAAGUUCAAGUAAUUAAGAGUUUGAAGCUAAAUUACAGUCGAGUGGUGCCAGAAGCGCCAUAAAAGUCAAAAUAAAAAACCCUCACAAUCCUACCUUACAAUGUCAAACCGUAUUGUAGCUUCAUGAAUUUUUUAUUCUUAAAUACGGAAUCAACUAGUUGACCUAAUCAUAGCUUUCCAUGUACAAGCACCCUGUAAUUAACUGCUUUUCGCAUUUGAGUACAAAAGGCCGAGAAGAUAGAGAACACGUACAAUUAGGAUAUUUAAACCAUGAGAACAACUACAACCAUACUUGUAGUUUCGCAUUUUUUCAUUUUAAUGCUCUAUGGCUUAAAGUGUAUAAAUAAGUGUUCUCUGAUUAUUUUAUUUUUAUAUUUUCGUCAACUUUUUCGUUAAUAUUUUAUUAAAUUAUAUGUAAAAAAUUUCGGAUACCCCAUCUAGGUUUAUCGAAUAUUCACUUUAGUACCCUUUAAUUUUAACUUUCUAUCUGAUUUAACGAAAAAAAUUAGUGAAAUCGAUAAUAAAAAGAUAAAGAUAAAACCACAUAAUACUAAAUUAAUAUAUUUGAAAUUAUAGAAUAGUAAAGUGAGAAAGUAUGAAACCACAUGUGUGGUAUUUAAAGUUUUUUCAAAAGUAAAUGCAGAGAGAAAAAAGAAAUAGAUUUUUUUGGUCUCUUAUCGCAAUCAACAUAUGAAGCGCAAUUCAUACUGAUUCUUGAGUUCUCAAAAAAAGGUCAAAAUAAGACACCGAAUUAUCAGGCACUCUUAUUGCAGCUGUGAUACCUUUGAUGGUUCAAAGUUUUCACAGUAGGAUAAAUUGUUUGAAUUAUAGAUGAGAGUUGACCAUCUGUAACUAGUCUUGAUCAGAGAUUUGUCUCCGAUCGCGACUAUUUUAGUCACACCUGCUGAUGCAAGUAUGCAGAAUAACUAUUCCACCUGCCCGUCUUCAAAGUCUUUCGGCCUGACAACAUAGAGUCUGUAGCACCGCAACGACGGAACCUGCGCUAUCAAAAUAUCUAACCACACUAAUAAACCAAUAUAAUGCAUCUAAAUCAUCCACAACCGAUAAAUAUAAAAGUUAGAGUGAAUAAAUUAAAAGGAAAAAAAAUUCAAGCACAAUCACAAUAGUAUACAAAAAUUUACGUGUUUCACCCAUCCAAGCUAAAUCUACAGAUUCGGAGAGAUCAAAUUCACUAUCAAUUUGAGAAGAUUAUAAAAUUUGGUUAGAAAUUACCACACUAUAAUAAUGGGCAUACAACCAUUGAGCUCGACUGCUAUACUAUCAGUAAUACGGAGGUCUCCAUACUAUCAUGUUGUUUUCAAUAGUGUGGUUUCCAAAUCGACGAUUGGCUCCGUUAGACUUAAUCUACACUAUUGAAAUAUUUAGAAACUAAAUUUUAUAAUUUUUCGAUAUUAUUUGGCUAGCGAACAAAGUGUCUUAAAAUUGAUAACUUUAAUGGUCGAUGUGAUGUGUUUGUAAAUUUAAUGGUAUAAAAUAAUUGAAAUCUGAUAAAUUUUUUAUAGAAAUUUUUUUUCGCUAUUUACAUUAAGAUCAAUACCUUUGAUCACAAAUUCCAGUCUUUUAUUGUUAUUUUUAUGAGUUUUUUAUUUUCAGCCGGUCAUUUUUAGACUACUCGUUUAUAGUUAAAUAAUAUCAAAAAUAAUGAAAUUUAAUUUUUAAAUACUUUAAAUAGUAUAAAUUAAGUUUAACAGAGCUAAUCGUCGAUUUGGAAGCCGUAUUAUUGAAAAUAAUUUUGUAGCACUGAGACCUCCGUGCUACUAAUAGUAUAGCAGCCGGACUCUACAACCAUUCAAAUAGUAAAAGGCCUUCUUACUAUUCUUCUCAUUUCGGAACGCCCUUAGAAUGCCUCUAAUCAAUCUCGAAGAGCUUGAAUCAAGCAAGAAGAGCAAGACGGUCCUUCUCCCAUCCUCACCCAAGAAAAUGAGACUUUUCUAUACUAUACUCUUAAAAUUUCUUUCAUAAAACCACUUUGCCUCGAUAUACCGAUGGGUCAACUAAAACCCAAAACUAAAUAGUUACUAGUCCGCUUUAAGAGUUAUUGAGCCAAAUCUAAACAAACGCCAAAUGAGCUAAUAGGUGAAUUUGAUGUCACCACCCACCCAAAACAAUACGAUAAAUGGGACAUUAAUUGUCCUAGUAUUCGAUUAAUCCUACUCUGACUGCGCGCGCGGCUUUAGUAGUUUGAAUUAGAAUAACUUUAGCAUUUUACACAAGGAUGAUACUUAGCUACUUGCUUCAACUCAUCUGAAAAAGAACACUAAAGGAGAUGAGGACCUCAACAUUGACUAAAAGAUCAAUAAAUUAGGGGACCACAAAAAGAGAGCUUGUAUUUGAUUCUUCACCUCGUAGGAAAGGCGAGAUUGAAGAGCUCUAAUAUGAACCACUAAAAAUGGCAAAAUAGACAUUGAAAGUCGAAGGGGCCGAAAUUGAUGGUAGAUUGCUAACCAAAAAUCAUGGAGGAAUAAUGCCGUAUUAAUUGAUAUGCCGCAAUUGAAGAGCAAUUUGAACCGAGCAGCAAAGAAGGCCAAAGCCUGCAUGAAAAGAACAUGCACCUAAACUAGAAAGGCUUUAGUCUCUAAAAGUAUAAAAUUGUCUUCUUCCUCUCUAGAUAGUACAGCGUUCUUUCAAUAAGGAAAAAUCGAAGUCUAGUUGCGGAUCACAGACUUUGCGAACCUUUUUACUUUAAAGAUUGUGACAAUUUGAGAUACUAAUUUGACACUACUAGAUUACCUACGAAAACUAGUAUGGGUUUGGGGAAGGGAUCCCCCGAAUAUUGGGUAUCCGUUGUUAAACCAGGUCGAAAGAUGAAGCUGUCGACGGACAAACUUUGCGUUAACGUCGACCGGGAUGGGAUGGCAAGGCUCCAGUUCAAAAAUCAAAGUCUAGUUGCAGAUCACCGACUUUGCGAACCCUUUUAAUUUAAAGAUUGUGACAAUUUGAGAUACUAAUUUGAUGCUACUAGAUAAACUGUCCGCUUUUUAUGACUUCAAAAUUUUUUGAACCGAAAUAAAUAAAAAAAAAAAGAUUUGGUUAUAGCUCGCUUUACGAACUAACUUUUGUAAAAUAAUUUUUUAUAUUCACUUUCCCAAAUGAAAGGACAUUAUUUUCUGAAGGCGCCACUUUUGAUGCUUUAUUUUCUGCCGGUAAAAACAUUAAGCCACACAGAAAAGACGCUGAAAUGAUUUGGAUCCUGUUGGGUCCAAGAAGGCCCAAAUUUUAAAUACUUGGCUAGCUAGUUGGACCCCUAAGAUCAAAUAAUUUGUACUGGAACCGUGCUCAGGCAUAUCUUGCACAUAAAACAAACCCAAACACACCUAUAUAUAUAUAUAUAUAUAUAACCUCUAGAGAUUCUUGCAUAGUACUUCAGAUGCCCAAGUAGUCGGCGAGUAUGGCUUCGUUUGGAAUUGUGGGGAGAUUGCGUUAUAUGCGAUAAUGCGAUGAAAAAGUACGAUAGAAAAAUAUCCUAAAUAGAAAAAUAUCCUAUUUCUUUCCGCACGUAAUAUUAUAUUCCGCAUAUCACAAUGACUCGCUUAUAAUAUAUUUUCUGCGAUCUCACAGAAAAACGUAGAAAUAUAUCCCUAUACACUUUUACCCCAACUUUAUUCUCAAUACCAAACUAAACCUAUACAAAUGUUACCCAAACCACCAAGUAUAUAAACGCACGCUCCGGUUUCACUGCAUUUGUUUGUUUAAUGUGGGGGCGUGUACGAACUCUGGGCUGGUCUGGGCCAGACUUAAUUUUGGGACCAAGUUAUUAGACCGGUUCGGUUCUGGCCCAGUCCGAUUUUUUUUACCUGCAACGGAUGCGGCCCAGAUUUUCCCGGGCCAUUAUUUUCGACUAGGUUUGCUCAAACCUACUACGGUAAGUCAAUUUAUCCUUACCGCACACCAGUUGAAAAAUCUUACAAAAGGAUUUAGCAGCACGUAACACUCCUCUCAGCGAAAUUAAGAAGGGAAAACUUCAAAAAAAAACCCACGUGGUUUCGCAUUUUUUUAUUUUAAUAUUCUGUAAUUUAAAGUGUAUCAAGUUAGUAUUCUAUAGUUUUGCACUUUCUCAUCACUUUAGUACCAUGUGGUUUAAAAUGUAUCAAGUUAGUAUUUUAUGAUUUUAUUUUUGUAUCAAGUUAGUACCCUAAGAUUUUAUAUCUGUAUCAAUUUAGUACCUUAUGAUUUUUUUUUUUUUUAAUAAAAUAUUAAAUUACAGGGUAUUAAUUUGAUACACUUUAAAUCACAGGAUACUAAAGUGAUGAAAAAGUGCGAAACCAUAGGGUAUUAAUUUGAUACACUUUAAAUCACAGGAUACUAAAGUGAUGAAAAAGUGCGAAACCAUAGGGUAUUAAUUUGAUACACUUUAAACUAAAGGAUACUAAAUUGAGAAAGUACGAAACUACAGAACAGUAAUUUAAUAUAUUUUAAACCACAGAAUACUAAAAUGAAAAAAAGUGAAACAACAAUAGGGGUAUUUGAAGUUUUUCCAAUUAAAGAAUUGAGGGAUGGCUCCGAUAUUUCACAUGGUAUGUACACACGCCCGUUGUAAACGAUUGGUUAACAUAGUUUUAUUUAUACAGUUAGAGAUGUUGGUUUGCAUUUAAAAGAAAAUUAAAACACAUUAAAAUCGUGGGAUUAAAAAGAUAUUGUAGAUUCGACAUUUAUCACCAUGCAUUUAAGGUAUGGAUUCUAUCAAAGCAUUUAAGAUCGUGAGUGGUUGAAUGUUGAAAAAGUUAGUUGUGAACAUUGAGUUCCUUCGCUCAAUAUGUUGUAAUUAGUUUUUAAUCGAUCCUCCUUUUUUUCUUUAUUAAUGGUGUGUUUGGUUCCACGUAAAACCAUAGAAAAAAAUUUUCAAUGAAAAAAAAUUUUUGGUAAAAAAAAAAAAAAUGUUUUUUAGUGUUUGAUUUGGAGGAAAAGAAAAAUAAUUUUUCCAUAACAGUUGUUUGGUUGAAAUAAAAAAAUAAAUAAAAAAUUAUUUAAUAUAUAUUUUUACUUUAUAUAUUAUUAAUAUAUAAUAAUUAGUAUAUUAUAUAUUAUUAUUAAAUAUAUUUAAAAUUGUAAUAAACAUAUAUUAAUAAUAUAUAAGAGUUAUAUUAUAUAUUUAGAAAUAUUAAUAAAUAGAGUCCGGUUAUCAUGCUUGUGAAGCACAAACCAUUUCGUACUUAUAAAUUUUUUACCAUUAAAGUUAUAUUUUAUAUCAUUUUCACCCAUUAGAUUAUACUAUUCAACCAACCAACAACCCUAGAGAGCCCACAUCAUUCUAACCGCACAUAUCUUAAUUCAAUAGACAAAAAUCUUUAAACACCAAUAACUUGAUAUUUUUAAAAACAUAAGAGCUUAAUUCUUAAUAAAUAAUUAUAAAUUUAUAAAUAGAAUAUUAUAUAAUAAUAUUUUUAUAUAAAAAUAAAAUACUAUAUAUAUAUAUAUAUAUAUAUAUAUAUAUAUAUAUAAAGAGUUGAGCUAGAAUACUCUCAAAAGUAUCAAAAAGGUGAUGCUUUUGAGUUUUUAACCUUUGCAUGGAGCGAUGUAGGGUUGGGAUGAUGGUAAUAGGUGGUGGUCGGUAGAAUAGUGUUUGAUCCAAGAACUAUUAGUAAUCAAGGAGUAGAUCUAAGGACUAAAAACGUAGAACCAUCAAGGGGUUGGUGCUUCUAAAAAUAUCCUAGCUCAACUAUAUAUAUAUAUAUAGUCCGGCUACUAUACUAUCGGUAGCACGGAGCGCUCCGUGCUACCGAGUUGUUUUCGAUGAUGCGGCUUUCAAAUCGACGAUCGGCUCCGUUAGACUUGAUCUACAAUAUUGAAAGUAUUUGGAAACUAAAUUUCAUAUUUUUUCAACAUCAUUUGACUAGUGAUCAAAAGAUCUCAAAAUUGACAAUUUUAAUGGCCGAUGUGGUAUGUUUGAGAGUUUAACGGUGUAAAACAAUUCAAAUCCGAUGAAAAUUUUAUAGAAAAUUCUUUUCACUAUUUAGAGUAAGAUCAGUAUAUCUGAUCUUGAAUUUAAAUAUUUUAUCAUCAUUUUUUAUGAGAUUUUUAUUUUUAGCCAUUCAAUUUUAGACUACUUGUUUGAUAGGUAAAUGAUAUCGAAAAAUUAUGAAAUUUAGUUUCUAAAUACUUUUAAUAAUGUAGAUCAAGUCUAACGGAGCCGAUCGUCGAUUUGGAAGCCGCAUCAUCGAAAACAACUUGGUAGCACGGGAGCGCUCCUGCUACCGAUGUGUAUAAGUGUAUAUAUAUAUAUAUAAAUAUAUAUAUAUAUAUAUAUAUAUAUUUAUAUAUAAUAUAUAUAUAUCAACUUAUAUAUAUAUAGUUAGAAUAUUCUCAAAAGUAUAUGAAGGUAUCCUUUUGAUUUUUAGCUAUUGGAUAGAAAGAUGUGAGAUUGAGAUGAUGAUAGUAGGUGUGGUAGGUGAAAUAAUAUUUGAUCCAAAAAUAUUAGUAAUUAAGAGUAGAUUAAGAACUAAAUCUUAAAAGCACCAAAGAAUGAUACUUCUAAAAAUUAUCUAGCUUAAUUAUAUAUAUAUAUAUAUAUAUAUAUAUAAUGAGAGGGAGGUCGACUGUGGACCUCCCUCUCACAUGUUCCAGGAGGUCGAAGUGGCCUCCUAUACCGCAUAAAAGAGUUGGCCAUGAGCCGUGAUUUGGUUCGCUCCGCGUUUUCAUUUUUCGUAGCUCUCGCACAGAAAAUAAAAACAACCGUUUUAUCCUAAAUAUAUAAAAUUAAUUUUUAUGAAAAAAAAUUUUACCUAACAUCAAACGAUCUACAAAUUAUUUUUGGAUCGAAAAUUUUUUUCUAGACACUCUUACAUAAAACCAAAAACGGCCUAAACCACAAAGCCUAUAGAUAUUCGUACACAUGGCACAAGUUCCUUUGUAGGAUUUGGGGCGGUGGAGAUAAUGAAACAAAAGGACCGUUCCACCAACGUCAUCGAUAUCAUAAAAAUGGCACCCAGCUCACGAGAUAUGCCUAGGGAUAUUCUCUUCUCUGCGUAUUAUUACAAUAUUUACGAGGCAUCAAUGAAAAUAGGGAAAACUUCAAAAAACUCCCUGUGGUUUCGUACAUUCUCACUUUGCUACCCUGUGGUUUAAAACGUAUCAAUUUGCCCCCCUGUGGUUUUGUUUUUAUCUUUUUGUUAUCAAUUUUAUUAUUAUUUUUUUUGAAAAUCAGUAACAAAGUUAAAAUUAAAGGAUACUAAAGUGACUAUUCGAUAAAUAUAGAUGGUUAUCUGAAAUUUUUUGUAUAUAAUUUAACGAAAUAUUAACGAAAAAGCUUCCGAAAAGAUAAAAAUAAAACCACAGGGGGGUAAAUUGAUACGUUUUAAACCACAGGGUAGCAAAGUGAGAAUGCACGAAACCACAGGGGAAUUUUUGAAGUUUUUCCAUAAAAAUAUAUGCUUGUGGGAGAGUAUUGAGAAAAUUUUCCCUAAGCAAGAUUAGACAUAAAGCAUUCAAAGCGUACGUACGUACGACUGAUUAGUGCAUUAAUUGUGACAACGUGUAUAUAUCACACUAACUAUUUGAUUAAUUAAUUAGUGAAUUAUCACCGCUCCUAGCAUGAGUAUUACAGAAUUCACUGGUUGAUAUUCGAGGUUCUAAGUUUAAAUUUUAAUUAAUUUAUAUUUUCAGUUAAAUUUAUAUUUUUUUAAAAAAUUAAGUAUUAUACUAUCUUCCUCUCAAAAUAAUAAUAAUAAUAAUAAUAAUAAAUUAUCAUUAAUUUGUGGCUUGUAUUUUUCCUUCACUUAACACGUGCUCAUCAUUUUUAAACUGACAUGAUUGAUAUUUUUUGGAUAACCAAGGAGACCAUCAUUCUCUAAUUUGUAUAACUAAUAUGGUAACAAUAUGUAUAAUUUUUAUUUUUUAAUAAUAUUCCGCAUCGGUUCCUACAGCUCAACUUAAGCUCCUGCUACAUAGCAAUAAGAUCACUUAACACGUGCUCACCGCUUUUAAACUGACGUGAUUGAUAUUUUUUGGAUAACAACGGAGACCAUCACUCUCAAGUUUGUAUAACUAAUAUUUUAACAAUAUAAUUUUUAUUUUUUAAUAAUAUCCAGUGUCGGCUCCUACAGCUCAACCUAAGCUCCUACCACAUAGCAAGCAAACCUCCUACCUGGUCUAGGCAGAAUAUUGAUCCUUUUAAACAACAAUCUUUCAAGCGCAUGUAUAAAUUUACAAAAUGCUAGAAUCGAAUGGAGAUCUUUGAUUCUAAUACCACUUGUCGAAUCAUUUGACGUUAACUAUUAAUCACAAAAACUUGAACUAUUAAAAAUAUACAACCAAUUCGCUUAAAUUGUACAAACACAUUGUUCAUAUGUCUCUAUUGUGCGACGUGGUCCAAUCAGCCUCACGUCAUUUCGAAUAUGACUCGGACCAAUUCCGUCUCCCGUCAUUUUCAAAUAUGAUUUGGCCAAAUUUAAUCUCUCGUCAUAUAACAGAAUCCUAAUCUUUUUAAUUAAAAAAAUCAUAAGAUAUAUAAACAAUCCAUAAAGAAGUGGUUGAGCUCAUUUUCAGCAUUUAGAAUUAUGAUAUACCUAACUGAUUUGAAAUUUCAAACUAAUUAGUAAUUUUGACCAUUUUCCAAAGGUGUCUUUAUCUAACUCGGCCCUUUUCCCUUCUUUACUCACAUUUUGAAACGAUGGGAGAACAUUAACUAGUUUGCUGAAACAAGAGAACUGUAAACUCGUACGUACAUAAAGUUUGGCAGCUGCGGAAUUGGUUCUCUCUCACGAAAUUGCUCUUACCAUCCUGUUCUUUUAUUACAAUUCAACAUCAAACAAGUUGAGGAUGAUGACAAAUUUUUUUUAAAAUAUGUAGUAUUUUUUUUCUUGGGACUCAAAAUUUUUUAAUAAAUCUAAAAUAUAAAAUUAAUUAAAUAGAAAAUAUAAAAUUAAGAGUCUUAUUAAAUUCAAGAGUUCUAGCUCAGUACCAUGUGAAAGAAUUAAUUAAUAUUCUGCAUGACCAGAAAACAUAUGUGCGCAUAUUUUUUUAAUAUUCGUAUUUUAGCAACAGGCAUAUUGGAACGAAGCUAGAUUAGUAUAUAGUUUUAAUGGUAAAGAAACAUUGUUUACCAUCCUAAUUUUAACCCUUGGAUAUAUAUUAGGGUUUAAAUUUGAUAAUUGGAAUAGUAUUCCAUCGACAGAUAAGAAAAUUAAUAAUAUAUAUUAUUUAUUUACUAUCAAUAAUAUUUUAGCUGAACUCUCGACACAAUGGACAUUAUAUUAAAAAACAUAAGGAGUUGUAUAUGCAAAAGAUCAUAAAACCUUUCUUAGUUGCCCAUCUUUUAUUCUUGCGAAGCCACCAUAAGUUUAAAAACCCAAAAGAGCAAACCCCACACAACUACAGCUCAACAACAGCUUCACUAACAGUUAAGCAACCAACAUGCACCAAAUUAAAGCCCUGGAAAUUAGAAAACGCUAGCACUCUCUCCCCCCUCCCCUCCCACCACCGACCACAAGAACUUGUUAUCGCCGUUCCGCGCGGAGCAAUUCGCCCUUAUCUCUCCCUUCCCGCCCGUCAGCACGCUCAGCUGCCCCAUCUUCACGAUCGAAUACACAAACUGCUUGAAAAACAGCGACUGGUUGACCGCAAAACUCGUGACGAUGCUCUUCGUGCGUUUGUCGGUGUACAUGUCCUGGUCGGACGUGAACAGCCCCUGCCGGUUGAGCAGAUCGACGUAGUACUUGUUGUCGAACGUGUUCGGCGAGCGGAUGUCGUUGACGGUGGUGUUGGUGGUGUUGGACGCGGGGCAGGUGAGUUCGAGGUUCUUGGCGAAGGUUUUGUCCAUGACGGGGUCUUGGGUGGGGUAGAGGCGGUUGGUGAAGGAGGUGCAGUGCGCGAGGCCGAUGGUGUGGCCGCCGGAGAGGGCGACGAGGUCGGUGGUGUCGAGGUUGAUGUUCGAGAGCACCGACAGCAGCUUCGUCACGUUCGACGUCGGCGCGGGGAGGCUGGCCAGCGUCACGUUGCGCGUCGCGAACGUCAGGCCGUCGCGCCGGCCCAGCGGCACCUUGUACUUGGGCCCGCCUGACUGUUGUUGGAUUGGAGACAGCGUAAAUAUUUAGCCAACUAAACUGGAAGAACAUUUGCAGGUUAAAUUAACUUUUCUUAAUUCUUACAUUACAGAAAUUAGGCGCGCCACCAUAAAUAAUUAUUUUUUCUAAAUAAUGUGUAGUGUUAUUAUAUUUUCGAAAAUAUAAAAGAAUUGAUAUUUUCGACUUUUUAAUAUUUGGAUUUUAUUGCUCCUUAUAGAAAAAUAGUAUUAAUCUUAGAAUUAAAAAUGAACAAUAAAAUUAAUUAAAAGUUAAAAACUUAGAAACAUCAAUCUUUGUAUACUUCUUCAAAUACUAUAGAAACACCUAAACAAUUGUGCAAUUACCAUGUCAGCAAUUACCGACUGUCCCUAGAGCAAAUGGCAAAGAACUUGAUGAUUGGUAUAUGAGGUUUCAAGUUCGAAUUCUAGUUGAUUCACAUUUUCAGCUAAAUUUAUUUUUAAAUAAAAUAAACAAAACGGGUAGAGUGCUACCUAUUUCUCAAAAAAAAUUACCAUGUCGGCAAUUUAUAAAAUAUAUAUACAAAUAAUAAUGAUAUUCAUGGGAGUUGACGCCACGCAACUUGACUAGCUAAUUAAUUAGUUUAAUACUUGGAGCAAAUUCUGGUGGGUCCAUGGCUUGUUGAAUAGAUUGUCACAUUUCCUAGAUCUUAUCCGUGAGUAGGUGGUGUGAUUUAUUCAUGGAUGCAACUUGGAAAGUUCAGUUUGUGGACCAUGCCCUAACAAAAUGGAAAAUCGUGACAAUAACGCGGAUGUGGACCAUUAAUUUCAAAUGCUCCAAAUAUUUUUUAGUAAUAUAAUUCUUUGUCUAAGUUAGUACUUUGAUUGGUUAGCCGGGAACAGUAACAUAUUUUUGAGGGGAAGCACGAAAUGGAAAUGUGAUAAAGUCUUAAAAUAUUUUUUUUUUCUUUUUCCUUUUUUUUUACCCCCUGAAAGAAAUUAAUUGUACUCAAACCCAACUCCGCCUCUUUGGCAAGUGGGUUCACAUAAAUAAAUCUCGGCUGUUUAAGUAAAAGUAUUUAAAAAGAAGCAGAAGAAUUAAUAGUACGCUUUUGGGCUUCAAAUUAAAACUCUCCUAAUUUUUCUCGUCGUAGUAAAGACUAUUUUUGCUUUUCCAAAGAUAAGAAAGUGGUUCUGAAUAGUAGUCCAACAACUAUUUAAUUAUUGGAAUAUGUAUCUCAUGUAAAUUUAUUGUUUUUAGAGAUUGAUAGCUUAUUUCGUUUUUUUAUUUAGAAAUAAAUUUAUCUGAAAAUUUAUUAUCCAAAAAUUUAAAUCUGAUGUAAAUUUAAUAUCCAAGAACUAAAGGUAAGUUUUAUAUCAAGAAUUUAAAUUAAUAUUAUUUUCCCCAUAUUUGGUCGGGAAUAAGUGAAUUAUUUUUUUUUUCUAUAUAUGAAACGUCAAGUGAGGAUAACUAAUCCUUUUUUAAUGUCUUGUCCGAUAACAAAAAUACUUACCACUAUCCUCACUUUAUUCUUUCUUACCAAAAUGAGAGAUCAAAUUAACAAAUGGUUGCUUACCAAGUAGACGGAGUCUCGAGCCGCAAGCGCAACGACAUCGGCGCAAGAGACGACCUGUCCACACGCCUUGUCGAUGAGUGCUCGGAGGUCGUUGAUGGCCUUGAAAGCUGCCGGCCGGAGUGUUAGGUUCGGCGGCGCCUGCUGUUCGCCUGGUCCGCUCGCCGAGCCAUCCAACAAUACAGACCCAUCACACCCCUGCACAUAUAUAUCAACUUACCCGAUCGGGUUAGUAUGGAUAACUACUUUUUCUUUUUAGAGGGAGAAAGAUAUAUAGCAAACUAUGUAUUUGCUUCGUUCAUUUAUUUUAUAAAUAAGCUCAACUAAAUACGAAACAACUAUGUUUCAAACUUGCUAUCUCAUAUAACAACCAUAAAGCCCUUAAUUAGUAUGAAUAAGUUAUGUUUGCAAUUAGAAUAUAUAGUUGUACAUAUACGUACGUAGGCACGUAGUAGGGUAUUUCACGGGUAAAAAUGUACUGAGAUCGUCACAACUAACUACUAUUUUGACGUAAAGCACUGAAUCAUCAUUUUUUUAAAAAUAUUUUGAUACUUCUUCAACUUUUACAUAUUUUGGUCUAAGUUGUUCCAGUCACUUAACUUGUGAAUUCCCUUAAAUUUAGCUGUAUAAAUUUUAAUAACAAAAAUUUAUAGUUUUUUUUAGAGUACGUACUUCAGCUAAAACGCAGCUGAUAGAGUCAUUAAAUUUGAUAAAAGUUGCGCAUACACACUUUUACUUAUUUUUGCUCACCUGAACGAAGCAGUCGUGGAAGUGGAGGCGGAGGAGGCCUGCGGCGAGGCCGAUGUUGUUCUUGAACGAGUUCUUGAGGAAGUCCCUCACAAUGGAGUCCAAGUUGGGGCAUUUGGACUUGUAGAAGCUGAAGGAGAGGCCAUUCACUAAGGGAGGAUAAUCAAACUCAUCAGCCCUAGUUGGAGAGCAGAGAGAGGAGAUACAAAUGGCUAAUAGGAGGAGGAGAGACAUGGUAGAAAGAGAGGAAGAAGCAGAAGCAGAAGCCAUUUUUUGGUAUCUUUGAGGGGAUGAUCAAAACUAAGUAGAGAUGUGGAGGGGGCGAUGAGGAAACUGGAUGAGGUAUCGGUGAAUUUAUAGGCAUUAAUUAAGAGCAUGGACUGUGGACAGCACGUGGCUGCAGCACUGUCACAGCUUGAAGCUUUGAAUAUGGAAACAUGCAUGUAUCGACCAUUUAUUUAUUUAUUUAUUUGUUUAGGGGUAAAUUUUAUUUACAUGAGUUCUCCGUUUAAUACCAAAUAUUUUAUUUUUAGAGUUAAACUCUACUUAAAUUUAUUAAUUUAAAAAAAAUGAAGAAGUUUUAAUGUAUAGGACAUACAACUAUAUAUAUAUAUAUAGAGAGAGAGAGAGAGAGAGAGAGAGAGAGUUGAGCUAGAAUACUAUCGGUAGCAAACGAGUUCCGUUGCCAACCAUUUGUUUUUGAUGAUGGAGCCCCCAAAUCGACGAUCGGUAUCGUUGAACAUGAUCUAUACCACUUGAAAUGUUUAAAAAUCAAAUUUCAUACAUUUUCAAUAUUAUUCUCUUAUCCAUUAAGUGGACACAAAAAUGAACGGCUGAAAAUGAAUAUUCUUUAAAAAAUGAUGAUAGGAGUCUUAUAGUCAAAAUCAAGGGUACAGAUCUUGUUUUAAAUAGUUUAAAGAAUUUUCUAAUAAAAACUCAAUUGAUUUGAAAAUCUUUACACCGUUAAACGAAAAAAAGCCUCAUAUCGACCAUUAAAAUUACAAAUUUUGAAACUCUUUGAUCAUUAGGCAAAUAAUGUCGAAAAGAUUUGAAAUUUGAUUUAUAAACACUUCAAGUCGUAUAGAUCUUGUUUAACGGUGUCGAUCGUCGAUUUGGAGGCUCUAUCAUCGAAAAUAAAUGGGUGGCAACGAAGCCCGUUUGCUAUCGAUCACCUACUUAAUGUUAAAGGAUUACUAUCAUUCUAGCCACGCAUGUCUUAAUCCAAAGAUCGAAAAUCUAUAUAGUAGAUCAAUUAUAUAUAUAUAUAUAUAUAGAGAGAGAGAGAGAGAGAGAGAGAGAGAGAUGAGUUAGAAUACUCUCAAAAGCACCAAGAGUUUGGUGCUUUUGAGUUUUUAACCCUUCGAUGGAGAAAUGUAAGGUUGAAAUGAUGGUGGUCAGUGGUGGUAAGUAAAAUAGUAUUUAAUCUAAGGACUAUUAGUAAUUAAGGAGUAAAUUCAAUGGUUAAAAACCUAAUAGCACCAAGGGGUGAUGCUUCUAAAAAUAUUCUAGCUCAAUUUUAUAUAUAUAUAUAUAUAUGAGUCCGGCUAUGGUACUUGUAAAAGUACCAAGCACUUGGUGCUUGUAAAUUUUUUACCGUUAGAUCUCUGCCUUUGAUCAUUUUUACCCAUUAGAUUAUACUAUUCAGCUAACCACCCACUCAACCCUAAGGGCCCACAUCAUCCUAACCGCACAUCCUUAAAUCCAAGAGCCGAAAACUUACAAGCACCAAUGACUUGGUACUUUUAAAAGUAUAGGAGCUCAAUUCUAUAUAUAUAUAGAGAGAGAGAGUGAGGCUACUAUACUUCUGGAAGCACGGAGCCUUUCGUGCUUUUAAGUCGUUUUCGAUGUUGCGACUUUCGAAUCGUCGAUCGGCUCCGUUAAACUUGAUCUAGAGUAUUUGAACUACUUAGAAAAUAAAUUUUAUGAUUUUUCGAUAUCAUUUGCCUAGUGAUCGAAAGGACUCAAAAUCAAUAAUUUUAACGGUCAUGGUGAGCCGUUUGCAAGUUUAAGGAUGUAGAAAUAUCCAAAUCACGUGAAAUUUUGAUAGAAAAUUUUUUAUACUAUAUAAAACAGAUCAAUAUCUUUGAUCUAAAAUUUUAUAUAUAUAUCACUCCGAUGAUACAAAGACCUUUAUGCCUCGGAAGGCACGAAGAUUCAGUAAAAGCUACAACGCUGAAACCUUAGCAGCUAGCCGAGGCAAUUUGAACUAGAUCUCAUAAACUUCAUGGAUCUUUUAUUUAAAACGUUAAAAAGCUAUAGUAAACGGAUCACUUGAUUCCCCGAGUUUUAGUUGCCGACUUUUAUUUUUAGAAUGUUUUGCACUAUUAUACUAUAAUNUAUAUAUAUAUAUAUAUAUAUAGGGGGAGAGAGAGAGAGUCCGGCAACUAUACUAUGAUGACUACGAUCGCCUUUGUACUCAUAAGUCAUUUUCGAUGAUAGAGCUUCCAAAUCGAUAAUCCAUACCACUAAACAUGAUUUAGAGCAUUUGAAACUUCUAGAAACCAAAUUUCUUAAUUUUUCGACAUUAUUUACCUUACGAUCAAAAGAUCUCAUAAUUGACAGUUUUUAAUAGAAGGUAUGGGAUGCUUGUUCAUUUAACAGGAUAAAAGAAUCGUAAUCGAUUGAAUUUUUUAUAGAAAAUUCUAUGGACUAUCUAGAAGAAGAUCAAUAACUCCUAUCUUUUUUAGUUUCUAGGUGCUUCAAAUGUUCUAGAUCAUGUUUAACAGUAUGGAUCGUCGAUCGGGAUCUCUAUGAUCGAAAACGACUUAUAAAUAUGGAAAUCUCUGUACUCAUAAGAGUAUAAUAGGGCUAUAACACUCUUAUGAGUACGGAGGCCUACGUACUCAUAAAGUUAUUUUCGAUGAUAGAGAUUCCGAAUUGAAGAUCCAUACCAUUAAACAUGAUCUAGAGCAUUUGAAGUAUCUAGAAACCGAAUUUUAUAAUUUUUUGAAUUUAUAAUAAAGUCUAUCAAGCGGCUAUAAAUUAACGGUCAAAAUUGAACGAUCUCCUAAAAACAGGGAUAGGGUUCUUAAAUUCAAGAUCAGAGUUAUUGAUCUUGAUUUAUAUAGUGAAUAGAAUUUUCUAUCAAAAAUUCAACCAAUUUCGAUUCUUCUACACCGUUAACUAGGAAACGUCCCAUACUGACCGUUAAAAAUGUGAAUUUUACAUUUUUAAGGCCCUUUGAUCGUAAGGUAUAUAAUGUCAAAAAAUUAUAAAAUUCAAUUUCUAAAAUGUUUAAAUGCACUAAAUUAUAUUUAACGAUAUGGAUCGUCGAUUCAGAAGCUUCAACAUCGAAAAUGAUUUAUGAGUACGAAGGCGAUCGUACACAUAAUAGUAUAGUUGCCGCACUCAUAUAUAUAUAUAUAUAUAUAUAUAUAUAUAUAUAUAUAUAUAUGAGAGAGAGAGAGAGAGAGAGAGAGAGAGUGGGUGAGUGGUCCGUGAGAACUAGACUUUCUUGUGGACCACGUAUUUCCGAGCGGCUUGUGAGCGGCGAUUUUUUAGAGAAAGUUUUCGUUUUUCGCUGACUAUGGGCAGAGAACGAAAACUUUACUUUUUCAGAGAAUCCAAUAAAUUUUUUUACGAGCAAUCAAACAAUGAAAGAUCACUUUUCAGACAUUUUUUUUUUUUUUUUCAGAAUAGUUUUAUGGGAACCAAAUACCCCCUAAACUUCAACAUCAAAUAAAGCUGUCAUAUCUCAUAUGGCGGCCAUUUAUCAAAGUUUGCAAAGCAAAACAAAAGCACCAGCUUUCACUCUUUUCUCACGGAAAAAGACAAAGGUUUGCCAACUAAAUUCCUUGAUUCAUUGAAUUUGUUUAUCACUUUAUCCCCCUUACUUAACAUAUAUAAAUAUAUAUAUAAUAUUAAUUCAAGCGCUAGAAUUAAUUAAAGAGUUGAUUCAAGGGUUAAAAGUGAAAGCACAACAUGAGUUAUGCUUCUCCAAGCACCAUAUUCAUCUCUCCUCUCUCUCUCUCUCUCUCUCUAUAUAUAUAUAUAAUAUUUCCAAUGUUAAAGAUAAUUAAUAUUUUGUUUAGCAGAAAUGAAAUGAAGGUAAAAGAAUAACAACAAAUCAAUCGACAUUUCUAGAUUAACGAAAGCAAUAGCGCGUUACUUGAACUUUUAACUGACAAUUUUUCACUUUAGAUUAUUCUACAUUAUAUGGUCCUAGUUUUGCCACGUACAUUUAACCCAACCUAACUUUUACGCCCUAGAGAGAAAAAAAAUUCGUAAGUGUCCUUGGUUAACUGCAUGAAUUCCGCUAGAUUUAACUAUAAGUUCUACUUAACCUUGUUGUAUGUCUUUUUUCUUUUCUUUUUUUGAGAAUUCUUGUUGUAUGUCUUAAAAGUACAUCAAUUAAUUACAAUGAUCUAAUUUGAAGUUUUUGUAUUAGCGUGUGAUUUCGAGAUUGCACAUUUGUUUGUUUUGCACUGAUCACUUCUUUGUGCUCAUGCGACCGUGUGAUUGCACGUAAUAAAGCAAAGGUGAAACAGGUAUAACCUAAUAAUAGAAUUACCGACCGUCCCUAGAGUAAGUGGCAAAGGGCUUAAUGGUUGGUACUCGAGGUCCCAAGUUCGAAUCCUAGUUGAUUCAUAUUUCCAGCUAAGUUUAUUUCUAAAUGAAAUAAAUGAAGCGGGUAACGUGCUACCAAUCUCUCUCAAAAAAAAAAUAAUAGAAUUGAAUAUAGAGGCACAAAAGCAUAUUUAGGACUUACUGAUGAGAGGUGAAAUAAUAUUAAUCUAAAAAUUAAAAAGUGAUUAUAAAUAUCAUUCACUUAUUUAUUUAUUAUUUAAUAUUACAGCCAAACUCAACAUACUAACCUUACAUUAACAAACAUGGGGAGCUAUAUAUAUAUAUANUACUACCAUAAGGAAUGAAUAGCAGGAUAUAUGUAUGGGUGUAUGUUAACACUAUGUGUAUAUAUAUAUAUAUAUAUAUAUAUAUAUAUAUAUAUAUAUAUAUAUAUAUAUAUAUAUAUAUAUAUGCAAGAGAUCGUGCAACCUCUCUUAGUUACACCUCCACACGUGUUUUAUUAAUUACUGCACGCGAAGCCACCAUUAGCUUAAAAACCCAAAAGAGCAAACCGGCCCACACACAACUACAGCUUCACUAUCAGUUAAGCAACCAACAUGCACCAUGUUAAACCCCCUGGAAAUUAGAAAACCCUAGCACUCUCUCCCUCCUCCCCUCCCACCACCGACCACAAGAACUUGUUAUCGCCGUUCCGCGCGGAGCAAUUCGCCCUUAUCUCUCCCUCCCCACCCGUCAACACGCUCAGCUGCCCCAUCUUCACGAUCGAGAACACGAACUUCUCGAAAAAGAGCGGCUGGCUCACCGCGAACCUCGUCACGGUGCUCUUCGUCCGCUGGUCGGUGAACAAGUCCUGGUCGGACGUGAACAGCCCCUUACGGUUGAGCAGAUCAACGUAGUACUUGUUGUCGAACUUGUUCGGCGUGCAGAUGUCGUUGACGGUGGUGUUGACGGUGUUGGACGCGGGGCAGGUGAGUUUGAGGUUCUUGGCGAAGGUUUUGUCCAUGACGGGGUCUUGGGUGGGGUAGAGGCGGUUGGUGAAGGACGUGCAGUGCGCGAGGCCGAUGGUGUGGCCGCCGGAGAGGGAGACGAGGUCGGUGGCGUCGAGGUUGAUCUUCGAGAACACCGAAAGCAGCUUCGUCACGUUCGACGUCGGCGCCGGGAGGCUGGCCAGCGUCACGUCGCGCGUCGCGAACGUCAGGCCGUCGCGCCGGCCCAGCGGCAACUUGUACUUGGGCCCGCCGGACUGUCAUUGGAUUAAAGAAAGCGUAAAUAUUUAGCGAGCUAAACUAGAAGAACAUCAAAAAUUAAGCUACAUUAAUUAUCGUACAAUUCUAUAAAUAACAUUCCUUGGUCCUUACAUUACAGAAAUUUGUAUAAUAAGCAUCUUAGGCUAUAAACAAUUAUUUUUUCUAGACCGUGUCCGUGUGCAAGCACCAUAUCACUCUGUCGGCAAUUUAUAAAAUAUAAUAAUAAUAAUGAUAUUCAUGGGAGUUGACGCAACGCAACUUGACUAUCACUUUAAUACUUAAUUUGAGGAAUUCGGUCAAAAUAUAUGUUUUUCCUCUCUAGUGGGUUCACAUAAAUAAAUCUCGGUUUAGUUGGAGAAAAUCUUUGUCUUAAAAAGAAACAGAAGAAUUAAUAGUACGCUUUUGGGCCUCAAAUUAAAACUCUCCUAAUUUUUCUCCUCGUAGUAAAGACUUUUCUUGCUUUACCAAAUAUAAAACUUGAUCAGAAUAAAUAGUCUAAACAACUAUUUAAUUACUAGAAUAUAUAUCUCAUGUAAAUUUAUUAUCCAAGAAUUAAAGUUAAGUUUUAUAUCAGGAAUUUAAGUGUUAUUUUCCCUAUAUUUGGUCAGGAAUAAGUGAUUUUUUUUUUCUCUAUAUAUGAAAUUUCAAGUGAGGAUAACUAAUCCUUUUUGUAUGUCUUGUACGAUAACAAAAAUACUUACCACUAUCCUCACUUUAUUCUUUCCGACCAAAAUGAGAGAUAAAAUUAACAAACGGUUACUUACCAAGAAGACAGAGUCUCUAGCCGCAAGCGCAACGACAUCGGCGCAAGAGACGACCUGUCCGCACGCCUUGUCGAGGAGCGCUCGGAGGUCGUUGAUGGCCUUGAAAGCCGCCGGCCGGAGCGUUAGGUUUGGCGGCGCCUGCUGCUCGCCUGGUCCGCUCGCCGAGCCAUCCAACAAUAUAGACCCAUCACACCCCUGCACAUAUCAACUUACCGGGUUAACAUGAAAAAUUAUUUUUUUUAAGAGAGAGAGAAGGAAAAAGAUAGCAAAUUAUUUAUCCUUUUAUUUAUUUUAUAAAUAAAUUUAGCCCGACUUCAUGUACAACCCAUAAAAGCCCAGAUAAGUUAUUUUUGUAAUUAGAAUAUAUAUAUAUAUAUAUACCAACCACUCACUCAAUUCUAGAGGGGCUAUAUCAUUCUAACCGCAUAUUUCUUAAUCCAAUGGCUAAAAAUCUACAAGCACAAAUAACUUAGUACUUUUAAAAGUAUAGGAGCUCAAUUAUAUAUAUAUAUAUAUAUAUAUAUAUAUAUAUAUAUAUAUGUACGUAGGUACGUAGUAGGGUAUUUCAUGGGUAAAAAUGUACUAAGAUCGCCACAACCUAAUUACUAUUUUGACGUAAAGCACUGAAUGACUGAAUCAUCAUUUUUAAAAAAAAUUUUUGAUACUUCUUCAACUUUUACAUAUUUUGGUUUAAGCUGCUUCGGUCACUUAACUUGUGAAUUCCCUUAAAUUUAGCUGUAUAAAUUUUAAUAACUAAAAUUUAUAGUUUUUUCUAGAGUACGUACUUCAGCUAAAACGCAGAUGAUAGAGCCAUUAAAUUUGAUAAAAGUUGCGCAUAUACACUUUUACUUAUUUUUGCUCACCUGAACGAAGCAGUCGUGGAAGUGGAGGCGGAGGAGGCCAGCGGCGAGGCCGAUGUCGUUCUUGAACGACUUCUUGAGGAAGCCCAGCACAAUGGACUCCAAGUUGGGGCAUUUGGACUUGUAGAAGCUGAAGGAGAGGCCAUUCACUAUGGGAGGAUAAACAAACUCAUCAGCCCUAGUUGGAGAGCAGAGAGAGGGGAUACAAAUGGCUAAUAGGAGGAGGAGAGACAUGGUAGAAAGAGAGGAAGAAGCAGAAGCAGAAGCCAUUUUUUGGUAUCUUUGAAGGGAUGAUCAAAAUUAAUUAGUGGACAUGUGGAGGGGUGAUGAGAAAACUAUGUGAGAUAUUGGUGAAUUUAUAGGCAUUGAUUAAGAUAGUGUUUUGUUCAAGAAUAAUGGGGAAUAAGUUCUUAUUCUCCUCGUUGUUCUCAAACGUUGCAUUUGGUAUUCAAGAACAGUAAUUUUCAGAUUUCGGAAAUAAGCCGGUAUAAGGUUGGAACUGCCGCAACUGUCGUUCCACCUUUUUCCUAAAACAAAUUUGUUUCCAGGUAAAAAUAAAAUUAAUUAAAGUUUAAAAAUUAUUUUAAUUAUGAUAUUAAAUAAUUAAUUAAUUUAAUUAAUAUAUUUAAAUUAUUAUUUAUUGUUUAAAUAAUAAAAUAAUUUAUUAAUUUAAUAUUUAUAAAUAAUAAUUAAAUUAUUAUUAUUUAUAAUUAUUAACAAUUACUUAACUUAUUUAUUUAUUAAUGUAUAAUUAAUUAAUUAAUAAUUAAUUAAUAAAUUUAUAAUUAACUAAUUUAUUAUUAAUUUAUUCUUAAUUUAUUUAUUUAUUGUUAAUUAUUUAUUUCAUUUACUAUUAAUUAAUUAUAAUUAAUUAUUUAAUUUAAUUUUUUAUUAAUUAAUAAUUUAUUAUUAUUAUUAUUUAUUAUUAAUUAAUAAUGUAUAAUUUAUAAUUAUUAACUAUUUAAUUUAUUAUUAUUAUUUAAUUUGUAAAAUAUUAAUAUUAAUUUAUUACUUUUAAGUAAUAUUUUGUUGUUAAUUAAUUAGAUAAAAUAAUUUUAAUUUAAAAUUAUAAUUCUUAUUUCUUUUUUUCUAAUCUAAUCAUUCAAAUACUAUUUAACUUACUUUCAGGAACAACUCAAUUUUAAUCCAAACUCAAAAUUAGUCUAAUUUUUAUUUAUACCUGAAUCUAUCUCUGAAAUAAGUAGUUUUUACUUAUAUCCGAACUAAACGCAGUCUAAGAGCAAGGAUUGUGGACUGCGCAUGGCUGCGACGCUGUCAAAGCUUGAAGCUUUGAAUACGGAAAGAUGCAUGCAUGUUUCCACCAUUUAUUUAUUUAUUUGUGGGUACAUUUUAUGCACAUGAGUUCUCCCUUUAUAGUGCCAAAUAUUUUAAUUUUUAGAGUUAAACUCUACUUAUAUUUAUUAAUUUAAAAAAAGAUGAAGAAGUUUUAAUGUGUUGGACAUACAACCAUAUGCGUGUGCUGAUUAAAUGUAUAUCUAUAUAUUGGUAUUGAUGUAUCAAUUUCUAUUGCAUUAACGAAUUUUUUUAAUUAACAAAAUUAGUUGGUUGAAUUAGCCACUACAUAUUAAAGAUGUAUUAUUUUCCAAUUUGGGAGAAAAAUAAUGCGAUCUAUGUUUUGUUCUUUUUAUUUUGGGUUUCAAUAGAAUUUUAUUUUUCCUUCCCAGUAAUGCUACAGGUCAAGCAAUGGGUACCGCGUGCGUACACACUUGAUAUGAUAGUUUGACGUUUUGGAAUUCGAAAUAAAAAUAUAUUUAAUUAAAAUCGGAUAACACUUACUGAUGAAUUAAAAAAAAAGAAGGUAAGUUAUAAUAAGUAACAAAGUAAAAUUAAACCCAUAAUGUUAACAACUAAACUAAAUUCUAUUAAAUUUAAACAGAGAAUAAAGCUGUCAUAUCUCAUGUGGUGCCAUUUAUCAAAGUUUCCAAAAGCAAAAGAAAAGGAUCUGCUUUUACUCUUUUAUCGUGCAAGGACUCAUAAAGGUCUUCCAGUAUUCUUUGAUUAAUUGAAUUUGUUUGUAACUUUAUCCUCCUUAGUUAACAUAUUAACAUGUACCUACAUAUAUUUCCAAUGAUGAAGAUAAUUAAUGUUUUAUUUAAUCACACAUUGAAGCAGAAAUGAAUUAAAAACAAGCAACAUAUCAAUCUACAUUUCUACUCUUCCGAAAGAAUUUGCACGUUACUUAUGCUUUAACUGACAAUUUUUUACCUUAGAAUAUUCUAUAUAAUGAUAUGUUCCUAGUUUUGCCAUAUAUAUAUUUAUGGAACCUAAACUUUGCACCCUAAAAAGAAAAACAAAACUCAUACAUGCCAUGUAACUACACGAUCCCGCAAAAUUCAACUAUAGGUUCUGUUUAACCUUAUUAUAUGUCUUAAAAAUAAGUUAAUUUAUUAUAAAAGAUCUAAUUUGAAAUUUUUACAAUAGCAUGUGAUUUCGAGAUUACACAUUGCUAUGCUUUGCACUGAUCACUUCUUUGUGCUCAUGCAAUCGGGCGAUUGCAUAUAACAAAGCAGAGACAAAUUAAAGAGACAGAACCUAAUAUUAGAAUUGAAUAUAGAGGCGCAAAAGGCAUUUUGGCUAACUUAACUUGUGCAUGUGUCUAUUGAUUUUCCCGAGGAAAAUGGUAGGUUUGGUUCAAGGAUAAUAUAUUUUGCUGGCAAAAAGUGAUACCAAUGCAGUAACUUUUUAAAUUAUGUGAUCCCUCAGAAUCUUUGGAUAUGCUCCUUUUUUUCUUUUUUUUUUUUUAAGUCUGUGCCAACCUCAGGUUUCUUUUCUAUUCACUAAAACCCUUUUCUUUUUAGAGAGAAUACUCUAAAAUGGCUAACCAAAUGCAUGCUAAUGCACCUUUUUUUAGGUACCUAAUCCUCAUUAGCAAAUAAUUAACUACCUAUGGACCAUAUGCUAACGUAUCUUUACUGAGUCAUGGGUAUUAGGUAUACUAAGAGCUAGUAUGAUAAUGGGAGGGACCAACCAUACGUAAACAAAGUAUAGAGGUGCGGAGUGGACAUAAAAAUUAUAAAAAAAAAACCUAGGGAAACUGUGAUGUGGCUUCUUGAUUCUUGUGGGAAGCACGUGGCUACGUAGAAAACAAUGCAGAGUUCUUUUGAAAAGAACAGCCGCCCAUGUGGGCAUCUUUGAUCGGUCUAAUCUUCUCCUUUCUCCGUGAUCGCAGAAUUUUUGUCUACAAAAGUGGAAAAUAUAUAUGAGGGGAUAUGAAUUAGCAACCACGAGAAUUGGGCCUCCUUGUUUAUUUUAUUUAAUUUCGUCCUAGCUAGCUAAUUAACCCACCGCUCUUCUAGCCCUAUAAGUUGCAGGAAAAGAAAAAAAAAAGAAAAAAAAGACUUUCCCGGGUCGGAUUUGCUGGAGGAUUGCGUACAUGUAUUAAAAGUUUUUGGAAUUUUAUCAAGCAAACAAAAAAAAAAAAUUUCGAGAUCUUCAAAACAAUUUAUAUACUAUUAAUAUGUUCAUUUAUACUAUACUAUAUUAUACUUUAUAGAUUUUUUUUCUCACUUUACAUGUUGUUCGUUUUUUAUUUUCAUCAAACAAUUCAUAUAUAUAUAUAUAUAUAUUCAAAUCCUGCGUUGUAAAUAAUAAAUCUAUAAUUUUAUAGGAAAGUUUUUAAAAAAUACUAAUUAAAUGGCAGAGCAUGUAUUCAACUCAUUUUGAUAUAAGAAAUAACAAAAUACAUAAAAAUAAUAAAAUUAAAAAUUAAAAAUAUCUUGGUAGAAGUUUUCAGUAAGUGUAUUAUGAAGAUUCAUUUUACUUUUGUUAUAUUAUUUAAUCAGUGUCUCUUAAAAGAAUUAUUAGAUUGUGUAUAAAAUAAUAGAUUUGUUAACAACACCACUUUUUAUUUGAAGAAACUUUCAUUGCCUAUUUCAGAGUUUAGAGUAGCAAAUUUCAGGAUAUAUUUAGACAAUGCAUUGGCCCGUUACAAGUUCUAAUCGCGUGGGUUUAGUUAAAGACUUAAAGUCAAAGUCGCUGCGUUUUGUAAAUCGAGAGUGCUCACUUACGUGUUGCUUCUAAAUUCAUUAAAAACAAUGACGUGGUACAGAUUAAGAGCGCAGACCAACGAAUCAAAUGUUAUUGGAGUUCUUUUCAUUACCACUAUUUUAUUUUAUCCACAACCAGAGAAUUUAUAAUAUUCUAAGCCAAAACGACUGGGUGGGGAGAAACUAGUGAUGGAGAUAGAUCAUUUAAUGUAAUAAUAAAUGAAUGUGCAUGAAUUUUCUACACGUUUGAGGUACAGAGAAAAUAGUGAUGGACUUUGAGCUGUAGCAAUUACCGCGUGGACUCAGUCCAUUGCGUUAGUCAUUGAUCGUCUGGUGAUGUACUGCCACCUUUUAAACUGGCAGUAAAAAGACUAAUUUUUAAACUUUUAAAUAGACUGCAACUGAACGAGUUAAAACAAAGGUUAAGUUAGAGAUGAUGCACAUGUCACGCAAGUGGCAUUUGGUCUAAGGAUUUCAUUUUAGAGACAGAUACCUGCUACAAGUAACAAAAAAUAAAGAGUUGGACUGGGCUAUUAUUAAUAGCAAAAUCUCAUUAUUGCUAUCAAUUUUUUAGCCUUUGGAUUAACUCUUUUUAUUAUUUCUAACCAUUGGAUUACAUACUAUAAGCCAGUGGGGACCACUCAACCCUAGGGGGACCAGUCAACUCUAACUAACUAAUAUUAUCCUGACUCUACAAUUUUUCAUCCAAAGAUUAAAAACUUGAUAGCAAAAAGAGCGUUUUAUUAUUAAUAAUUCUAGCCUAAUUAUAUAUAUAUAUAUAUAUAUAUAUAUAUAUAUAUAUAACUAGGCCGGAAUACUAUCAAUAGCACCAAGCUAUUGGUGCUAUUGAUAUUUUAGUCAUUGGAUUAAGAAAUGGAUGAUUAGGAUGAUACGGAGCCCCUAGGGUUGAGUGAGUGGUUGGUUGAAUAGUAUAAUCUAACGGGUAAAAAUAAUCAAAAAGUUAAAUCUAACGGUGGAAAACUCGAUAUCACCAAAUCCUUGGUGCUAUCGAUAGUAUCCCAGCCAGACUAUAUAUAUAUUAUAUAUAUAUAUAUAUAUAUAUAUAUAUAUAUAUACUUUAUAUUAUAUAUAUAUAUAUUAUAUAUAUAUGAAUAUAGUUGAGCUAGAAUACUAUCGGUAGUAAACGAGUCCGUUUUACUACCGAUUUUUUUUGAUGAUAGAACUUCCAAUUGACGAUCGGCUUGUUAAAUAUGAUCUAAACCAUUUAAACUACCUAGAGAAUCAAAUUCACGCAUUUCGAUAUUGUUCUUUUUAUCCAUCAAGUAAACAGGAAAUGAAUGGGCUUAUAUAAUACUCUUUAAAAAAUGAUGAUAUAUAGGAGUCUUGUAAUUAAGAUCAAAGAGUAUAGAUUUUUGUUUUAAAUAGUUUAAAGAAUUUUCUAACAAAAAUUCAAUUGAUUUGGAUAUCAUUACGCCCGUUAAACGAGAAAACGCUCUUAUCGACUAUUAAAAUUACAAAUUUUGAAACAAAUCAUUAGGCAAUGAUGUCGAAAAGAUUUGAAAUUUUGAUUUCUAAACACUUCAAGUGUAUAGAUCAUGUUCAACGGAGCCGAUCGUCAUAUUGGAAGUUUCAUCAUCGAAAACAAAUCGGUAGUAAAACAGCUCGUUUACUACCGAUAGUAUUCUAGCUCAACUCUCUCUCUCUCUCUCUCUCUCUCUAUAUAUAUAUAUAUAUACUCUCUUUUUCCUCUCUCUCUCUCUCUCUCUUCUCUCUCCCUCUCUCCUUUCUAUAUAUAUAAUAUAUUAUAUAUAAGAGAGAGGAGAUGGAGAGAAGAUGAGAGAUAGAGAGAGAGAGAGAGAGAGUUGAGCUGGAAUACUAUCGGUAGCAAACGGGCUCCGUUGCCACAUAUUUGUUUUCGAUGAUGGAGCCACUAAAUCGAUGAUCGGUACCGUUGAAUAUGAUCUAUACGACUUGAAGUAUCUCAAAAUCAAAUUUCAUGUUUUCCGAUUUUGUUCUUUUGUCCAUCAAGUGGGCGUAAAAUGAGCGGCUGGAAAUGAAUAUCCUCUAAAAAAUGAUGAUAAAAAUUUUGUAAUCAAGAUCAUGAGUAGAGAUCUUAUUCUAAAUAGUUUAAAGAAUUUUAUAACUAAAAUUCAAUUGAUUUGGAUAACUUUACACCGUUAAACGAGAACACGUCUCAUAUCUACCAUUAAAAUUAUAAAUUUUGAAACUUUUGAUCAUUAGGUCAAUGAUGUCGAAAUGAUUUGAAAUUUGAUUUUUAGAUAUUUCAAGUGGUAUAAAUCAUGUUCAACAGUACCGAUUGUCAAUUUAAAGGCUCCAUCAUCGAAAACAAAUGGGUGACAAUGGAACUAGUUUGCUAUCGAUAGCAUUCCAGCUCAACUAUAUAUAUAUAUAUAGGAAAGUUACUAUACUUUUAUAAUUAUAAAUCCUUUUAUAUUCAUAAAUUUUCGACCGUGGGAUAAAGUGUUAGAAUAAUAGUUAUUCCUGAUUAGCAUGAUAGUGAUCUUUUAGGAUUGAGUGGGUGGUUGGUUGAAUAGUAUGAUUUAACGGAUGAAAAUGGUGAAAAGGGUAAAUCUAAGGGCUUGUUUGGUUCAAGAGUGGAAUUGGAAUGGAUAAUGGAAUGUGAAUAAAUUGGAAUGGCAAUUUGAUUGCCUUACUCCCCCAAGACGUUUGGUUUAUUUCUGGAUUGAAAAUCGGAAUGAAUUAUUCCUAUUUUACUGUUUGGUUUAUACAAAGUAAAAAAAUAAUAGAAUAACAUAAUACUAAUUUUACUUUUAAAUAUAAUUUUAUAAAACUAUUUAAAAUUGAUAAAAAAAAAUUAAUACUAUUCUCAAGUUAGAGCUACGCCAAAAAAAAGGAAUUUAUUUUAAAAAUUUUUAUGCAAAAAAUUACAAAAAUAUGCAUAAAUUGUUUGAAUAAAAUUGUAAUAAAAAUUGAUAUAUCACAUUUUUUAAAUGAUGACAAAAGAGGAAAAAGAUUGGUAUACGGAGAGAAAAAAUGGAUAAGAUGGAGAAGCGUUGGGCUGGGUCUAUGGAUGAGGAGAGUGUGGGCUUGGGAUUGAAACUUCAAUCUGAGCUUGGAGACCAGAAUCAAUUUGUAAGCUAAUGGACCAAUCCUAUUCCGAUCCGGAAUGGAAGUUCCAAACCGAUUCCUGUGAACCAAACAAAAUUAACAGGAUUUGGUCAAACCGAUUCCCAUUCCGGAUCCAAAAUGUAUGAACCAAACAUGCCCUAAUAGUUGAAAAUGUACGAAUAUAAAGAGAUUUAUACUUAUAAGAAUAUAUAUAUAUAUAUAUAUAUAUAUAUAUAUAUAUAAAAUUGAGCUUCUAUGCUUUUAAAAGUUCCAAAGCAUUAGUGCUUGCAAAUUUUUAGCCUUUGGAUAUAUCUAUAUAUAUAUGCUAUGGAUAUAUCUAUAUAGAGCUAGGCUGGUAUACUAUCAGUAGCACGGAAGCCUCCGUGCUACCAAGUUGUUUUCAAUGAUGCGGCUUUCAAAUCGACGAUCGGCUCCGUUAGACUUCAUUUACACUAUUGAAAGUAUUUGAAAAAUAAAUUUCAUAAUUUUUCGAUAUCAUUUACCCAUCAAACUAGUAGUCUAAAAAUGAACGGCUGAAAAUAAAAAUCUCAAAAAAAAUGAUGAUAGAAGACUUGAAUUUAAGAUCAGAGGUACUGUUCUUACUUUGAAUAGUAAAAAAAAUUUCUAUAAAAAUUUCAUCUGAUUUGGAUUGUUUUACACCGUUAAAUUUACAAAUGCAUCACAUCUACCAUUAAAAUUGUCAAUUCUGAGGCCUUUUGAUCACUAGCCAAAUGAUGUCGAAAAAUUCUGAAAUAUAGUUUCCAAAUACUUUCAAUAGUAUAGAUCAAGUCUAACGGAGCCGAUCGUCGAUUUGAAAGUCGCAUCAUUGAAAACAACUUGGUAGCACGGAAGCCUUCGUGCUACCGAUAGUAUAGUAGCCGGACUCUAUAUAUAUAUAUAUAGAGUUGAGCUAGAAUACUCUCGAUAGUAAACAGAGCAUUUUACUAUCGAGUUGUUUUCGAUGAGAGAGCUUCCAAAUUGACGAUCGGCUCUGUUAAAUAUGAUCUAAACUAUUUAAACUAUCUAGAAAUCAAAUUUCACGCACUUUCGAUAUUGUUCUUUUAUUCAUCUAGUGAACAAAAAAUGAAUGGUUGAAAAUGAAUAUUCUUUCAAAAAUGACGAUAGGAGUCUUGUAAUCAAGAUCAAGAGUAUAGAUCUUGUUUUAAAUAGUUUAAAGAAUUUUCUAACAAAAAUUCAAUUGAUUUGGAUAUCUUUACACCGUUAAACGAGAAAACGUCUCUUAUCCACCAUUAAAAUUACAAAUUUUGAAACCCUUUGAUCAUUAGGCAAAUGAUGUCGAAAAGAUUUGAAAUUUGAUUUCUAAACACUUUAAGUGGUAUAGAUCAUGUUCAACGGAGCCGAUCGUCAAUUUGGAAGCUCUAUCAUCGAAAAACAAUCGAUAGUUAAAUACCCCGUUUGAUAUCAGAGAGUAUUCUAGCUCAACUCAUAUAUAUUAUAAUAAUAUAUAUAUAUAUAGAUUAUAGAGUGAGGCUACCAUAACUAUCGGAACACAGCCUUUCGUGCUUCCACUCGUUUUCGAUGUUGCGAACUUUCAAUCGUACGACCCGGCUCCGUUAUAAAAAAAAAAAAAAAAAAAAUUGAUUCUUAGAGUAUUGUAUAACCUAGAAAUAAUUUUAUGAGAUUUUACGAUUUCAUUGCCUAGGACGAAGGAGCUCAAAAUUAACGCGUAAAAAUAAAAAUCUUACAAAAUGUAAUAAUAUGACAUUAAAAUUUUAAAUCAAAGAUAUUGAUCUUGUUUUAUAUAGUAUAAAGAAUUUUCUAUCAAAAUUUCACGUGAUUUGGAUAUUUCUACACCGUUAAACUUGCAAACGGCUCACUACGGCCAUUGAAAUUUGUUGAUUUUGAGCCCAUUCGAUCACUAGGCAAAUAAUAUCGAAAAAUAAUAAAAUUUAUUUUCUAGGUACUCCAAAUACUCUAGAUCAAAUUUAACGGAGCCGAUCGACGAUUCGAAAGUCGCAACAUUAAAAACGAGCUGGAAGCACGAAAAGCUCCGUGCUUCCGAUAGCAUAGUAGCCUCACUCUAUAUAUAUAUAUAUAUAUAUAUAUAUAUAAACAAAGAAAGUGCUGCCCACGCGCUCUCUAUAGGGAUGGCAUAUCUUACACCUUUGAAAUUUAAAGGCUUUACAAAUUUCUAAAAAGCUUUUAGUAAAUGAGACAAAUAAAAUCAUCCUAACCAUGAAGAGAGUAGAGGGUAAGAUUUACACCUAUAGCAUUCGUGCAUAGGUAGCAUUGCUCAAAACAUAUUACAAAACUCAUCAUAAAAUUGCAGUAUGCGACACGGAUACAAAUCGCCAGAAUAUGAUACAGGGUUUGAGUCAAAAUCAUCAGUAUAUGCUACAGGGUCUGUGUCAACAAUAGUGGCGUUAAGCUAACAAGAAUCAAAUUCAAUGGCACAUGAGAAUUUAAUAGAAGGAAAUGCUGUAUAAGAGCUUCCGCUUGUGUUGCUUCUCAAAUGCUGCAACUAUGUCGUCAAUAGCAUCCUCCCAGCAAUCCACUGCUUCGAGCUGCAGUAGAAAAGUGAAUUUAGUGAAUCAGAUACAGCAUAUAUAUACUGAUAAAUCAUCUGCUAUGGUUUUUUUUUUCUUCAGUUCUCUAUCAUAAAUUUUUCAACAGCUAUUCAUUUGGAGCCAGCAACAGAAAUCGUAUGCCUCCAUAUAGUGACGAUGUUAUGAUUGCCGUGGACUGGACCCAGGCACAUGCCCUAUCCAGAUCCACAGCUAAUUUCCUUGUUACAUUAGGAUAUUUCUUUCCUUGUUAGAAGUUUCAUAAACUAUGUCGACAUAGAGUGAUACACAGAUAGCAGUGGAGAAAGAAACUAAGAUGAGAGACAUAAUAGACUUGUGUUUUAACACAUCCAACAAUUUCUCAAUGUCAUACCAUUGUGGAGGAUGGUAUAGUUUCAAAAUUCUACUAAAAGAAAUCAUUCUAAUCGUAGGGGUGACUAAUAAUGUGGUGUAACCUGUAGCACUAUUAGUUACCGGACAAAAUCCAAAUUCCGGAUUAUCUCAUCUCAGAGUUCUGAUUAUUCUCACAAGUUGUAGUGGAACGUUCAAGUAAGAAUGCCCUCAGCCACGAGGAUUCAAAGAUUUAAGGCAUGGUAGUUAUUUAGGAGAAAUCUCAUAUUUCAAUUUACUAUCAAGGAUAGACAUUGACGGUAGCAUAUAUAUUAACAAGUUGAAGAAAGAGGAAAAAAAUAAAGGAUGGAGAAUAGUAACAGAGACAAACAAAAAUAUACCUCCUGGCAUAAGUCCAAAGCAAGCUUAGCUCCGACAGCAGCUUCUUCAUGGUUAUCUUUGACAUCCAAAUUAAUUAUCAACACACUUUUCAUCAAUGUUUGCUCACGGUUAUUUAGAUCUGCACAAAAUUAGCAUGGGAUUCGCAACAAAGCUCUUCCGCUAUGCAACUAGUAGAGGGCAAAAUAAAGAGGAAAGAAAAUGCAAAUUCACAUCAAAGUAUUCCGUAAGUCUAUGAAGUUUGCACAUUAUAUAAAAGAUAAAUAAGAGAAGGGCAAAGUUUUAGAGAACUUCCUUCAUGGGACCAUACAACCAAUGUACUGUGGAAAUAUUUUGGCUUUAAUAGCAUGAGUAACUUGGUAAUUAAUAACAGAGUCAGCAUCCAAAGCACAUCCCGAAGGUCAAAAUAUUCAGAAUCAACAAUGCCUACACGACAGUUGCAACUAAUGAAACCAUAUUCAAGCCAUGAACUUAUGGCCAGAUAGGCUGAAGCUCGAAAGCUUACUGGUAUGCAGUUAAUAGUGGACAUUUCAAAGAGACAGAGGUGUCCAAAACAUACGGUAGUGUUUGGAUACCGGAUUAUAGAAAUCUUACAAAAUAUUCUUCGUGAGAUUUUAUCAUAAUUCACACAUGCAGCUAGCUAGCUUGUUCAAAUACAAAGAAAACUGGAUACAGGCGGAAUGAUUAGUGUGGGUUAGAGUAAGAUCCUGCACAAAUAGCCCCCAAUCACACAACAAGAACAAGAUGAAAGGCCAACUCAGGUUGAUUCUCUAUACAAGUAACUUUAAUUUCGCCUAUGUUAUCAUUGUUUCUUUUUGCUUAAAUCGAUCUCAGUAAACCAAAUGGAUGAGCACUUGUUACUAACUACACUUCAAUAAGCAGAUAAGAAUUCUCACUUGUCUGGAAGAGGGAAAAAAAAAAAUUUAAUCAUUUGCCCACGUCAGAAGUAUUUUCAUUACUCCGAAUGAUUAACAGAGUGGUAAAGAAGAGUGAUUAAACAAUCAGACCAAAAUUUGAAAUCAUGAUACGAACACAAAGCACUCACAUUUAAAACCUCGAAACAGAUAUAGCUUUCGUAAAACCCUAGAACAAACCUUCGAUGACCAUGUCGAAGACCUUCUCCUCGAAGGUGAAGACGACAUCGAAGCACCCAUCGGCCGCAUUCUCCUGCCACCGCUGCGGCGCCGUUUUCACGCUGGAGUUCCUCUUCAGCAUGGGCAAGAUCCCGUUGCGCUUGUACCUAGAAACAUGGUUCCGAAGAUCACAACUAUGGGGGCAAAAAAAACAAAGGAAAGGGAUCGAAAGGGGAAGAUGGGGAGGAAAGGGGUUAUUAGGGCAGGGCAAAGCAUACGCACAGGUCGGGGUCUUUGCGGCGGAGGUCGUCGUACAUGAACUUGUAGGGGGUGCCGAAGUCGUAGACGUUGGGCUCGCGGAGGGAGGGGCCGGGGAGCUUCACGUGGGCGCCCGUCCCGUACGAGCUCACGUCGAGCCCGUGCCGCUUCAGCAGCGAGUGCGCCUCCAUGCUCCGGUUCUGGUUCGACGAGCACACCAUCGCGUGCCGCAGCUUCGUCAUCCUCUUCUCCUUUUCCUGCUCCUCGUCCUCUCUCCUCGUCGUCGUCGUCGUCGUCGUCGUCGUCCCCGCGAUCGCGUUCGAACGAGGUCGAGGGCCGAGUGGUCUAGGAAUGAUGGAGAAGACGCUCUGGGCUUCGUUGGGCUUCUACUUGUUUGUCACCAUGGAGCGGGCCGAGUUGGGCUUCGUUAUCUGAUUUAACGGGUCGGGUAUGUGUUAUUGGUGGGUCGGGUCAAAAUUGCCGCUGUCGUAGGACCCGCCAGCUAAAGUAACGAAGAAGCCAAAGCGGUUGACUCCACAGACGACCGGCGACGUUUCCGUCCAUGGCGCCUUUUUCUUCUUCUCCCCAGUCAACAUUCCGCUUUGUCUCCACUUCUCUCUCACGCAAUCCCCAUCCACCGAACCCUAACACCCCUAUUCCCUUUCUCGCCACCAAUUCGAUCUCCUUAUCCCCUGUACGAUCCGACACCGUCGCCCAUGGAGGCCCCGCUCCAGGCCCUGAUCGCCGCCGCCGUCUCCUUCGUCCUCAUCUCCCUGCUCUUCGCCCUCCUCCUCCUCUUCUUCAGCGCCGAUCGCGACGAGAGCGCCUCCUUCGACCCCUCCNGAUCUCCUUAUCCCCUGUACGAUCCGACACCGUCGCCCAUGGAGGCCCCGCUCCAGGCCCUGAUCGCCGCCGCCGUCUCCUUCGUCCUCAUCUCCUCGCCUUUUCCCCGCCGCAACCCCUCCUUCUUCGCCGAUCGCGACGAGAGCGCCUCCUUCGACCCCUCCCUCGACCGGAUCUCGCUCCCCGAACUCGCCGCCGCCACCGGGGGCUUCUCAUCCGACGCCAUAAUCGGCGACGGGAGCUUCGGGUUCGUCUACAAGGCCGUCCUCCCCUCCGGCACCGCCGUCGCCGUGAAGCGCCUCUCCGCGGACGCCGCCGCCUCCCAGGGCUUCCGCGAGUUCCGCGCCGAGAUGGAAACCCUGGGCCGGAUCCGCCACCCGAACCUCGCCCGCAUCCUCGGCUUCUGCGCCUCGGGCCGCGACCGCCUCCUCAUCUACGAGUUCCUCGAGCGCGGGAGCCUCGACUCGUGGCUCCACUACCCCGACGCCGACGCCGACCCUGGCCGCGCGGCGCCGCUGCCGUGGUCGGCCCGGGCGCGCGCCGUGCGCGGCGUGGCGGCGGGGCUGGCGUUCCUCCACGAGGGGUGCGAGCCCCCGAUCAUCCACCGCGACAUCAAGGCGAGCAACGUGCUCCUCGACGCCGACUUCGGGGCGCGGAUCGCCGACUUCGGGCUGGCGCGCCUCGCGGACGAGUCGCACUCGCACGUGUCGACCCAGGCCGCGGGGACGAUGGGGUACAUGGCGCCCGAGUACAGGGAGGGCGCGGUGAGGGCCACGCCGCGGGGCGACGUCUACAGCUUCGGCAUGCUCGUGUUCGAGGCCGCGACGGGGCGGAGGCCGAGCUGGCCCGUCAGGGAGGACGCGGCGGAGGGGUGGACCGAGGUCAGCAUGGCGCGCUGGGCCCGGACCAGGGUCGAGCAGGGGAGGUGGAAGGACAUCCUCGACCCUCGGAUGGCGAUCCCAGGCGAGAUUUUCGACCAGGAGGACGAGGUGAAGGCCUUCCUGGACCUGGCCUACCGGUGCACGGAGGAGUGCGCCCCGAAGAGGCCGUCCAUGGGGGAGGCGGUCGCCAUCCUCGACCAGAUCAACUCCAAUAAAUUAAAUUAGAUAAUAAUAAUAAUAAUUAUUAGAGGGAGGGAACAAAUUGGUCCCUUGCACCGGCUAUACCACGUCCAUCUGUGGACCUAUAACGGGUCAAGAUAUACGUGGAAUAAUCCCGUAAUUAUUUUUCGGUAUAUUUUUUUAUCACAAUGUCGUAUAUUUUUCGGUAUUUAAUUAUUAUAUUGUAUUACUACUCCAAAGGAGCGGCAAAGAAAAGAAACACCAAUAGUUAUACGGGUUAAUGUUGUGUAACAAAAUUUAAAUCAAAUUCCAACAGGAAACAAGCGGUAAGAGCUCGAAGGAUUGAGGUUUCAAGAAAUUUUGCUUUUUGUAAUUUGUGGUUGUUAUAUAUAUAACUCUUAUGUAAAAUCCAAUUUACGAAUUAUUAUGCCAUAGCCCUUAGAAAAGCCCACUUUGGUUUAAUUCCUGAUUGCAUCAACCGGAAUCAAAUGGGAAAGCCCAAUCCUGCAGCUUCAUGACCAAUGACCCCGUACAAAUCUCUCGCGAUUUAUUUAUAUAUUGUCAAAACAAAAACCAAAAAAAAAUAAAAACACUUUGAUAUGAGCAACCAUGCAAAUUCUUUAACUCAUGCAUAAAUUGUAAAAUGUCCGUAAUUGCUGAAUUAAAGGUGAAUGUAAGUUUGUGAAAUUGGUGGAACUGAUAUCAAGUGUUGACGACACAAGGGUGGAAUGUUCUCUGGGCCUAAACAUGACCUGCUGGGUCGGUUCGUCUUUGGGGCUACAGACCGAAUUUUGGGCUGGACUGUACUAAUUCACAGCUUCAGGCUGGCGCCCAAACCUUGUAAAUAUAUGCCUGUGCCAAGCUCAGACAUAGGACAAUCCGAUCCGAACUUGAUGCAUGCCAUACAGAUUGUCUCUAAUGCAAGUGACAAAAUACUUGAUAAUUGAUACUCAAAAUCUCAAAUUCGAAUCCUAAUUAAUUGACAUUUUCAGCUAAAUUUAUUUCUAAAGAGAAAAAAAGAAAGUGGGUAGCAUGUUAUUUUUCUCUAAAAAAAAAAAAAUUUGAUGCACGCCGUUUAUAUGUAAAACUAUCUUAUGAUCGAGGCUUCACGUUGACUUCUGCUAGAAGUGCUUCUACCAUAAUUCAGGGACACAUUUUUCCUCUCUCUCUCUCUCUCUCUCUCUCUCUCUCUCUCUCUCUCUAUAUAUAUAUAUAUAUAUAUAGAGUUGAGCUAGAAUACUAUCGAUAGCAAACGGGCUCCGUUGCCGUCCAUUUGUUUUCGAUGAUAGAGCCUCUAAAUCGACGAUCGGUACCGUUGAAUAUGAUCUAUACCACUUGAAGUGUUUAGAAAUCAAUUUUUAAAUCUUUUCGACAUCAUUUGCCUAAUGAUCAAAGUGUUUGAAAAAUUGUAAUUUUAAUGGUUGAUAUGAGGCGUUUUUUCGUUUAACGGCGUAAAGAUAUCCAAAUCAAUUAAAUUUUUAUUAGAAAAUUCUUUAAACUAUUUAAAACAAGAUCUAUACUCUUGAUAUUGAUUACAAGACUCCUAUCAUCAUUUUUUAAAGAAUAUUCAUUUUUUAGCCGUUCAUUUUUGUGUCCACUCGAUGGAUAAGAGAACAAUAUCGAAAAUGUAUGAAAUUUGAUUUCUAAACACUUCAAGUGGUAUAGAUCAUGUUCAACAGUGCCGAUCGUCGACUUGUAGGCUCCAUCAUCGAAAACAAAUGGGAGGCAAUGGAGCCCGUUUGCUAUCGAUAAUAUUCUAGCUCAACUAUAUAUAUAUAUAUAUAUAUAUAUAUAUAUAUAUAUAUAUAUAUAUAUAUAUAUAUAUAUAUAUAUAUAUAUAUAUAUGUAUAUGUAUGUAUAUGUAUAUGUAUGUAUAUGUAUAUAUAUGUAUAUGUAUAUAUAUAUAUAUGUAUAUACACACACCACGCGCGCGCGCACACACACACAUAUAUAUUUCAGAAUCUAAUUAGUUACUUUCAUGAUCAUAUAUUUAUAUAUAUGUAUACACACACCACACACACACACACACACACACACACACACACACACAUAUAUAAGUAUAGAUGCAACCUAAUUUGCUUAAGAUAUAGACUGAGAAGGAAACAAUGUAUACCAAGAGUUGGUUGUCUCUAAAUCACACCAUCCAAAACUCAAACCUCAUUUUUUCUAUCAUUACCGCGUCAAAGACAGCAGCUAGCAGAAUUGGAGUGAAGCAAUUUGUUCCAAAUUUCAUCACUGUGUAAUUAAGUUUGUGCAAGGGAUCAGCAAUUUCAUAAAGAGUGCCGACAGACUUAGUCAAGCAACAUAUACGUGCCCUGCAACCUGCAUUCUGCCUUAAAGGCAGCAGCUAGCAGAACAGGAGUGAAGAACUCUAUUCCAAAUUUCGUCAUUGUGAAAUUUAGAUUGUGCAAGGGAUAAGCAAUUUCAUAAAGAGUGCUGACAGACUUAGCUGAGGAACAUAUAAGUGCCCUGCAAUUUGCACGGAAAGUCUAAAACCCAUCCUCUUAAGUGUAGGUAAGUAACGGGAAACAAAAGGAUGAGAAAGAAAACAGGGAACAGGAAGGGUUGGUUGCCUAUAAAUUAGACCAUCCAAAACUCCUUUCUCAUUUAUUCUAUCAUCACUGCCUCAAGGGACAACAGCAAGCACAAUUGGAGAUUACACCCACCCUUAAGAUAUAGGCUGAGAAGGAUCCAAUGAAUAGGAAGAGUUGGUUGUCGCUAAAUUAGACCAUCCAAAACUCAUUCCUCAUUUUUUUAAUCACCAAAGCCUCAAAGACAGCAGCCAGAAAAAUCAGAGGGAACAAUGAAUACCAAGAGUUGGUUGCCUGGAAAUUAGAACAGCCAAAACUCAUUACUCAUUUUUCUAGACAUUACUGCAACAAAGACAGCAGCUAGCAUAAUUUGGAAAUUAGAGUUUGGGCCAGGCAUUGCAGCAGAGUUAAGCGUAAGCGGGAAGUAAGAAAAUGUGAACAUAGUCAAAUUUAGAAAUGGAGCAAAAGCUUGAAUAAAAUUCAAAAAUUUUGGUGUAUAUAUAUAUAUAUAUAUAUAUAUAUCCAAAAAAACUAAUCAUCAACCAAUCAAAAUAUUUUCCAUUAAUAUUGUUAAAAAUAAGGAUGAAGUAACUAGUAUUUUCAUCGCUUACGUUCUUUAAUUUCUUACAUUCUUGCUAGGACAUUUGUUGUGUAUAUAUAUAUAUAUAUAUAUAUAUAUAUAUAUAUAUAUUCUCUCAACUUCUUCCUCUUGCUGCAAAUUUUAUGUCGUAUGUGGUAGCACCUGAUUUAAUUAUCAUUUAUUGAGAAAAAUCAAAUUGAUCUUUUUAUGUACGUAGCGCCAUACUCAGUAUUUGCAACUGAUCAAAAAAGUCACUAGAUUAGAAUGUUUGCGGUUAAUAGUAAUUUUAGCAAAAUCCAGAAGAAAACAUCUACCAAGCCCCCAGGAACUACAAGUGUGCAUACAGGGGCAGAAACCUAAGAAGGAAUUGGAGUGUUUGGUGGUGGCAGAGGCAGGAGAAAUGCAGUAGUGCAUCCUUUUAUGAUGCCAUCAUAAUAGAUAGCAACAAAAAAACCUUCUCUCUUAACGUAAGAGAGAAUAUGAAGAAGGGAUAUGCACCCCAGAAGGUCCAUAAAGCCAAAAAGUCACUUCUUUGAAGAGAAAAUGAUUACUUACAAACUAACUUCAGAAACCUGCCAAAUAAAGCAGACACUUGGCCAAAAUAAUGAUAACCUGCAGGGUUUGUGUUAUGGUAAGUACCUUAAACUUGCUUUAGUGGGAAGUUACAUGAAAAUGUUUUUAGAGGCUAAAAUAGGAAUUUCUAUUUUAUCCUCACAUGAAUCAGCAUGUAGCUCUGGGUGAAUACACUAUAGGAGAUGUAAGUUAUUGUGGAUGGUAAUAAGCGUAAAUUAUAUAUGCCUAUGUAGGGUUUAAUAGUUUUGAAGAGCGAGAGUUAAAUAGUUUUGCAAACAGAAAACUCAAAUAUUUGAAUUACCGUCCCUAACGUAAGUGGCAAAGAAUUUAACGGUUGGUAUCCAAAGCCCCAAAUUGAAGUUUAAUUAUUUCACAUUUCCAGUCAAGUUAUUUCUAAAAUAAACAAGAGAAGCAAGUAGUAUGCGAUUUUUCUCUCUCAAAAUAAAAAAUAAAUUAUAGUAGAAAUCUAAAAUAUAUAAACUUCUAAGUCUAAGAAAAUUCGAAACACAUCAACUUAAAUUCUAUAUUUUUAUUUUAUAUAAGAAGCUGGACCGAAAUUUCAUCGGAUUUUCUUAUACAAUAAUGUAUUGAAGCAAUACUUUGCAAAAGCUCAAAUUAGCCAAAAAUAUACACCUGGGACCAUGUGUGAUUAGUAACGUGUGUACUAUAUAGGUGAUGCUUGAAAAGAAAGAAUAUAGUAGAAAGAAAAAGGAAAACACCCUGCCGUAGUUUCAGAAGCCACAAUUCAAGAGAAAUAACGGCCAAAUCAUAGCUUGUGUUGUUGUAUUUGCUAUAUAACAUGACACGUCUCGCUUCGCAAAACUUACUCUACUAAUUAAUUAAACACUCAUCGAAUUAAGCGUCCUUUUACGGUUUUACUACAACUUUAGAACACGGUAAAAGCGGCGAAAAACUGAAACCGUAGAGCAGGUCCUCUCCAUUCCAGUUGAAGCCCUCCAAGCGUCAAAGAUUGUGUUCAUCUCUAUGUGUCAUCCAGGCAUGCAUGAGCCUAAAGUUUCAGUUCCAACAGUAAAAUUUAUAUGAUCUACUGAAACAUUAGCGUAAUUGUAACGAACAACGAAGGGUAUACUGGGUAGAAGAAUAACUUUCGGUGUGGGUCCCGCCGCUUGGCAAAUCUUUGUAACACACAUGUCGUUACGCGUUUUUGUCAGUCACCAAACAACUGCGUUCUCUUACGUAUGAUUAUAUUUUGGGCAUUUCCUUAUCUCUGCGCUACCUUAUUCUCAUUCUCAUUCCCAUUCUCUUCUCUCCCUCUCUCUUGUGGCAUUUUCUUACUCUAGAGACCAUCUCAUGUCUCAGGAAGGAGAUGGAGGAGGAGGGCAAGGUGGAUUCCCAUGGGAAAAUCCACAAUGGGCCUUUUCAAAUUCGGAUAACUCCGGCAGCGGAAGAAAUGAUCCAAAAACUGGUACCCGGCCUGUCGAGUCGACCACAAAUAGCCCGACGAACCAGAAAGAUCCGGGCGAGCGGAAGCGCAACCGUCCGGGGCCGUCGAAGAGCUCCUCCUCCAAAGGAGUUGGCGGUGUAGGGGAUUCGGACCAUGAAUUACAUAUAUGGACCGAGAGGGAAAGGAGGAAGAAGAUGAGGAACAUGUUUUCUAACCUCCAUGCCCUCCUUCCUCAGUUGCCUCCUAAGGUAUAAAUGUCCGAACCAUGCACAUUGGCUUAGUCAAAGGUUUUUAUGUUACUUUUUUCUUUUUUCGCUUCUAGUUAGGAUUUGUUCUUGGACAAGGUCUUGCUCUCGUUCUAGAUCAAUGUUUAUGUACAAUUUUCUCUCUCUCUCUCUCUCUCUCUCUCUCUCUCUCUCUCUCUCUCUAUAUAUAUAUAUAUAUAUACAUAUAUAGAUCGAUUAUGCAUGCAACUUAAAAAGUUGAUUCUUAUUUUGAACUUCUUGGUUAUUUAGUGAGUUGGAAGUGAGUAUCCGUUGGGCUAAUUUUUCAGUGCAUUUAUGGCUGUUUCACUUCCUCAAAAAGACAUAUAUAUAUAUAUAUAUAUAUAUAUAUAUAUAUAUAAUAUAUAAUAUAUAUAUAUAUAGGAUGUGCACUUGCCUGUAAGUAACCUAUUCUUCUCAUAAUUAUUCUCCUCAUAACAGAGAGAGAGACGACCAGGUCCGGUCAAAGUUUCUUUUUUAAAAUUCACUGGGAAUUUAUUGUUAAUUAUAAUGCUUAAUAGGAUCUUCUUAGCAAAAUUUUCAAGGUUAUAUAUCAUUCUUAUUAUGAAUAAACCCCAUUUCUAAUGAUUAAUAUUGAAAAGUUUCACCCUAAAUCAACAAAUUUAUGAUUAUCUGAUUAAGUAGUUUCUUAUUUUAUAUAUAUAUAUAUAUAUAUAUAUAUAUAUAUAUAUAUCCAUGCAUAGGCCGACAAAUCCACCAUUGUAGACGAAGCCGUGAACUACAUCAAGACCCUGCAACAGUCCCUCCAAAAGCUCCGGAAGAAGAAGCUGGACCGGCUCCGCGGAGUAGUUCUGUCGGACCCGUCCUCGUCCUCCAUCGUCGGAUUCAACACCGCCAACAUCGCUGACCCGACGAGGGAGGGGUUCAUGGCCGAGCAGGGAAAGAAGUGGGCGGCGAUGAGCUCUCCCACCGCGCUUUCGAUCCCGCAUUUCCCCUUCUGCUUCCAAACUUGGUCGACGCCCAACGUAGUGUUGAGCGUGGCAGGAGAUGAUGCACACAUAAGCAUCUGCUGCCCCAAGAAGCCGGGGCUUUUCACCGCCGCACUGCAUGUUAUGGAGAAGCAUAAACUCGAGGUGGUGUCGGCGCAGGUCUCCUCGGAUUACUUCAGGAGCAUGUACAUGAUCCAUGCCCGUGUAAGUAUAUAACCAAAGCAAGUAUUCCUUUUUUCAUGUCCUUUUUCCUUCAAAAAAGAAGUUGAUUACUUAUUUUUUCUUAUUGUCCUCCAAAUUUUUCUUUAGAAAACCUGGUGCAAUUAAAGAAGGUAAAAAUGUAUGAAUUUUAUCUAAAUUAAGGUCCGUUUUAGAAUGACUAAUCAACCUUAAAAGGUUUUAAUUUAAGCACAAAAUAUUUUAAUUUAUUUAAUUUGAACAAGUUGAUAACUUUUCUAUUAUAAAAUUUGGAUGCACUAUUCAGUUUAAAGGAAGCUAUAUAUAUGUGAAACACUCUUAUCAAGUGUGUUGGAAAUAAGCAGUGCAUCCAAAAUUUUUUGAUAAAAAUUGCCAUCAAAUAACUUAAAUCAAAUUAAUUAAAAAAAUAAAAUAGUAAAGCUAAAAGCUUUUGAAUAUCAAAUAAUUAAUUCUUUCAAAAUUAGAUCAUUAAUAUUCAGAUAAUUAGAUCAUUAAUAGUAAAAGCUUUUUGAAGGAUAUUCAUUUUCAGCCACUCAUUUUUCUGUUCACUUGAUGGACAAGAGAACAAUAUCGACAAUGUAUGAAAUUUGAUUUUUAGAUAAUUUAAAUAGUUUAGAUUAUGUUUAACUGUGCCGAUCAUCAAUUUGGAGGCUCUAUCAUCGAAAAUAAAUUGAUAGUAAACCGAGUCGUUUACUACCGAUAGUAUUCUAGCAAAACUCCCAUAUAUAUAUUUUUAUCAGCCGAGAAUGCAAAGAGACAACUAUAUACCCCAUUCAUUCUUGCCAUUGGCUAUGGACAUAAUUAAUUGUAGUUUAUCACAAAAGAAAAAACAUCAUUAUGUUGCUAAUAAGAAUGAUUUUUUUUAAUAAGAACAUCGAAAGGUUUGGUUUUCUCAUUGUCCUAAGUUUAGUCAAAUAUUUAUGUUUAGAAUGAUAUGGAGUAUUAAGGUAAUUAAAAGAUGGUUGGUUAUUAAGAUUAUCGAAAUGCUGAUUGUUGCAUAUAUUAUAUACACAAAUUAUUUUAUGUGAUCGAUCGAGAGGCUACUAAUUAAGUUCAUUGAGAGAAAAAUAAAAAAUAGGCUAUUAAAUUAAUACUUGUCUAACAUUUAUUAGCAUAGAGAGAUACAUAAUUUAAUUUAGAGUUCUUUCUUAUUGUUUGGCUAACCUUUAUCCCCACAUUCUUUAGCCCAAAAACGGUUCUAUUUAGAAUGAUAUUUACUACAACAGUUGUUUUAUACAGUGAUACUUACUAUAUGUAAAUAAAAAUUAUCAUGGUAAAAUUAGCUGAUGCUUUAUAAGUAACGAGUCAUUGCUUUUAAAUCUCAUUUUUCUGAAAACCGUUGGUUAUUCUCAUGGGACGUAAACUGUCAAGUACUUGUCAACAGUUCGAAGCAUAUAUUAUUCCUUUUUAUUUAUUCGUACUAAGGAUCAUAUUAUAAUGCUAUUUUUUAUGCUUAUAUAAUUCACUUUAUUAAUCAAUCCUCUCUCUCUUCAUCUUCUUCUUAAUAAUUCUUCUUCUUCUUCUUGUUUGCAAUGAACAGGCAACCCGAGUUUCUGAUCAGUUCCCAGAGACGCUAAUGAUCGAAGAGAUAUAUAAACUAGCGGUAGGCGAGAUGAUCCUUUGGAUUUCUACAUGAUCCAUGAGAAUUAAUGCUAAGGAUGGAAAAAGGAGUUCUCCUUAUUAUGUCAAAGUAUGUUCGGGGCUUUCUCCUGUAUUAUAGGUUGGAAACCCUUAAUAUUCUUAGGACCGUUAAUUUAGUGCUUAAUUUGGUUGGUGUUUGUUAUUCCAAACUUUUAGUAUUUGCAAUUGGUGUAGCAUAUAGAGGGUGCUAGUGGUUACCUUGCAACUUUUAUUAUGUUUCCAUUUGAGCUUAGAAUGUUUAAUAUGUUAGUGUAAUGGAUGAGAUGAGAGAAGACAAAGUAGUUCUUUACAAGAAAUAUAUGUUUUUGUUUUAUCGCAUAUCCUGAAAUGCUCUAUCGUGUGAGGUCCCUUUUAUGUUUCCCAUUUCCAUGUUCAAUAUCUACAUAUUUUCCAAUAAAUUGCUUAACUUAUAUCACAUUUUUAUGUAUCAUACAUAUACAUCUGGAAUUAAUAGAAUUCCGCAUGGAUUUUUUCUUUAAAAAAAAAACUACCAAAGAAAAGCUCCUUUGUCUUGCCAUGAUCGCAUGAUAUCAUAGCUAGUUUUAAGCUCUAGUUUUUAUGAAAUUAAUUAAAUCUCCUGAUGUAAUGGGUUAAUUUUCUUUCUUUUAUUCUCCUGAUUUUCAUCAUGCAGGUGCAUUUUCGUAGCAAAACGAUUUUUUAGAUUACACAUUUAACACAAAAGCUUAAAGGUAGCAUCGAAAUACUACUAGCAGUUUCAUUCUAAUCAAUCAUCUUAUCUGAAGCCAAUUUUCUCAUAACUCAAACCCAAUUAAGGGGAAAAUAUUUAUGUCGCGACGAUCUUAAUUCGUAACUAAGUGUGGUUUAUCACUUGAGAAGCAUUUAAACUUGACAAUAUUAUUGACCCGCUGAUGAAACAGCACAAUUACUUAAUAAUUCAAGCUUCAUUUCAUAUACACCAUCUUGCUUUAACGAUUCCAACAUAUAUACAUUAGUUUGCAUGCAUUUGGAAUAACAAUAAGAACAACUAAACUUAACUACGUAAAGCAAAGUGCAGGAACAAGCAAACGAGUAUAGUAGCUUUCCACAACACAGUCCACGGGAUCCCGUAACUCUCCCUUCCUACUAAACCCCCCGAAGGGCCAGAAGCUAAGCACCACCCACAAGCUACCCAAAAGCUCCCCCAACCCCGCGGUUCGCCUCCCGAGCCCUACGGCGAGCGCCGACAAGUGAAUGAGCACGAGGGCCGCCCCGGGGACGAACAUGGGGGACUCGUCGAACGUGAACCGACUGGGGUCGGUCUCGGCGGCUGCGUCAUCUUGCCGGUCCUUGCGGGUGACCUCGAAGACGUUCUCGGAGAGGCCGAGGGUUUUGAGGAUCACGCUGAGGAGGCCGAAGAGCCACGCGGUGGUCGACGUGAUCCGGAGCAUCCGCUGGUUGUUCCACCAUGCGCGGAAGGAGAGACCGCAUUCCAGGUACUCUGCGAGAGUGUACGCGUUGUACAGUAUGAAGAUGGAUGAAGGGAGAAAGAAGAAGCGAUCCGAAACCUGAAACAAUAUAUAAUAUAUAAUAGUACGUAGCAUACUAGAUAUAUAGGAGCAUCAGGUGCAUGCGCGCAAUUGAAUAGAAUGGGCCUAUUGGGCCUACUUGGGUUCUAGAGUAUGGGCUUUUUAGGCCUUGCUAGCAUGUAUCCCUAGCAUUCAAUUAUCAAUUAAAUUUUUACUUAUAGAAAUUUUCCGUACAAAGUAAUAGGGAGGGGAAAAAAAAAGAAAAGAGAAAGAAAAGGUAUUUUAGGGUCAAACCUUUGGCACGAAAGAGGCGUUUGCGAGGAGGCAGUAAGCAGGGAUCAAAGCAUAGCACAGCUCGAAGAGAGAGCGCAGCGCCCACACGUUGAUGAGCAAAUAAGCUAGGCACUGUCGAACCGUGAGCCGUUUCUUGAACAAGGCCACUAAUGGGCCCUGCCGACCCAAUAGCACCUCGAGAAGGCCCGUGGCCCACCUCUUGUAUUGGGUCAGGCUCGAUGGGCCCCCGACCGGCGCACUGCCCAAGAAUGCGGGCGGAUCCAGUACCAUGUAUUUCGAUUUCAAGCCCAUCGAGUGGAUCCGUAAGCCCGUUUGGAUGUCCUCGGUCAUCGACCCGUAGACCCACCCAAUCUGCAUCAGAACAAAUAAAAAAAAAAAAAAAAUUUAAUAAAAGAACAUAAAAAACUAUUGCAUUGAUUCUACAUUGAUGAUAGAAUGACUUGAUAUAUUUUUAGGUCUUUUAUCAUGACCUUUUUGAUGCACGUGUUGUGAUUUGUCACGUAAAAUUGACUUGUUUGAGGCCUACUUUUUGCAGUAUGAGAUGAUCCAUCAUUACAAUUAAUCUAUUGCUAAUCCAUUAUAAUUUUUGCGGAUCGUAGUACAAUUGUUUAAAAAUUAGAACACGGCUAGUCCAAUAAGCACUUAGUAAAGUAGCGAGAAAAAGAAAAAAACACAUAGAAAGAAGAAGAAAAAGACUCACCUCCUCACCCCAGCUUGUGUUGAGCUCGUACGUGCAAGAAGCAACAUUUUUGGCUGCGUCUAUGCGACUCGAGAUAUCAAAUACUACUACUUUGCUAGUGCCUGAAGUAACCUGAGUUGCUGAAUCAAUUAAUUCCGUGGAAUUUCCGUAUAGCCUCUCAAGUUCUACAUGCGAGAGACGAAAUUGGAGAAAAAUUACAUUACUAUUGAGAGAAUAAGUUUAACAUGCACGAUUCUUAUUAAUUUUAUCAUCGCAUUAUCUGAAGAUAAACCUUUAGUAAUUUGCGAUAUUGAAUGUAAGAGAUUGCAAAAGACAUUUCCAUUUUACUAUUUAUAGAAGAAAAUUAUUUCUCCUGUUGAAAUUUUGAAAGCUUGUUUUUUUUUUUUUUUUGAGAAAAAGGUAGCACGCUGCCUGCUUCAUUCAUUUAGAGAAAUUUUGAAAGCUUGUUGAUAUAACCGUUUUACCAUUUCUAGUGUGCUUGUUCUUCUCUCCGGCAUCCUGAGAAGAACUGUAAAUUAUCUUUCUCCGAUGAAAGCAUCCUGUCCCUCCAUAAAAAGGGCCUUGGAUUCCUGUCAUUCCGACUCCAACUUUCUGAAAUCAAGUGAAAUUAGUUAUAACUUUACCUUAAAAAAAAAAAAGAGACCAGUAUACUUUUCUAUUAGUGAUAUUAUAAUUUGAAUAGAUUCAAUGAAUUUGAUUUUUCAUACAGUAAAAUUAAUCUUGUUAUUUGUUAACAGCAUCAUCCUUUGGAAGCGCAUAUCACUAUUGCCUAUUUGGCCUGGCUCAGAAGAAGCAGUUACAGAACCAUGAUAUAUACUAGUCCAAAAAAAAAAAAAUGAACAGUGGAGUUUCACAAUGAGACUUUUCUCACAGCAAAGGGUGUGACAAUUUGUUUCUCAAUAUUUAAUUUAUGCUCCUGAGAAUGUAGUAUUGGCUAAUUUAAAAACAGGGUGAAAAAGUCAGUAAAAAAAAAAAGAAGAGUAACAUAAACCUUCUGUAGGACAACCAAUUGGUUUCCAAAAGGAUCAUCCUUGAGAGCACCGUAGAAUUGUUGCGGGGUUUGAACAAAUGCGCUAUGAACAUCUUUCUCAAAUCCAAGGAGAAGGCACAUUCCAUGGAGAAUAACUUUGGGAUUGUUUACGAACAUGUCGCAAUCCACGUUUAGCAUGAAGGGCGCAUUUGUCAUCACACCUGAUACCCUUGUCUAAUUCAUUAACAAAAAAGUUAGUUCUGAUGAAUGACUGUUUGGAUGUCAGAUAAAAGUUUUCGUCAAUAUCAAUUUUUUCUUUUAGUGCAAUUACUGCAUCAUUCGGAAUGGUAAAAUGCCCGUUCGAAAGGCGAUAACCCUAAACUAGUUAGAAACAUUGUAAUUUAAUACUUCAAUAUUAUGAUCUUUGUUUUAUCUCUUGAGGGACAUCACACAUUACCAGGACAUUCAUAGCCCCUGCUUUAAAGUGAUGGGGAUGCUUUGGCCUCUUCUCUCUGGACACAUAGAUGAGAUGUGGGAUACUCUCUCCCAAAUCACCUUUGUUCUCCCAUAUAACCUAACAAAACAAGAGCAAGUAACAAAAUUAGAAUAAAAUAAGUACAACUACGGCCCGUAAAUAAGCUCCCUUAGAUCACAUUUUGUCACAUAAGUAUAAUAAAGAUAAUGAAUUUACCUUAAUUAUGGUAGGAUGAUUCUUCCUUCCAGUGUUCAAGAACUCAGCAAACUCAUCAUUCAUGUGAUGGGGAAUGUAACUUUUCUCGGCAUUCUCUAUGCGGCUACUUAGCUCCUCAUACUCAUUCUGAAACAUACAUGUUAAAAGAUUAUAUUAAAAAGAAAUUCAACAUAAAGGAUUUAACAUUAUAACCGAAACUUUACCUUCAUUUUUGCCCAAUCAAUUGCGAAGUCCGAGGCAGAUGCGGAGCUAUAUCUGGGCUCAGAAGAGAAGUACACAAAAGGUGCUCUGACUUCUACAUUGUACUUCUUGCAGAAGGGAACCCACAGUUUUGCAAAUUUUGAAGCCUCGACAAGCGAGUAGAAAGUUAUCGGCGAGCAUCCGUCGUCGGAGACGUAACAAGCUAGUUUCUCAGCCGGGUAGUCUACGGCAAGCAUUGAGAGCACUGUGUUUACUGUAACUAUGGGCGGUUCGAGCUUAGGGUCAGCCGUCGUGACGAACAUAUCGACCGCGGGAAGAUCAUCAAAUCUAAGCAAGAAAUGAGAAGUAAAAAAAGGGAUAAAUUGCUAUCAAAAUUGGCUCCGCGAAGUUACAUUUACUGAAUUGUUCAAGGAAUUAUUUGACACGGUCGCAGCAUAUGUAAGAGUCAUACUCAACUUCCCACAAUGAAAAGAUAUAUGUACGGCGUGUUAGUAACGGAACCUUCUUCAAAAAGGUCUAAAGGAUAAGCUACAUAAGCAGUAUAUUGAUUUUCCUCUCCGACGCUUUACAAAGUUAUAUGCACGAUAUCUAAAAUUGAAAGCUAUUUCAGAAGUCAAGUCUAGCGACUGCUAACACUUUAUUUCAUCGGUUAAAUAUACGACAAUAUGAAUUCGAAGACAUGAAUACCUCUUCGUAAGGCGGUCGGGAUACGUUUUGUACACCGCGGGGGUCCAUUUCGCAUUCAUGAACAAAAACCAUACAAAGGUAAACCAUGACUCGCAGAGGGACGCGACGAGCCAAACGGUGCCGCCGUGGGGCAGCAAGACGAGGCGGCAAAGGAGUAAGCAGAAGAGAAGGAAGAGUAUCACACAUUCUACUAGCCUGUGAAGUGUGUUGUUGUUCUGGGGGACUCUCUCUUGGAGAGGAGGAUGAAGAGUGUUUCUGGCCAUCAAUAGAAAAGAUACAAGGCAAGAUGGUAAGGCCCUUAAUAUUCUAGCCUUAAUUUGACGACAUACAUAUGGGCAACAAAUUUAUGUUGUGAACAUAUAAUACAGAUUGAAUGGUUACGGGCUCAAGUGGAACAUCUUUUUGUAGCCAUACAUUCACGCUCUGGAGUCUUGUGGAGAAGUAUUAAAGAUGGAGAAGGCUUUUCUUUUGGAUCUUUGCCUAGAACGUACAAACAAAACUUCUUUUAAAAGAUCUCACAAGGAGCCGAGAAAGGAUUAGGGGGACAUGCUCUGUAGAACAACAGAGUGGCUCAAUAACUCAUAUUUCAUCUUUUGUCUUAUAAGACAAAUGUACAGAACUUACUUAGAGUUACAGAUUAUUUUUAGUCGACAACUCAAUCUUUGAAAAUUUAAAUUUUACUAUCCAACUUUUUAAUUUGUUUAAUUUUAGUCGGUUGAAGAAACUUCGACCUCAAAAUUUGAAUGGAAUGUUUGUUUUUACAAUUUUAACUAGUUUAGGGUUUAGGGGAACUCUAUUAUCUGGGCCCCGAUACAAGCAGAGCCAAUAGACUCGCAGAUAUCUUAGGAUGUACGGUAGGCAACCUACCAUUUCGCUACUUGGGGUUGCCGCUUCAUAUCAAAUCCCUUCAAAAGGAAGAUUGGGGUCCGAUUGUUAGCCAAAUUGAGGCGCGCAUCAAAGGUUGGAAGGCUAAACUUCUCUCUUAUGGGUGACGGCUAACCUUGGUAAACUCAGUGCUCUCAAAUUUACCUUUAUUCUUUUUUGCAAUCUUUAAAGCCCCACAAUGGGUACUGAAACGCAUUGAAGCAUUGAGAAGAUCCUUCUUUUGGAGAGGGUGCUCCAAAAUUUCAGGGGGUUCAUGUCUUAUUGGCUGGGGGUCGGUCUGCAAAAGUAAGAAAGAAGGGGGAUUGGGGAUUAAAGACAUGGAAGCUAUGAAUUUGGCACUCUUAUCCAAAUGGUGGUGGUGCCUCUUCAAGGAGCCGCAGUUACUUUGGGGAAGGCUGAUUAAAGCAUUAUACUACACCAGACGAAGGCCACUAUAUGAGGGUAGAGCAUUCAGACUUUAUUCACAGUGAUGGAGAAGUGUGAUGAAAUGUCGGGAUGCCUUCAAGUGUGGGGUAUCGUACAGGCUGGGGGACGAAAAAAAUGUGUGGAUGUGGUCAGACAUUUGGAUUGAAGAAACCCCUCUGAGUACCCGGUUUUCAGGAUAUUCUCCAGAAUUGUGAACAACGAGGCCAUGGUAGCGCAAUGUUGGAAUGAUAAAGGGUGGAGAUGGCGUUUCAUCGGAAGGGGUCUCGCAAUUGCUACAGACGGUGCCAGACGUCAACAGUUCGGCUUGCUAAAAAACCUACUUUCCAACUAUUCUCUUACGGACAGUACGGAUAUCGUGGAGUGGCGAUGGACCGACGACCGAAAGUUUACAGUUAAAUCUAUGUAUGAUUUCAUUACCGACACAGGACAAUGAGACCGAAGCUGCGAACAUAUUUGGAAAUUAAAAAUCCCUACCAAAAUAAAAGUCUUCAUCUGGAUCCUACUUCGUAAGAGAUUACUUACGGCCGAUAGAUUGAUCCGCCGAGGGUGCCCGGUGAAUCCGUACUGCAUUUUCUGUGCGGUCGCAUUGGAGGACUGUGACUAUCUUUUUCGGGAUUGUGUCUUCGUCAGAUACCUCCUUCUGUUGGCGGGGAGUUCGAUUACUUGGGAGCCUGACAUAUGUGAUGUCAGGAGCCUGUGGUCGCGGACAGCUAAUUUCCCCAUUGCCCGGUCGAGAAUGAUAAAUCUCACACGUCUGACGGCAAUCUGGUGGGUUCUCUGGACAGAGCGCAACAACAAUAUAUUCCGGGAUAUGACUACGAACGCUGGCCGACUUGUGGAACGGGUCGAUUCAUUGAGGAAAGACUGGACUGAAGCGCUUGACCCGUGAACGCGCAAUCCUCUGAGAUAUCGACUUUAGGAGUAGUAGGAAUAGUCACUUUUUACCUUGCCUUUUUGGGUUACUCUUCGGUACAUUCCAGUCGGUGUGAUUUUUCGUUUUUCUUCUUUUCUGUCCUUUGUUUUGUUUGUUUUCUUUCCUGGUUCCUCGCCCGUUCAGAAGGCCCUAGCUGCCUUCAUUUUGUACGCUAAAUUCAUUUUCCUUAAUGAAUGAAGAAGGUAGCUUGCUACCUUUCUCUCUCUCUCUCAAAAAAAAAAAAAACUAGUUUAUUUCAUAUAAUUCUCGUAACUAUUAGUUUGUUAAGGUGAACGAUUAGCUUAAAUUUUAAAAUCAAAGUAUCGUUAACUGAUUUAAGUCAAAUGAAUUAAAAGUCUAGAUAUUAAAAUAAAAAAUUUGAAAGAUUAUGUAGUUGAUUCAAAAUAAUCCAUAGUUCAGAUAAAUUCUAUGUGUUUUUAUUUAUUUUCAACUAAGGCUAAAUAGUUCUUCAUCAAACUUAAAAAUUAUUAUUUUUUACAAAAAUUAUUUCUCAUCAAAUACGAUAUUACUAGAAACGGUGCAUUCUAAAAGAGUCAGUCAUAGAAUUUCUAUGCCUGCUAUGAUUUGUUGAACGUGUCAUCCUCAUCCUUCCUAGUUGGCUAGUUGUGAUUUGUUUUAUUACUAGUGGAACAGAUUCCGACGGCAAUCACAAGUAGUGUCCUUUUUCCCUUUUUUUUUGGGCCCUCUCUUGUUGAAUGAAAAAUUUAUGGAUGGAUUUUGUUCAUGUGGAAGAAGAAGAUUUCUAGAAGAAUCAAGAGGAUGAAAACGAGAUUUGAGUAGCCUUUGGCCAUAAGGAAUCAUAGAUCAGAGAUCACCAGAAAUAGGGGAUAAGGAGAUUUGGAAUGUCAUCACAGUGAGAUUUUUUUUUUUUUUUUUUAGUGAAAAGAAAUAGUAUGCCACCCGAUUCAUUCAUUAAAAAUGUACAACUUAAGCUCCAUAAUGAGAGAACUAGAGCAUCCAAAGAUAAUAAAAGAUAAGACAGUAAGAGAAACAGAAAAGAGAAAAGUUCAAAAGGCAACGAGCUCCAGAGUAAAUCACAAACAGCAAAAAAUUGUGGCUUGUUAGGUAGCAUUUGUGCUAUGGAUGAAAAUGUAGACUGCUUCUCACUUCUUAAAAAGCACUUCUUUCUUCGCUUUUGAUCCAAAAGUAACAGAACAUCUCUGGCUCAGAUGCCAAUGCUAAUACAGAGGCUAUUUAGCUGUAUUACAAAAAUAUUUAUCAAAAAAAAAAAACAAAAGAGCAUAUCGCGCCAAAAAAAAAAAAGAAAAAGAAAAAGAAAAAGAAAAAAGAUCUAAAUCUUAAAAUUAGAAACUCUGAUAUAAUGCUCUUAAUUCUAUUGCAGAAAAAAGUUAUUUGAAUUAUUUUAUAAUAAUUAUUUUUUGUGAAAUUGAAAAAAAAAAAAAAAGCCUAAAAUAUCUCUGAAUAACUGACUCCACCCACCUACAGCCCAAGCCCUCGGCAGGCCCAAUAUAAGCCUAAGCCCAAACCACAUAACUCAGCCUAACAGGCCGAAUCUACUUGGUCUACGUGUCACUUUCACGUCCGCUUGUGGCCCAAUUCUCGGGAAACGUGGACACGUCGAAUCCACCGUCCGAUAACCAACAUAAUUAAUCCUCUUCGUUCAUUUUGGGCGGAUGAGAUUAACUCUACGUUUUCUCGGACGGUGGAUGGUACGCACUCACGCGUCCGCUUUGGACUGCUAUAUAAACCCCACCCGCUCAAUUACUAGGGUUUUCCUCUAUCGUCGUCCUCUCUCUCUACGAACUCUCGAGCGGCUCUCUCCAUCCUCCUCCUCCGCUCCCCCACGAUCCAUCGCAAUGGUAAGCGAUCUAGGGUUUCUCUUCUCCUUCUUCAUCCCCUCCAAUAUCAUCUCUCUCUAAUUCGAUCUCUUCUUUUUUCCCCCAGAUUAUCCCGAAGAAGAAUCGCCAUGAGAUCUGCAAGUACCUCUUCCAAGGUUUGUCCCCUUCUCCCGACACUUAGUAAACUCUUCUAGGGUUAGGGUUUUGGAUUGCAUGAUAGUAGCUUCCAAUGGCAGAGGGGGUGCUCUACGCGAAGAAGGACUACAACCUGGCGAAGCACCCGCUGGUCGACGUGCCGAACCUCCACGUGAUUAAGCUGAUGCAGAGCUUCAAAUCGAAGGAGUACGUGAGGGAGACCUUCGCGUGGCAACACUAUUACUGGUACCUCACCAACGACGGGAUCGAGCACCUCCGAACCUACCUCAACCUUCCCUCCGAGAUCGUCCCCGCCACUCUUAAAAAGUCCGCGAAGCCGCCCUCUCGGCCCUUCGGAUCUGGCCCUCCCGGCGAUCGCCCUAGGUAUCGUGUUCUGGGAUUAUAUGGAUUGAUUUGUUCUCUUUUAUGAGAUGUUGUUGAGGAAUUUUUGGUUUAUGGGGAAUGUUACUGUGGGUAGGGGUCCACCGCGCUUCGAAGGAGAUAGGCCGAGGUUUGGGGACAGAGAUGGGUACCGCGGAGGUCCUCGAGGGGCUCCUGGUGAUUUUGGCGGUGACAAGAGUGGUGCUCCGCCUGAGUUUCAGCCAUCAUUUAGGGUAAGAUCUCUCCCUUUUACUAGUUGAUUACUGUGUUUAUCACAAGUUGGGCUACGGCAGAAUUGUGCAAUCAGUAAUUCAGUAUAAGUGGUACGACAUUGAUGGUAUUGCAGCAUUUAUGUUAUCAUUAAAAACCCCAUUUUUGUUUUCAUUAAAUAAUUAUGGCUAUUUGGUCUCUUUGUGAUAUGUAUUAAUACACAAGCAUUAGAAUGUAGUUUCCUUUUCUGUAAUUAAUAUUGUUGGAUAAAAAUAAUUAAAUAUCCAAAAACCAAUUCGCAAAAAUCACAUAAAUUUUUACAUACCUCUUGUUCUGCGGAAUGUAUUACGAUUACCAGAAUCAAAUCUCGACUUGUUUUACGAAUUCGUUAAUCCGCCAACGACCUAUCUCAAUUUAUUGCACGAGUGGCUUGAGAGUUGAGAAAGAUCGAAGUGCACGCUAUACAAUGUUGAGCUGUAUGCAUGAUGACUUGAUCAAAGAAUUUGAGAAUUAUAACACUACUAAAAAUAUGUGGGAGCAGCUCAAAGUGAAACAAAUAUAUUGGCUCGAAAUGCUCAUAUACGAAUGCCUAAGCAGUAUAUGUUUCCAUGUGUGUUCUUCUUUGUGAUACAUAUAUUAUUUUUUGAACAAUUUAUUAUAAACAUGAGCAAAAAGGGGGUACUAUCCAUGUUAGGUUCGACUUCCUUUGUCUUCCCUUAUAUUUCUAUACAUUUUGUGUUUACACCUUGUAUAACUUAGGUCAUUAUGAUGCAUUUCAUUUUCUCGACAAUUUCAUCUUAAAAUGUGACCUUGUAAACACCAGUUUUUACGUAUUUGGUAAUAUCUUUCCAUGUUUGAGAUUCAUUGAGAUUUGUUGAAUGUCCUGUUCAGUGUGAGUUAGUAGUGCAAUUUAUGGGCGUGAAGGCCUUUCCCAUUUUACAAUGGAAUCAUAGGCGCAUAAGCAAUGUUGUUUCUUUUGAACUUUGUGAAGUUAACUUUAGCACUUAAUGGCUUGCAUCUGUAGUUAGUUAAGUUUACCUUUGAGUCUUAUAUUAGACCAUGGACACACUACAUCAUCUUUCUGGCCAAUUGGGUCCUAUUUCACCCAAGAGAAAUAUGUUCAAACUUUUCCUUGAGCUUUGAAUGCUAGAAAAUUUUGGACGAAGCAGUAAUGUCCGCUAAGAAUUUGCAUGAAGAAUCCAUUCGAUUGUAAUAUCCUCCAUUGAAUCCUACCCCCCAAACCAACAAAAAAGGGUUGACACUUUGUUAUGUUGGCUUUGCUGACUUUUUCUUUUCUCUGUUAAAUUGUUACAUGUGCAUAAAUUUGUAGACUCUGUUUUUUCCUUUUUCCCUUUAUAUCUCUUACUGUGUGCUUAAUUUAUAUUAUAGGCUUAUAGCCAUAUGUUUUUGCUUCUGAAAUAAGUUGAUUUGAGUUCUCUUUUACUCUGCACCGACCUAUUUAUUCCCUAUGUUACGCAUUCCACAAUUUCACCCUGAGCAUGUAACAAGUAGUACUUGAACCUCCUUUUCUUUCUCUUCUGCCCAACCUUCAUUAAAGUUAUUUUUAAAUUACGCAAUUCUCGUUGGUGAGCAAUGUCUCUUGGAUGGUGACAAUGAUAUUGUUAUGAUUAUAUGGAAGGAAGGUUUGAUACUCUGGAACUUUCGUCGUGUAUGCCUUAUAUUAUAGGUUGACGGGGGGUAUAUUUGUAAUUCUUUCUUUUCUUAAGCCUCUUCGGUAAAGAUAUCCUUCCAUUUUUUAAUUCAUUUCCUAAUGAUUGGCUGUGCUGCAGUUGUAUCUUUACUUGAUAGUAGUAGACUUUUAUUGUUCUACAUAUUAUGAUAUAAGGCAUAACCUUUUUGGGUAAUAAUUCUGAUAGGCUUAUCAUCGUUAAAAUCAUGCAGGGUUCUGGCUCUAGGCCUGGCUUUGGGCGUGGUAGUGGUGGCUUUGGAGCAGGUCCGACAUCCUCAAUGGAGUAAAAUUCAUUUCGCCGCAUAAACUAUCAGAAAUUAUGUAGCAGUCCAAGUUCUUUCUAUAUUUAUUUGGCUUGAUUCUGUUAUCAAGUGCUAGUUAAUUUUGUGACAUGGUGUACGUGUUAAAGACGGCGAGUCAUCUGGCAGAUAGAUCUGAAUAUUUGUUUGCUCUGGCGAGAAAGUACUUUAUUUUAGCCUUUUCACUUCGCAAAUAGUUUUGGUUUUGUGUUGACAAUGUCUGAUUGUGGCUGGUGAUUUUGCCCAACGCAGAGAUGCAAUUUGUAGAAAUUAGGUAUAUUCAUUCUUCACCAUAUAUUGGAUGAGUGUUGAGGUGUGAAACGGUUUUUUGCUUUUAUGAUGUGAAUAAGGCAAAGUGGAUCUGUAGGUUUUGGUGAAGCCACACAGUUUAUGAAAACAUCAAAUCACAGUUAAAUUAAACUGUGAUCCCAUUGAACUGGUUUUCAGAGUAGAUUGAAAACGCGGUAGUGAUGCUCUAGCACAAAUAUAUUUUUUUAAUGCUUGAAUGACCCUGUUUGGUAUUUCUAUACGCAUCACAGUUCGUUCAAAGAGGGGAAAGGAAAAAGAAAAAGAAAAAGAAAAAGAAAAAAGACAACGCUGGUCUGAAAACUUGUAGUUUAUGAAAAGUGGUUCUUCUAUAGAAGAUGGAUAUAGAGUAAUUAAACUGCCCUUCAGGUGCUUUCAAAUUUUAACUUGUACGUUUGACUAACAAUAUGUUUUAAAUAUCAUUUAAAAUUUAAAUUUAAAAAUUAAUUUGAUGGUAAGAUUGCAAGUAGUGAUUGGAGGAAGAGUGCAUAAAUUCUUGUUAUGAUAUUUUCCACCGAGCUGUAUAUAUCGGUGCAGAGAAUAGAAAUCAUAACAGAAGAUGGUGACCGUACGCCUAUCCCGCCAUUUUUUCCCAGCAAACCUACCAGCAAUUCAGUAUGGAAAUCUCAAUUUUCCUGAGACGCGAUGAAACAUGGAUCGUCGUUUUGGGCGGUCCACCGCUGAACUGGUGGACCAGGCCGACGCAACGAAUUCCAGCUGCUCUUAGGUACGGCUGUUUAAUCCCACAUCGGCGCGGCAGGAUACUGUAAGAGGUAAGGAGGCUAUAAAAUGAGGCCUCGGCCCGGUGACAAAACUCAUACCUUUCUCGGCCUUUUGGCUAAGAUCAAGUGUAGUAUCUGUUCUUAUCAGUUUAAUAUCUGAUACGUGGGCCAUGUGCCCACCUCGAUAUUAAAUUAAUUUUUAUGUGGGGGAGGGUCCAUCCACGGUAGCUUGCUAUCGGGGCCCUCGCGUCGCCCUUGCGUUGCACUACUGCUUGGGCCUGGCGCACCCCUACCAAUUCUCAAACUCCAAACUCUUCUCAUUCAAAAUGUUUGCUUUGCUUUUUCCCUCAAUUGGGAUUGGGAUAGUCGUUUUGUAGUAGUAAUUACUGUAAUAAUAUUCAAUACAGCGGCGGAAAUAACUAAAAUUAAGAAGAUACUUUGCACUCGUUACAAACAUUACAUCACUAACAUAAAAUUACGAACUCUGUUCAUGAAUUUGAGACAUAGAAACUGCUCGAGUCAAGGUGCGUGAAUUUUAUGUAUAUAGGAAGGAAGCAAGCGGAGCGGUCAAAUGGUGGUUCAGUCGCACCUCGAUUCCACUUCAAACUGAUCGUGAAAUUGUUCUAGAUGCCUCGAAAUAUUCUGCAUUUCGGAUUAUAAGAAAACUCGCUCUCGUGAUCCUUUACAUAAUAAUCCCUCACAUUACUGCAAAAACAAAGUUCAUUUCCUACUAAAAUAAGCUCUCCUUGGAAGGUCUAUUUUGUACGCCAUGUGCGGUUGGUCUACACGUAAUUAGCUUCGUGCUGUUCCACCGCAACGCGCCAGAUCUGUGGGCCCACGCGGUUUGGGCUCGAAAUGUUGGGUCUACAAAUUUUGCCACGAGGGGUUGGGAAACCAGCUAAGCUUGCAAGUGUGGUGACAGCUUGUUAAAGCCACAAGGCCUCUUUGGCCUACUUCAAAUCAAGGAGUUGUUGGAAAAGUACCGUCCCAGAAAUUUUUGCGAAAUCAAAUGUUAUGUAAUAGUACCAAAAAAAAUACUAAAAUAAGUUUCCGAGCCCAAUAUUAAGGAAUUUCCAAUUUAGAGCUAUGUUAUCUACAGAGAGUUGUGCUUUAAUGGCAUACUAGUGAAAUAAUUCGUCAAUACGACGGAUAAAUAAUUAAAAAAAAUAAAAAAAAUGGAGAUAAAAAAAUAUAUAGUAAUGAAAUAAGCGACGAUAAGAGAUGAGAUUUAUUUUACCAGUGAAAUAAGCUAACAGUCGAAAAAAAGUGAAAGAGGAUUAGCGGAAUAGUUUGCUUUGAUGUAAAGAUGUGAUCCGAUUAAGUUCAAGCAAAAAAAAAAAAUAAAAAAUCUGAUUUGAUUCCAACAAAGAAAAAAAAAAAAUAUGCGGAAAACUUCAGCCGGUUCGAAGGAUCCCAUACUCAACAAUGAUUGGUUUGAUUCAAAUAAAAAAAAAAUCGGUUUGGUUCAGACAAAAAAAAUAAAAAAUAUAUGCACAACUUGAGCCAGUUCGAGAUAGAGCCCACACCCAAUAAUAAAGUGAAUGUUGCGAUACGACAAAUUUGGAAAUAAUAUAAUGUAUAGGUAUGAAUAUAGAUUACAUUUGAAACUUAUUUUCUAGCAGAGUUAACUCUCAAUAUUUUUUUCAUGCAAAUCCAAUUGAAGUUCGAUAGGAAACACACAGAAUAUAAGUAAUAGAAUAUAUAAAUUUAAAAUUUAUAUAAACAAAUCUCUGAAAAAUAUCCCUUCAUUUGAGAACAUACCAUAUGAGAAUUUUCUUAUCAUUUUCUUAAUUUUUAUCUUUUAAAUGUGCAUAUGAGAAAUUUUGUAUUUCAAGACUUGUCAAAUUGUUAUGUACAAAAAGUAAAAUAUAAAAAAAACAAGUUGUAACAUGACUAAUUAAGAUUCGAUGGUAUUUUGUGGUACAAAAUAUAAUUAGGGGGUUGAUGCUGCGAGAAAGCUCCUCACCCACUCCUUAUACGUUCACUUAUUAUUAGAAAUUCCAAUUCCAAUUCCCUGGACAAAGUUUAUAUAUAUAUAUAUAUAUAUAUAUAUAAUUGAGCUAGAAUACUUUUAGAAGCACCAACCCCUUGGUGUUUCUAAGUUUUUAGCCCUCAGAUCUAUUCCUAGAUUACUAAUAACCCUAGGAUCAAACACUAUUCCACCUACCACCACCUACCACCACUUACCACAAUCAUCCUAACCCUACAUCUCUCAAUCCAAAGGCUAAAAACUCAAAAACGCCAACAACUUGGUGCUUUUGGAAGUAUUCUAGCUUAACUAUAUAUAUAUAUAUAUAUAUAUAUAUNGUUUCGAUCCCGGACGCACCCCUCCGCGUCGACGCCUUCCGGGCUGCGCGCUACAAGAUCGCUCCCGGACGAGGCGCGCUCCCUCGGCCCCGUGAGCUACUCGGAUCGAUCCCGGGCAACGAUCUGAGGAUUUAGUUCUCCAACUGUGGCGGUUCCCGCACCUCCGAUCCGUGACGCCGUUCUCGGGAAGAUCUCGAAGGUAAGCAUCUCGGAUCUGCUUGUUCUUGUUGUCGUUUUCGUCAUCCUUGUCGAUUCGUUUGACAUCAAAUUCUUGGUUCUUUGUGGCAAUGGAUUGCUUCUUGUUGUUAACCAAUUUGUGGACUAGUUUAGAUCUCGGAACGUGUGAUUUGGUGCAUUUCGAAUAGUGUGGAUUUUGGAGUUCUAGGGUUUUAGGUAAGAUCCUGUAAAUGUGUGGUUCGGGGAUCUUUUUGCUCAUGUGUGUCAAUGGAGGAUGCAAUUGGAAAUGUAUUUGGUGAUAGUAAGAUGUGGAUGAAGCAGAUUUAGAUGUAGAUUGCGUGAAAUUUAGAUGGCAUUCGAGAUGAUUUUUAUGAGAUAAGAUGAUUUUUAUGAGACUUCCAAAGGACGGGUCUGAGGAAAAUUAAACAGCUUCAAAUGCCAGUUCUGCUUCUGAUAAUUCAUGAUUGAUAAAGCUGAUAAUUACUGAGCCUCGAUAUGUUUUUUACUUCACUACUUAAAUUACAUCAACUUAUUUAAUGCAGAAUUUUAAUAUCUAGAAUUAUGAAAUGGGAGUAGAAACUGCUCUGUUCGUCGAUGAUUACCAGUCCAACCAAUUGAGGUGUAGAGAGCUCCAAGUCCCUGUGCUACAGUGAGAACCUGCUUGGACUUUCUACAUUCAAAUGCUAUUUUGGAGCAAUUUCUGAUUCAUCGAUUUUGUUGUAACUGAACCGCUUUAUAUUUUGGAGCAAUUUCUGAUUUCGUUGCUUCAUUUAUUGAAAGAAAUAUUCUCAUUUAUUUACAAAGAGAAUGCCUUACACAUGUUAAUUUUAAUAUUUUGCGCAGGUGAUUGAUGGCAUCUUCUACAAAUUUUCUUGAAGAUAGAACAGUUUGGUGCAAAUAUAACAAGAUAGCUUUAAUAAGAACUUCACAACAAGAUAGCUUUAUUGUAUUCAUUUUAGUAAUUAUAUGUAUUAAACUUCUAUUCGUCUAAAUGUAAUAUGAUCCACUGUGUUCAUUUGAGGUGUAUGUAGGAUACUUGCCUCACUUCUAAUUUCUGAACCAACUUUAACAAUUUCAUGUGAUCACUCGAUGAUGUGGUGCAGCUUCGUCUCAAUGAAUCCGCUGAUUCAUCUGUGUUUAUAAUGUGUACUUCAAAAUUGUGUAUGCUUACAUUAAACUGCAUCUCUCAAUACUUGGCUGAUCAACUUGUCCGCAAUAAGAUGACCGAUCAGUUAGCUAGUCUACGACAGUUGGCCUGCAUGCCAAUCAGCCUUCAUGAUUUAGCAUUUUCCAAUUUUAGCUUAAUGUUAAUUACAAUUAUAUUACAAUCAAACUCAACCAAGGAAAUGGGCUGCAUCUUUUUUGGGGGCUGAUUUACUAUAUAGAUGAUAAUUUCAGUUAAAGAAGAUUUUAAGGUCGCACUUCUAAGGGAGUAACAAAUGAAGCAUCUCUUCAAGAAAUGUCUAUCAGAGGUGAAUUUGACCCCGCAAGUAGGUAUUGGAUCAAAUUUAUCCAAUUGGGGGACGAAGAACCAGCUUAAGUCUAUCAGAUCUAACCCAACCAUCGAUAGCUUGCAAAAGGUUGUCCAGUUCAUUCCCAAUUUCAAACUUUCACACAUUGAUUCAUUUAUGCUUCCACAAUGUCCGAAGAGGUCGUGUUCAAUGAAGUCUAUGCUAAAAAAUGCUCGGUUAAUAUAUCACAUUUAAAUCCCCCAACAAUAUCUUCAUUCAGCUUCUUGCCAAAGAAAAAGCUUCAGACUUCUCUAUUAACAGCAAAAAGAGAUGAUAUCAUCUAUUUUUAUCAAACAAAAACACUGAACAAGGAAGCAUGAAACAGCAAAAAGAGAUGAUAUAACGAAACAAAGGAGCUAGCAAAGAAUACAGAAGGAAAAGAAAGAUUUUGCAUGAAGAACACAAAAAGUGAAAGUGCUCCCAUACGAGUAGUUUCAGUUUCUUAGUCCACAGACAAGGACUAUCUACAAGCAAAAGUCGAGGAGAUGAGCUUCAAUGAUUCAGAACAAAAAAUAGACCUCGAAAUAACAAAAUGAAAGCAAAGAAAACGGUGAUCUAGAAUUGUUAUACAUAUCCAAAACAAUAAGCACAAUAAUGUUCAGCUCAUAUGUAGUAAAUGUACAUAGAUUCCAUUAACUCUGCUAAAUACCAGGAGACAUUAACUUUCUAUGGUACUUGGCGUUCGCCUGCAUUGUACAAUACACCUGGUAGUGACUUCCCCCAAGCAUUGGCAAGUAUAUUGGGCAUUUUUUGCAUACAAUGCAGGUUUUGGAACUACUCAAAGCUGUGAAAAUAAAUAAAUCAAUGAGACAUUACAUAAAAGUCAGCAGAUAAAAUUAUAAUAAAGAAUUUGACCAUCUUCAAAGAUAAAUUUGUGACAAGAUUCAAUCAAAAGAUACUAGGAUGAGAUCGCUUAAAAAGCAUAAAGAUUAAACAACAACAAUGCACAUUAUUUAGAAUGGAUGCCCAAUGAUCCUAUUUUGAUGAAGAUUUUUUUAAGAAUACCCAGAUCAAUUAUGAGCUUUGUCAGACACAAAACUCUAUUUCAAAGAUACCUAAUCCAAUGCAUAUACCAAUGAUACCCCAGAUCAAUUAUGAGCUGUUAUGAACCAAACACUCUUACUUCAAGCAUUACUAAUCAAAUGCGAAAUACAAUUUUCAUAAGCUUAAAGGAGAUAAAUAUUUACAAAAUCACAGGUGCUGGAGUCAAUUAAUAAAGAAUCAAAUUUUGGUUUGACAGGACAUAUGCAGUAAACACAAAAUCAGAAGUUACUAAUAACCGAGACGUUACCUCGAGAUCUUCCGAGGAACGGCGCGUCUGGGAUCAAAGUGCGGUGAACCGGCCGCAGUUGGAGAACUUAAAUAUUCAGAUCGUUGCCCGGGAUCGAUCCGAGUAGCUCACAGGGCCGAGGGAGCGGGCGCGUCGGGAGCAAUCCUGUAGCGCGCAGGCAGAAGGCGUCGACGCGAAGGGGCGCGCCCGCGAGCAGUCCUGUAGCGCGGGCCGGAAGGCGUCGGCGCGGAGGGGGCGUCCGGAUGAAGGGAAAGAGGAAGAGAGAUGGAAGGAGAAAGUAAAAAAAAAAAAAAAAAAAAAAUUGGAUCUGUCGGGGACCAGGAAGAGAGAGAGAGAGAUGAGAGAGAGAGAGAGGAGAAAAGAAGAGAGAGAGAGGAGGGUGGGUUGAGAGGGAAAAAGAGAGGGGCUUCAGUGUAGAGGAGAGGAGAGAGAGGAACGGCGUUAUUUGGCUGUCGUUAGUUCACCCUAGUGCGCAGGAUCUCAGAGGCGAAGCCGAUCACGGUGAAAAAAUGCCAAGCACAAGAGUCCUGUGCUUUUAAAAGCACAAGGGCUCUACUCGUAGUAUAUAUAUAUAUAAUUAUAUAUACUAUAUAUAUUAUAUAUAUAUAUCAUUUCUAAUAAAUAAAUUGUAAACUUGGUCACAAUGCACGUGGAUUACGAUUCCAUACCUCUAGAUGUAAGGUCCAAAAAUAUAUUGUCCUCUCAAUUUCAAUUAAUGAACAAUAAUAAAGGAAUAUUGUAAUCCAAACCCGGUUCAAAUUAUUUUUUUAGCAAAAAAUUGAACAUAUAUUUAAAGUUUAAACCACUUAAUUAGAUGAAAUCUAUAUUUGAAGUUUCUGUUUUCCUAAAAGUGAAAUCUAUACAAGCCACUUUUUAUUAGAUUGCUUUGUUAUGUUUAUUUGCUUGAAAUUAGAAUUUGGGAUCUAAAAUUUCCAAUGAGGUUGAAAUUUACACAAAAAAAAAAAAAGGAAUUUGUUGUUGUUCUUCAUCUACACCAUUCAAUUCAUGUCUUUUAUUAACCAUCAAUUUUUGUUUUUUUUUUAAAAAAAAUUUAUAUAUAAGCGAAUAUAAUGUUACUUGAAAAAAUAAAAGAUGUUCUUAAGAUUUCACACUUUCUCAUCUAGAAAAUCAAUUCUAGAUCUUGCUUUUGGGCUUUCCAAUAUUGGUAUCUUCUUGCAAUUAGCUUAUUGGAUUCGGGUAUCAAUCCGACCCAUUAACACCCCCUCUUUCUGGAUUAGAGCUGGAUCAUAACUACUAACAUGAAAACAGCUUUAAAAUAAUAUAAUAAUAACUCUAAUUAAUCAUAAAAAAAUUGUUUAUAAAGGCUCUUCCACGCACCUUCACCAGAUAUUCCGGGUACUGCUAUUAUUAUUAUCCGCAUCAUCAAAUAAGACGGUGGAGGAAACGUGACACAGGUGUGGGGAAGCACGAAACUUCCCAUUAUUUCACGCGAAAAAUAAAGCGAAAUUUAAAAAUCUAGGGGCAAAAUGUAUAUACGGGUUUGUGCCUGAACUAUCAUUAUAUUGCAAUUUAGUCUUUGAAAUUUUUUACUUUAAAAAAAUUUUAAUCUCGCCGUUUUACAUUGUGAUUUUAUUUAAACCUAUUAGUGUUUUGUUUGAAAAUAUAGAGCUUGGCUCAUAUGUGUGGAUUCCGAAGUUUGCCAACUGAAAUUCAGCUAAAAAAUUUUACCAUUUCUUUAUUUUUUUUGUUCCUGACGUGCGACAUUGGUGUUAUAGUGAUAUUACAAAAAAAAUUUCUCAUAAAUUUUCAGCUUAUCUACUCUGUUUUUUUUUGUUUACUUAUAAUGGAAUAGGGGUUAUUUUAUAAAAAAAAUUAUACUAAAUGAAAAUGGUGUUGUAAUAUGUAUUUCAAAAGUAAAAGCACACAUUAAUUAAUGUUUAAAGUAAAAAACUGGAGGAGAAAAUUACGGUAUGGUGAUAGCCGAGGGACCACCAUUACACAUACAUUUUUGCCCUCUAAAAACAAAAAAAAGAAGAAGAAGAAGAAGAAGAAGAUAGAAGCACCAGGGGAAAAAUAAAAAUAAAAAAGCCGCAAAUAAAAACCGGAGCUCCGCUUCGCAGAACCAAAGCAAAGCAAAGCAGUUCGAGCGAUCGAGGACGAUGCACGCGAAAACGGACUCGGAGGUGACGAGCGCGGCCCCGUCGUCGCCCGCGCGCUCUCCGCCGCGGCGCGGCGGAGCGGCGGCGGGGACGAUCCCGCCGCCCCCGGCGCCGGCGCCGGCGCGCGCCGUGUACUACGUGCAGAGCCCGUCGCGGGACUCGCACGACGGGGAGAAAACGGCGACGUCGCUCCACUCCACCCCGGCCGCGUCGCCGCCGCACUACGCCCACUCCAGCGUCGGCCGCCACUCCCGCGAGUCCUCCUCCACCAGCCGCUUCUCCGGCUCCCUCAAGCCCCACGGCCCCGCCUCCGCCGCCGCCGCCGCCGCCGGGUCGCGGCGCGUCUCCCCCAACGACGCCUCCGCCGCCGCCGCCGCCGCCGCCGGUGCCGAUCGGUGGAAGGACGGCGGGUUGAUCGAGGAGGAGGGGCUGCUCGACGAGGAGGGGGAGCGGCGGGGGAUCCCGCGGCGCUGCUACGUGCUAGGGUUCGUGACGGCCUUCCUCGUGCUCUUCUUCUUCUUCGCCCUCAUCCUCUGGGGCGCCAGCCACAAUCAGAAGCCCAUCGUCACCAUGACCGUGAGUCUAAUAAUAAUUGCUUGUUUUGUUUCAGAUCCAAACGCAUUGCAUUGCAUCUGAUAAAAAAAACAGAAAAAAAAAAGAUUUCAUAAAUUUUAGUUUUUUUUUUUUGUUUUAACGCAUGGCAGAGCAUAAGGUUUGAGAACUUCAUAAUCCAAGCGGGGACGGACGCGUCGCUGGUUCCGACGGAGCUGUCGACGCUGAACACGACGGUGAAGCUGACGUUCCGCAACACCGGCCGCUUCUUCGGCGUCCACGUCUCCUCCACUCCCCUCGACAUCUACUACUCCCAGAUCAAAAUGGCCUCCGGAUACGUUACGUAAACGCUUUCUUUCCUCUUUUUUUUUUUUUUCUUUUUUCUUUUCCAAUAAAAUCCCGAAUAGCGAUCACGCUCAACGAAUUAACACAAAUUUAAUUUAAUUUACUGUGCUACUAUUGUUGUUAUUGUUGUUGUCGUCCUUGUUGUUUUUUCUUUUUCUUUUUCUGUGAAAAGAAAUAUAAAUAUAAAUAUAAGCAUACAGGUGAAGGGAUUUUACUUAGGCUUAGUUGGGGUUCAUCACGUUAUUAGAUAAAAUAUAAUUAAGAUAUAAAUAUAUAAAAAUAUAUUUUUAUGUUUUUUGAUGAAUCGCAAAAAAUAUAUUGUAAUCAAUUUAUCGCGAUAUACGGAACGUAAUAUUACGUACGAAAAUAAAUAGAAUAUCUUUUUAUCGUAGUUUCUCAUCGUACGUAAUGCAAUUUUUCCGCAAUUUCAAAAUAACUUAAUUUGUUUGAUAGUAUAUAUAUAUAUGUAUAUAUAAAACUUAUUUUCUGCUGCCACCUGACUUGAAUGUAUUACAACUAAAGAGUUGAAAAUAAUACUCAAUCAACAAUUAACUGUAAAAGAAUAUAUAAUUUUGUCUCUGGCACAUAUACUAGUCUAUGAGACUGCUUUGUUGUUUGAUUUGAUGUAUUUAAAUUUAACUUAACUGCUAUUUCGUUUAAUUGGCAGAUGAACGAGUUCUAUCAGUCUCGGAAGAGCCAAAGGAGCGUGAGUGUGGUGGUGCUGGGGAACAAGGUCCCGCUCUACGGCGGCGGCGCAGGGCUCAGCAGCUCGCCAGCAGCGGCGGCGGCUGCAUCGGGGAAGGCGGCUGCCGCCAGCCCGCCUAUUCCGUUGACACUGAGCUUGAGAACGAGGGCGAGGGCGUACGUGUUAGGGGAAUUGGUGAAGCCCAAGUUCUACACCGACGUGCAGUGCUCGGUCCUGCUCGACCAGUCCAAGCUCAACACCCCUGUCUCUCUCAAGAACACCUGCCAAUACAACAGCUAAAAUGCUCUACAGAGAGAGAGAGAGAGAUGGGUGUAGUUUUCAUUUUUUUUGUUUUUGUUUAUUUGUUUGUUUGUUUGUUUGUUAGUGCUCGCCAAAGAGUAAAUUUGUAAGUUGUUUGAAUAUAUAGUUGAUGAGUCCAUUUAUAGUUUCUAAGAAAAAUUUUAACGGCCUUAAAGAGGUGUAGUUUUCAUAUUGGUUCGACAAACAAUAUAUGACAUCUUACAUGUAACAAGCACAGUAAUAAGACAAUUAUCAUAUGUGAAAAAUAUUUAUUUACCAACUAUAUUUUAAAUACGUUAUAUAUCAGCCGCAGUUAUAACUACAGUAGAGGCGGUAAUUGCACAUCCUUAUUUAUUUCGGUAAAAAUAUAUAGAACAUAUAUAAACUAUAGACCAAGUUGAAUUGCCAUAUGAUUUUUUAAAAUUUUGAUUUACAAUAUAAUCUUUUAAAUUAUUUAAUUUGAGUCAAUCAACAGUAUUUUUGAUUUUAAAAUUUAAAUGUAUCAUUUAUUUUUACAAUUAUAAUUAGUAUGCUUCGUAUAAUUCUUGUAACUGUAAUUUUAUUAAAGUAACUAAUUAUUUUAAAAUUUUAAAAUAAAGUAUCGCUAACUAAUUUAAAUUAAAUAUAUUGAAAGAUAAAAUAAUAAAAUUAAAGAUUUUAAAAAAUUAAAUAAAUAAUUUAAAAUUCUGUAUUUUUUUUUUUUAGAAAUAAGUAUCAAGCUAUCUGCUUUAUUCAUUAAGCAAAAUAAAUUUAGCAUAUCAUCUGAAAGCAGCUAGGGCCUCCGAACCGAGAGAAUUCUGUACUAGUUUUUGAAGGUCAAGGGGAGGGAGACAGCUGUGUGAGAGAGGUGGCCAGGCUGGAAUGGGAGGAGACUUUUUUUUUUGGAACAGAGGCCAAGUGGAUUGCCUUGAAUGAGAUGGUUGUGGUAAUAAAGUAGUCCUAUUCAUUUUAAUUUCAAUUUUAAUUUUAUUUUUACAUACGCAAUUUUUGACUUUUUAUUUUUUAAAUUGGUUUGGUGAAUUAAUUAGGCCUUUGGGAAUCACGCAUUCAGAGCAAGUUUCGAUUUAUUUAUUAUAAAAUAGAUAGAUAGUUGAGUAUACUUCUGUAGAGAUCUAAAUGCACUGAGUGGUGUUAUUAAAUUGUUGUUAUUAAUAUCGUUUACCAGGUCUUUGUCAUAACUUUGAACAUUUUUAAGACGCUCACCACGACAAUUCGCAUGCACAGAUUAGCUGAUAAUGAUCAAAAUUAUGUGGUAAUAAUGUUUUAAAUUCUAAUUUUAUCGCAAACCUGAGAAGAAGCUAGGGAUAGAUUGUAAGGGGGCCAAAAUAUAUGCGAAUCAAAACUUUGCAAAUAAAUAAGAUUUACCUAAUCAAAUUUUUAAUGAAAAAAUAUAUUGACUAAGUAAUUAGUGUAAAAAAUAUUAUCUUUUUUUAUUUAUACUUACUUAACUUUUAAUUAUUUUAUUUAUAUUAUUUUACUCGAAUAACUUUAAAAUUUAUUAAAUCUAAUAGUAAUUUAGUUAAUGAUCUAAUUUUUUAAUUUUUAGUAAAAACAAUUAUGACAAUUGAUGACUAUUAGUUCACAGGGCUAUCAAAUUUAAUAUAAUUUUUAAUUUAAUUAAAUAAAAAUAUUAUCUAAAAAGUUAUGAAGGUACUAAAAAAUAAAUUUAGAGUUAAAAGAGUACUAUAUUAGCGCUAAGAACUUUUUUAAAAAGUAGAUAAGUAGAUAUAUUUUUGAGAUUAGAUAAAAAAUAUAUUAUUUAAAUUUUUUAUAUGUAAGAGAUUAUUAUGCAAAUUAUGAGAAGUCUAGAAGACAAUGGGCCCCCUCAGUCUAUACAUAGCUGUGCCCCUGCUGUAAAUAAAAAACAAGGUGCAUGCAAACAUUAAGAUCAGGGAAAAGGAAAAUUUAAAAAAAAAGGAAAAAAUGUGGUCUCCACUACCAAAAAGGGAAAUUGGAUCAUUACUGCAAAAAAAAAAGAAGAAAAAAAAUAAUUCCAGAGGAUGAUUCUAAAAUAAAUGACUCCCUGCAAAGUAGGAUUCAUUCUAGAAUUCACAAAAUUCUAGUAAAAACUGAUUGGUAGGUAUAAAAUGUAAAGUCUAUGUUACUAUACUUUUAUGAGUAUAGAUCUUUUUGUACUCAUAAGCUUUCAACCGUUAGAUCUAUUUUUUUGAUCAUUUUCACUUGUUAAAUAAUACUAUUCAACCAACAACCCACUCAAUCCUAAAAGAAACCACUAUUAUCCUAACCGCAUAUCUCUUAAUCAAACGGCAGAAAACUUAUGAGUACAAAAAAAUUUAUACUCAUAAAUGUAGCAAUGUUCAUUGUACAACAAGUCACGGGGUGGUGGGCCUAAUGCAUGCCAGGCCGGGCCUAAUUAAGUGAGGCCCAGAAGCUUUACCAUGUUGGCAACUCGUUGGGCCCCGCCCAUAUUUCAAGUUCAUCAAUCAUCAUAUGGUGCUAAUAUAUUAUUAUUAUGGAGAUUUAAAGCACUAGAAUUUACCGCAUCCAUUAAAUGCGGCAGGUGGCGAUGACACUAGAAUUUAAUCUAUCGGUGGUGGAAUUCAAACCCACAAUCUGGCGAAAUGGCGGGAGCUUAUAAUUGAUCCUUGAAUUGAGCCUAGCAAGAUUUGAACUCAAGUCCCGCAUCUGCAGCGGCGAUAGUAGUUGAUUUCGUUACUUCAGUAUCCAAACACGACCCAAAAAAUAUAUUUAAAAAGGAAUUUACAGUUGCGUAUGAUGCUAAAGGGUUUGGGCUACAACUGGGCUUUGGUUUCGGCCCCAUGUUCAAUCCCACAUAUCUUACUAUAUAAGCACUGUCUCUUUGAAACAGCCAAGAGAAAAUUAUCUGAUAUAAAUUGCAGUAUCCGAAGGAGAGAAAAAAGAUUGAAAAGUGAAAACGCUAGGGUUUAAUAAAUGAAAAUAAGUGAAAAGGCAAAGUGUUAGAUAGAUAAAAGAGAAAAAAAAGUAAGAGAAGAGAUAGAGAAGAUAUGUUGCAAUAAUGGUGAAUUAGGAUGAAUUUUAUGGAAGAAGAAGAUGAUCGUUACGAUCAUUUUGAGAGAAAAUUUCUGCACAAUUAUACCAGUUUGGGCUUUUGUAGAAAAACAUAUUUAUGAUGGCAAAAUUGACAUUUCACUUAUAAAGGAAUAAGAUAACUGUUGGGAGUUUUGAGAGGACAUUUAUGCAAAAAGUUUAACAGUUGGAGUUUUUAGAAAAAUAUAUUUAUGAUGGUAAUAUAUUAGUGAUGGCAAAAAAAAUCAUUUUAUUUAUUUGCUGUUAAAAAAUAAAUAGUGCUCUAAUGAUAACAAAACAGAGGAAUAUAUUUGAAAAUAUUAAAAUUUUUAUAGAAACAAUAUAUAAACGUUGAAUUUUGCAAAGAUAUAUUUAUAAUUUACUCUAUUUGUUGGGACCUGCAUGCAAUAAACCCUAUAUAUUAUUAUAUAUAUAAAAGUGAACUUCUAUACUUUUUAAAACCACCAAAUCAUUAGUACUUAGGUUUUUAGUUCGUGGAUAAAGAUUUGUAAAGUUAGAAUAAUAGCGAUUCCCAAAUAUUGAGUGAGUAGUUGGUGAAAAUAACAUAAUCUAAAAAAUAAAAUCGGUCAAAUUGAUAUGUCUAACAUGAAAAACUUAUAAAUACCAAAUGCUAUACACACACACACACACACACACACACACACACACACACACACACUAGUCACCUCUACUCAAAAUUCGGGCACCUUCCGAAUGCAACAUUUUAGCAGAAAAAAAGCAAGGAAUUGACAAAAAAUGAGCCACAUUUAAAAGACACCCAACACUACAUUAUUUAAAAAAGGUCUCAAUUAAAAAAAAAAAAUUCCCCCCUGACCCAUCUAAGGUCUCCAGACCAAGCAGCAUUAGCCUCAAAUACACAACCAUAAAUCAGCAAACCCACCUCAUUUCUCUUACUAAAACAUCCGAUUUUAUAUAAUAUAAUAUAAAAAAGGAGAAACAAAAAAGCAUGCAUGAACGAUACACACCCAACACCAUCAUCAUAAGCUCUCCCCAGUCCCCUUAGCCCACAAAAACCAACGAGCUAAAAAGUUCAACGAAAACCCAGAGAACAAAGGGGAUGAGGAUCAUGAGAUCACCUCCUACAGCGAGUGAUCUCGGAGCAACCCCUGGAGUAAGGGUGAACCGGGCCCCUGGAGCGGUAGCAGUUGUGGGUGUAGUAGGACCGGCCCGACCGGGGCGGGCAGGGGACCCGGUUCGCGGAGAGCGCGGCGUAGGAGAUGUAGUAGUGGUGGUGGGCGCCGUGCCAAAACAGGGCUCUCCUGUUGUCCUCCUUCCUUUGGGGCGUUUCGUCGAGCACCUGGUGGGCGAGCUCGUACUCGGGGUCCAACCCAAAUGGGUAGGCGUAGAUCGAGGGCUCGGGGAAUGGAUCCGUGCUGAAGGUGGGGUUGGAGGGUUGGGCGUGGGAGAAAGGGAGCGGGUUGUGGGGGAGGCAGAGGAAGAGGAGGAAGAGGAGGAGAGGAGCCAUUGGUGGAGGAGAGGGUUAAUGGAGGUAAAGAGUGAGGAGGAAGAUCAGGAGGUAGUAGUAUGAGAUCGUCAGAGGCUCACACACUGUUACAGCUCACAUGCGCAUCAUUGUAUGUACCCACUCCCCAAAUUUUACUCCAUUUACCAAAAUGACAAGAUAAUACUCUGCUAUUUAUAGUCUAAGGAGAUCUGCUAGUAUACUAUUGAGUUUUUUUAUCUUUAAAUUUAUUUAUUAAUUAUUUUUAUUUAUUAGAUUAUAUUAUUCAAUUAAUUAUCUACUUAAUUUUAGAGCAUCACUAUUAUCUUAAUCGCACAUCUUUUUAGCUAACGGUCGAAAAUUCGAUAGUAUUAAACGUUUGACACUAUCGACAUAUAGUAACAUAAUUUAUUUUUAAAAUAAAUCUUAUUAUUCUGGUCUUAAACCAAUGUAAUUCACAUAAUUCCCACGAAAAGAAAAAAAAAAUUAUUUAUACUUAGCCUUGUAUGCUAAGCACACAAUUACUGAUGGCAAUAUUUGCUUCUCCACAUAAACUGAAAAAUUAAAAAGAAGCUUUGUAAAAUAUUUGUGUUUGUAUAUUAUAAAUAGUUUAACAAUUGUAAAAAUUUUAAUUAAUUGAGGGUAUAUAAGGCCUAAAAAAAAAAUAAUAAUAAUCAUGCAUUAAAGUUUGCUGUUUUAUACAGCACAGCUGAUCCUAAUGAAUGUACUUUUUGUUGGAUACAGUGUGGUUCUCCCUGCAUCACGGGCAGUAAAUGCUACCGAGUAAUUGAUUGGUCCUGGCACCCCCCACCACCUCCACCACUCUCAAUUGAUUUAUUGCUUUUAUAUAUAUAUAUAGAGUGAGGCUACUGUGCUAUCGGAAGCACGGAGCCUUCCGUGCUUCCACCUCGUUUUCGAUGUUGCGACUUUCGAAUCGUCGAUCGGCUCCGUUAAAAUUGAUCUAGAAUAUUUGGAGUACCUAGAAAAUAAAUUUUAUUAUUUUUCGAUAUCAUUUGCCUAGUGAUCGAAUGGGCUCAAAAUCAACAGAUUUCAAUGACCGUAGUGAGCCGUUUGCAAGUUUAACGGUAUAGAAAUAUCCAAAUCACGUGAAAUUUUGAUAGAAAAUUUUUUAUACUAUAUAAAACAAGAUCAAUAUCUUUGAUUUAAAAUUUUAAUGUCAUAUUAUUACAUUUUGUAAGAUUUUUAUUUUCAGCCGUUGAUUUUGAGCCCCUUCGUUCACUAGGCAUGAUAUCGUAAAAUGAUAUAAAAUUUAUUUAUAUGUACUUCAAAUACUCUAGAUCAAUUUUACGAGCGCGAUCGAGCGAUUCGAAGUCGCAACAUCGAAACGAGGUGGAAGCACGGAAGGCUCGUGCUUCCGUAGCAUAGUAGCCUCACUCUAUAUUAUAAUAUAAUAUAUAGUGCGGCUAGGAUGCUUAUGAAAUAUGGGCUCCGUAUCUACUUUAUUUUCGAUGUUCGACUUUCGAUCGACGCGAUCGGCUCCGUUAGACUUGAUCUAGAGUAUUUGAAGUAUCUAGAAAAUAAAUUUGGCGAUAUUUCGAUAUCAUUUGCCUAGUGAUCGAAGUGGCUCAAAAUCAACGACUGAAAAUAAAAACUUACAAAAUAUGAUGAAUAACAUUAAAAUUUUAGAUCAAAGUUAUUGAUCUUGUUUAUAUGUAUAAAAAUUUUCUAUCAAAUUUCAUGUGAUUUGGAUAUUUCUACACGUUAAACUUGCACGGCGCUCACUACGGCCAUUAAAAUUAUUGAUUUUGAGGCCCUUCGAAUCACUAGCAAAUGAUAUCAAAAAAUCACAAAAUUAUUUUCUAGGUACUUCAAUACUUCUAGAUCAACUCUAACGAAGCCGAUUGUCGAUUCGAAAGUCCGAACAUCGAAAACAACUUGAAGCAGGAGGGCUUCGUGCUUCCAUAAGCAUACCAGCUACUAUAUAUAUAUAUAUAUAUAUAUAGAGAGAGAGAGAGAGAGAGAGAGAGAGAGAGAGAGAGUUCGGCUGAGACACUAUCAAUAGCACCAAAAAUUUGGUGCUAUCAAGUUUUCUAUUGUUAGAUUUAACUCUUUAAUUAUUUUUAUCCGUUAGAUUAUACUAUUUAACUAACCACUCAUUCAACCCUUGAGGGUCCACAUCAUCCUAACUAGACAUUUUUCAAUCAAAGGGCUAAAAAACUAAUAGCACCAAUGACUUUGUGAUAUUGAUAGUAUUCUAACCUAGUUCUAUAUAUAUAUAUAUAUAUAUAUAUAUAUAUAUAUAUAUAUAUAUAUAGUGCGUCUGGUAUGCUUCUGGAAGCACGGAUGUUUUCGAUGUUCGGACUUUCGAAUUGACGAUCGGCUCCGUUAUACUUAAUCUAGAGUAGUUGAAGUAUCUAGAAAAUAAAUUUUGCAAUUUUUCGAUGUCAUUUGCCUAGUGAUCGAAGUGGCUCAAAAUCAACGGCUGAAAAUAAAAAUCUUACAAAAUAUGGUGAUAUGACAUUAAAGUUUUAGAUCAAAAUUAUUGAUCUUGUUUUAUAUGGUAUAAAGAAUUUUCUUUCAAAAUUUAAUGUGAUUUGGAUAUUUCUACACCGUUUAACUUGCAAACGGCUCACCCCGACCAUUAAAAUUAUUAAUUUUGAGCCCAUUCAAUUACUAGGCAAAUGAUAUCGAAAAAAUCACAAAAUUUAUUUUCUAGAUACUUCAAAUACUCUAGAUAAACUCUAAUGGAGCCGAUUAUCGAUUCGAAACUCUGAACAUCGAAAACAAUAUGGAAGCACAACAUGCCCUUCACCCAAGUUAACUUAACAGGCAAAAUACCAUUUUUAUUGUUUCAUUUACAGGCAACCAAACAUGCUCUUAACCUAAGUUAACUUAACAGAAGAUAACUGCGGAGAUAUUUUGCAAUAACAGUGGAACAUAUAAAGGGUAUUUUAUAAAUAAAAAAAAGUGGGGGUAAAUCGGAUAAUUUCAAACGGGUCGAGGUAAAUUGGAUAUUUUGCAAUAAUGAUAGGAAGUUAUUAUUGUCGGUGGUAUCUUAUCGGGUCGGGAUUCGGAUCCGUGCUAAUUUGAACCGAUGCGACUAUAUCUUAUCGGGUCCGAACCCUGAUCUAACCCAAUUCCUAAAAUUCAAAACCUCAGGGAGUUACCCUGUUCUCCCGCUUCACCUCUCUCUCAUCCUUGCCCUCUCCCUUUGUUUCUCCCUCCCCGUCCCCGAUCUAGGGUUAGCGUUCCUUCUUGUCCUUGCGCCAUGGACGAGCCCAUCCUCCAAUUGCUCGUCGAGAAGGGCCGCAGGAAGGGCGAGUCCGUGGAGUGCAAGCCCGGCGCCGCGCUUCGUCUCGGCCGAGUCGUCAGGGGCAACACCUUCGCCCUCCGCGACCCCGGAGUCUCCCAGAAGCACCUCUCCUUCGAGUUCCUUCGAGAGGCCUCGCGAUGGGUUGUCACCGACCUCGACACCUCCAAUGGCACCGUCCUCAACGGCUCCCAGAUAGCCCCCUCCGUCCCCGUCCCCCUCUCCGACGGCGACGCCAUCAAGAUCGGAGAGACGACGUACAUCUCAGUCAAGAUCGCCGGAGGUAGGCCCCGGACGGCGGCGGAGGACGAGGCGGCAGUGGGUCGCCGUGGCCGGAGGAGAGCGGGAGCUCCUCCUCUUCCUCCGGUCAGAUCUGAGGUUGAGAUGCCCUUGGAUUCGGCCGUGGAGGAAGUGUCCGAGGCGUCGGUGGCGAAUGGCAGGGGGAAGGGGAGGGGGAGAGGGAGACUGAGGAAAGCCGCAGCUGCUUCUGCUGGGGUUUCAAUUAAGGAUGAGAUCGUGGAUGCUGUGGCAGUGGAGGAGAGUGUUCCAGAAGUGAAGGAGCGGACGAGGGGAAGAAGGCCUGCAACGAGAGGUAGUUCUAUUAGGGCUUCAAAGGAGGCGGAGAAGGAGGAGCGUCAGGUUUCGGUUACUGUUCCUGAUCUGGCUGAUCAAGAGGCAAAAGAGGAGAAGCAAAGGUUGGGAACAAGAAGGCCUAAUACUAGAGCUACUUCUGCUAGGUUUUCGAAGGAAGUCGAGAAGGAGACUGAGAGUUCCAUCCUUCCGCCUAAUUCGGAGGUUGCAGAGGCAUGUGAGGAUGGGAACUUGCUAAUGGAAGGUAAUGAUGAUAGUGAAGAACAGAAUGAUGGGGAAAGGCAAAGGGAAAGGGAAGGGGAAGAUAAGAGUUUGGACGAGGGAGGAGAUAAUAUGGAUAAUAUGACAUUAGGGGAAUGGUUUGAGAGGAUGGAGAAGUUCUUGCCGCAGGUUAUAAAUGAUAUAUCUGAGGAGAUUAUAUCAAUAUUGAAGGAGAAAGCCGAGAGAUUUGAUGUGUUCAUAGCUACAAAUGCUAAUGCUGGCUAACUCAUGCUGUAUGUUCAACAUUCUCUACAAGGUUCUACCUUUUCUACUUGCGCACAAAUAUUUGAAUCUUAAUUUGUCAAGUUAUGUUGAUUAUGGUAAUGGUGUUAACUUUAACAAGCGAAUAAUUUGGGGCUUACUAUGAGCCUAAGAUAGUUCAAUCGAAUCAUUGUACUGUUUUACAGUUUAGGCAGCAAGAUCAUUCAGUUUGAUGGGUCAAGAUUGGAAGUUGCCAGAGGGUUGUAUUUGAAAGAAUAGAGAACCUGAAUUCUUUAAGAGGUUCUUUUUAUCAUAGGGGUAUUGCAACAUGAAGAAUUUUUCUGUUAUUCCAAUGGCAACACUUGCUUUUGCAAGGGAACUUUCUUGACGAAUAAAUAAGAGGAUAAAUUGAAAGUCAGUAAAUGAAGGGAAUAAGAGAGGAUAGGAAGGUGAAUAGUGGGAAUCAGCUAGCUGGACCUACCAGGAGGUAGAGGUGAGCAAUCAGUCGGUUUGGCCGUUUUCACCAAUUUAGUGAACCAAACCAAAUUUUCGCAACCAAACUGGACCGAACAAACUUAGAAACCAAACCAACACUUGCUUUUACUUAGCAUGCCACUCAUUGAAGCUUUCUUUACAGCUUUUUGCACAUCAAGGUCCUGUUUUUUCAAGCUAUGUUGUAUCAUAAGUUUAAUCAGUCAACAUGAUCUUCACUGAACACCACAUGUAUACUAUUUAUCGUCUUGGAAACAUUCUGUCUUUACACUUAAAAGUCAACCCACUUCUUCUGAAUGCACUUUAUGAGAUACCAAACUUAUCAAUUUGUUCAAUUUUGCUGCCCUCUUCAAGUUAAAACAUCUUUGCUAUUCUGCAGGACCUCAGUUCACAAAUACAGGAUUAGGACUCGACCUUCUGCAUUGCUGGAGUCUCCGUGCUAUAUUACAUAUCAAGGCAUCUGCACAAUCACAUUUUUUUUGGUUCCUUGAGGCAUAAAGUAUGGCAUGACAUAUUGGAAUCAAUUAGCUUGUUUUAUUCUCACUUUGUAAUGUCCUCUGGCCCUUUGACAGCUGUGAAUCCCCAAAGGCCGAAGAAGUAUGAACAGAAUGUCUCUGUGGUGUCUACCACUCAAAAGGCAUCUGUUGAAUUUUCUAUUUAAGGGAAUCUGCUAGAGGGCCUUCUUGCUGAUUUUAAGCUCCAUGUUUUCAAAGCAUAUAUGUUGUGGAUCAUAUUUAGGAAGAUAUAUCAGUCGGCAUCUUUAAAGGUCAGAAAAUAUAUUAUUGAAGAGGGGUACGUUGUCUUUUUUUUUUUUUUUUUUGCUCACUCUGUAAUUAGAUAAUGUCAUGCUUAUGGCAUGUUUACGUUUUGUGUCUGUUUUUCUUAACUUCUAUCAAGGUUCAUCGGUACGGAUUUUUCUAUGCUUGUUACUGUAGGUCUUUUUGCUAAGUCAUCUAAACAAAAUUUUCCUCUUUUGUCACCAAAAAAACACUCGUGGUAGUUCUUAGAUGUGACCCACAAUAGCAAUAUUAAGCCCAUCCUGAGCACCUCGAAUCACAUAGAAUGUGAUGCAAAAUGAAAAUAGAAAAAUGAAACCUAUGCCAAACAAGGCCUUAAUGUUCUUCUUGAUGCUUUUUAACUUGAACUUCAUAUCUCAAAGACCAUUGUGCUCUUGCACUAGUUGCUGAAUAAAUUUCCUGAAACAUUAAAAUGCACCUUGAUAUAUUUGAUGCCGUUGGGGCCAAACUAAUCAUUGUGUAAGGGAUUUCAUAUUUCUUCUGUGUAUGGGAGACAGAAAUUAUGACUGUUGUAUGCUGAUAAUGAUGUUGAUGAUUAUGUUGAUCCUUCUUGACUUUGUCCUUGGCAAGUAUUUCUUUCAAUCACUAACUUUCUCUGUUGCCUUUAUGUUUACAUGCUGAUCCAGUUUUUUUAACUGCAUUGUCUUGUUUUUUUCAUCUUCUUUGUGUAGAUUAAUGUUUAGAAGUAGUUGAUUCAUUCGUAUGAUUAUUUAGCAUACAGAAAUGCAGCACAUAUUCUCCAGCAUUUUAUAUAUUAGCCGAUUCUAGAGAAAAGAUGAUAUCUUUUGGACUUUUACAAAGAAUAUUUGGUGAUGAAACGGAUGGGGAUCGUCCAAAGUAGGACCUAAACAAUAGCCACUUCUUCUAUUGCAGCAUUGGCUUCUCCAUCUAUAUCUUCUCCAUCUAAAUCUCCUUAUCCGUUCCAUCUGUAUUCAAAUGAUCAUGAAAUCAAUAGUUUUUUUUGUGGCGACAAAAAUUGGUUGUUGCCAAAUAUGACAAUUCCUAUUUUCUUGUGGUUUCUGAUUGAGAGAUGGUCUUGAGGAUGUCACUUUUGUUGCCAUAUUACUCACCAGAAAAUUUUACGAGAACGGACAAGUUACAUAUUCUUAUAAUGCUUAUUCCAUUAAAGGGGCUAUUUAGAUGUAUGUAAUUGUAAUUGUAACUGUAUUACAGUUGUACUUACAUAUAAAUUCAAACUUGGUAUUUGAUUUGAUAUGUUUGAAUUCAACUGUUGUUGCAGUUGAAAUUACAUUCAAAUUGGCUGUAAUUCUAUCCUCAGCAGUUGAAAAGAGUAAUUUUAAACAAAAGAUAAGUUUAUAUUCCUAAAUAAAAUUUUUUUCCUUGUAUCGGAGGUAAUCUCAUUACUGCAUAUUGCAAAUACACUUUUUAACUACUUGAAACUAAGCAGGUUUUUUUUUAUAGUUGCAGUGUUUUAUUAUUGAAUUCAACCAAAUAAGGUAUCUGUAGUUGUAGUUGUUAUAGUUUCAGCUACAAUAUAUGUCUAAUUACAUUGUAAUUGUUAUAGUUCCAGCCAAAUGGCCCUUAAUUGAUGGUUUUAAGAGGUUGUUGGGGAAGCUUGUUGGAAAAAAAAAAUUCAAAACUGCUUUGCAAUAGAACUAUAUGUCAUAGAGGUGUAGGUUUCUGAUUUUUUUUCUUUUUUCUUUUCUAUCUAAUCUCUAAUCUCAGCUUUCACAGUUUACCUGCUUUGAUUUUGCAAUUUGUCAAAUUGUUCAUUAAAAUUUAUAAUUUAAACAACAGCGACUAAUUAAUUAGUAAUUACGCGCUUCAAGUUCAACCCGACCGAGGAAUUCGACAGUUAUAACUGUUCAGAUCGGGAAAUGAGGGGCGAAAUAGUCAUUUCACACAAAAUAUCUCACCCAGCUAAAGAUAACACCCCCUCGAUUCCUUCCUUCACCUUUACGACUUAUCCCAGCCGCCCAUUUGUUCAGAUCCUUUUCUUAUCCAAUAAGAAUUAAAUAAAAUUCUAAAAUUCCGCGAAUAAAUAAAUAAAAUUUUUAAAUAAUAAAUAUCUCUCGAUAAAACCUCCAGGAGGAAGAAGGGGAAGCGAGCAUCGAGCGAAGUGAGCGGGGGAGCGGGAGCGAUCGACACCCUCCCGAAGCCCUAAGGUCUAGGGUUUCGGUUAGGGCUGUUAGGGUUAGCGUCUUGGGGGACGGCGAUGGCGCAGGGGAGGAGGCAAACGGGGACGGUGAAGUGGUUCAACGGCUCCAAAGGGUUCGGAUUCAUCACCCCGGAUGGAGGCGGCGACGAUCUCUUCGUCCACCAGACCUCGAUCCGCGCCGACGGGUUCCGGGCACUCUCCGAGGGCGACGCCGUCGAGUUCGCCGUCGAGCGCGGCGACGACGGCCGGACGAAGGCCGUCGACGUCACCGGCCCCGACGGCUCCCCCAUCACCUCCGGCGGCGGUGGCGGAGUUGGUGGUGGUGGUGGUGGGAGGGGUUUCUCGAGGGGUAGAUCUGGGGGCUACGGCGGUGGGGGGUAUGGUGGAGGGGGAUAUGGUGGGGGAGGGUAUGGAAAGGUUUCGAGGGGUGGAGGGAGGGGUGGGAGGACGGGUGGCGGUGCCGGUGCCGGUGGCGGUGCCGGUGGCCUGUGUUACAACUGCGGCCGCAGCGGGCAUUUGGCGAGGGAUUGCUACCAGGGAGGCGGCGGCGGUGGCGGUGUUGGUGGGGGAGGGAGGUACGGUGGUUACGGCGGCGGCGGUGGGUAUUCAAGCGGCGGCGGCGGCGGCGGCGGCGGCGGCGGCAGGGGAUGUUACAACUGUGGAGAGGUUGGGCAUUUUGCAAGGGACUGCCCUAACGGGAACUAAGAAUAAUAGUAUCGUGCCUCUUCUAAAUGAUAUAGUUUUGUGAUAUUCAUCUCUUUCUCUUCCUUUUUUAACCCUUGUGAUUGUCUAUUUUGUAUCUGGUGGAUAAUACUAUAUUUUCAAGGUGAUGGUCUUAUUUUGGGUUUCUGAUGAGCUUCUACUACAUGUUUAUCUUUCGAUAUAGUGAUGAAAUGAAUUCUUUUUGGCACUUCAAUUAACUGUUUCUUUUGUCGGCCUUUUGCGUUUCAAAUUUUCUUGUUUCCUUAGUUCAUAAAGCACAUAAGAAAGUGCUUGUGAUUACAAACGAACAGGUGGAUCAGUAGAGCUUCAGUAAUCAUCCAUCAAUUGAUAGGGAAAGCUACUCCUAAUUUAUUUCUGAGGGUUAAUAUGCAGAUUUCUAACAGGAACCUUAAAAUUUUCAAGCUGGUCAAUGGUGUGAUUAGUGAUUACAUGAGUAUGAAGUUUUUCCUUGGGAUGGGGAAACCUUUAUAAUUUUGCAUAGUAAAUCUCUUUGAUCAGGGCCCAUGCACUGGUAAGAUCUCCAUGAUUGUCAUGGUGCGGAUUACUUGGUAUAUUCAUGGAUUGUUGGUAGCACGUACCCAUAUGUACUCCUUGUGCAUUGUUUUAUCUUAUAAAAUCUGCACAUAUACUUUUUAGGGCCCUGUUUAGUAUAAUUUCUGCUAAUUUUCUUUUGUUUUACUUGUAAGCUGAUGCUAAUCGGAACUAAGUGUGGUUUCUUAUAGCUUUAUAGUAUUAGUUUCAUUACCGAAUUGGUUAGUUCAUAAACUUCAAGUAAUUAUCGAUCAGACGGGACAGACCUCUCUGGUAACACUGAUAGCAUUUCUUGUGUAUAUGCCCCUUGUGAUUGCAUUAUUGCUGCAUUUCGUUGGUCCUGGUUCGUUCAACAAUAUGACCACAUUGAUUCUUAAAACCUCUUUUUAUUUGUAUCGUAAUUUUUUGUACGACUUAUUAUAUUUGCGUCAGUUUAGUAUUUAAACUUUUUUUUUAAUCAUUGCUCAGUCCUCUAUUCAAUUCUUUCUUGCUUGUUGAAUGAUAAACCUCCUUUACUAUAUACUAUAGUAGCUCAUGCCAUGAUUUUUGACCCAGUCCUAUUUCACCAAAAAAAAAACCCCACUGGGUCAGUACAUUUCGCUAGUAAUGCUAACAAGGUCCCAUUAUCAUGUAGUCUUGUAAUAAGUUAUUCCAUAAUUUCACGAUAGUGCCAAACUGUUAUGCAGUAUCGGCUAGGUUGCAUUUUACAGUAAAAAGGCCAUGAACUUGUUAUGCAUUAAUGUUUCGCAGCUUAUUUCUAAUGAAACUUGUUAUUUCUGAUAGUAUAGUACAUAAAUUGAAUCUCAGUGAUCUUUGAUCUCACUCAUUUAAAUAUUUUUGUGAGGCGUGCUUCCACGUCUAUGGAGGAAAUAAGGUGGUUUACGAAGAAUUUACAUUUUAGAUAUGAUAACCUGAUUGAAACUCCCCUGCAUGAUUGAAGGCUCCUGUAGAACGAAGUGCUUUUAGUUGGUCAUCUUGUUUCCCUCUUUAUAUUAAAACUUUGAAGGUGAUGCCAUCAUAGUUUGUCGCUGAGCACAGCUUCUACGCUCGGACCGAGGCUAUCAACAUUACUAGCAUCCUCUGUGUCCCCUAUAUAUGUUUAUUAUGGAAAUGCUUGUAAGGGCUUUGCUAAGUAUUUCUUUUCAGGUUAGCUAUAUAUUUUAUGGCAAUUUUGCUAGUUAGUACAUGGUUGGGGCUUAUUAUGUAACAAUGGUACUUGUAGACGUGUUACAAUGGAGCGCCAAGGUGUAGCAUUUAGUCCUUUUGCAGAUGGUAGGACACAAUUGUAAUCCUUUCCUGAUUUUCUUACUGGUUUUUAGGAUUUUCUUGAGUGGUUUUAUUAUUCUCAAACUGUAGUCUAACUGUGUGUAAUUUUAUGCUUUUGGUAUUUCAUUUAUUUUUUACACUUAAUAAUGAUUUCUUAUGUGUUACUCCGGUGUAUUUGUGUUUGUUAUUCUUUUUUUGUAGUAUUCUGCAUGAUGCCUGCACGCGUUAUUGUAAAAGUCAUCAAGCUACUUUAAUUAGUGCUUAAAGAUGCUCUAGGUUCUCCACUUGAUAUAUGCUCUCGUAUAGUCUAUUUGGAACAAAUAUUUUCUGAGAACAUUGUUUUUCUUAGAUAUUUUGGUACAACCUACAAGUUUUAUGACAAAAAAAAUUAAACUUUUGCGUAUUCAUUUAUUGUUUUUCAAAAAUAUCAGGAAUGCCAUCAAGUCAUAAUAGAACUACUUAAUACUGACAGUAAUCGCUUUAAAUCAAUGAAUGGAUUUGUUAUAGCACUGUUGUAAAUAAAUGAAAAAGAACUCACUAUCAUUAAGAACUGAGGUUAUCAAUCUACCUCUUAGAGAUACUGAUGAAAAAGGGUUACAUUAAAGAAAGAUUUAGAGUUGUAUACAUGGAGAUAUCACAUUGUUUUGAUCUCAGAGUAAGCCCAGUAAGGCCCACUAUGUCAAGGCCUGAUGAUAGAGAAAGUGGGCUGAAUAAGAUGGCCGUGGAUACCGGUAAUGGAUACUUGAUGCAGCUAUUCAUGCAGGAUAAGUAAUCGACAGGACAUCAUAAUCAGUAUAGCUUCUUAUCUCUUAUUUAUCUGUAUGAUGUAGAACUUCAGUAGCUCAUUGAACUAGGAAUAAUUCUCUAAUCACCAACAAACUAGGAGUAUUGCUAUACUGUACCUUUGAAAAUACUCCAAAUGUUGCUGAUGAGUUUGCAUAUACAUGUGAUAGCUAGUUGUUGGUUUACUUUUUAAAUUUCAAGUAUGACAUAGAGCAACCUGGUAGGUCCGACAACUUGAUAGUGUUAUGCCCUUCUAUGAUCCCGAUAUACUGAAAUCAAACAAAGAAGUUACCCUUUGCUGAGAUCUAGUAUUUGUACCGCAUGUAUAUGACUCCACCCUUCAGGAAGAACCAUUCUCUUUGUGGGUCCUACCAUGGGCUUCAUAGCGUGGGCAUCUAUGGUGAUUCAGAGCAUCUAUUCAGUGCUUUGAGUAGGGAGGUGAAAGAUUUUUCCUCUUUUGUUUAUUGAUAGAUGCUGUGAGCUGUAUUACUGUAGUAAUAGUUGUUUGAUUCUGCUAUAUAUGCUUUUCAUGCUUAACUUGAUAUUAUUGUCCUCUUGCUUUACAGUGAGCAGCUGCUUAUGAAAAGCAAGGCAAUGUCAGGUGCAGAGAUCUAAUCAGGAGAACACAAACCUGUACUUUUCAAAGACAACAGAAAUUGUACGUCUUCUCUUGUGAUCUUGUUUAACAUUCUAAUCCCUUUUUAAUGGUGCUUUAGUUCUGUAGUCCUGACAAUUUCUAGCAGGAUAGUUGUUUCUACUUGCUACCUCGGGAUGGCCAUGAAUAAAUCAGUUUGAUAUUCAGUUUAUGUUGCACAAUAAAAAAUAAGCACAGCACUAACUGUUUUUCACCUAAUCUCUCAGUAUAUAUGAUAUGUAAAUUGGUAAAUGUGGUUCUGCGGAUAUUGUUAUCCUCUAAUGUAAAAUACUUUGUCUACUAAUAUAUACUUGCAUGGGAAUAGAAUAAUCCACCCAACUAGCUUAUUUGAAGGGUGUGUCAGGCCCGCAUAAUGGAUUGAUCACAAAGUGCUCUUCUAUGUAAAAAAAAAAGGUCAUAACAUUACCCACAUCCUUUACUAUGUAUUUAUGCGAUCUACAAGACAUAUUGGGUAUUCACGUGUAACUAGUAUCGCACAUGUAUACAAGGGUUUUUUACAAACUUAUCCAUAGACUUGGUUAGUCGUCGUGUUCCGAAUCUACAUAGCAUGGUAUUUGUAGGAUGCUCAGAGGCAACAUGGCUACAAGGUACAAGAAAACAAAGAGAUUAUGGCGUGGCUCGAUUGACCUUUAAUUUGAAUAACUAGAGGAAGGGGCUUCCUCUCCUCAUGCAUGUGCCUGGAUUCCAUAGAUGUUUGCAUGUAUAUGUUAAUUUAAUUUAUAUAUUAAUGUAGCUACAAAAGUAUUCAUGGAUACAACGCAAUUUCGUGGGCAUCAACCCCGACAGGAGAGGCCAUGUAUAUUUUGGAACUGCAUGGAUUAUUUUUCUUUAGUAAAUUUUUUGUAGUUCCGAUUCGGUGGAUAAUUUGUGGUCGGCGAAAUUUACAAACCAUCAAAACGAUACCCGUGACAAAUGUUAUUCAGGGUAGGACACGAGCGCUGGAAUCUAUCUAGCAUUUGGGGUGUGGAGUUUUUGAUGUUUUCGCAUAGCAACAACACAUACUUGUAUUGCUCUUUUACAGUUCAAUUCACCAUCUAUGACCAAUCUUUCAUAUUAUGUUUUGCGAAUUGAUUUGCUAAUGCUCUCAUGAAAAUAUUUAGUUUCGUGGCUAAAUAAUGUUGUUUGCAUCAAGAAACAAGGAUUGGAAAGGUGCAAGAUCAUGAAAGAUCUUUUUGGUUACUUUAUUUCGUUCCUUGUGCUUUGAAUCUUUCUGGAGCUUUUGCAACGUUCCAAUAAAUGGAGGGUCCCCAGUCCCCGUUAAAAAGAAGUGGCCAUGGCUACGGACACGAAGAUAAGUUUUCAUUUCCAGAGGCCCAGCCAUUAGCUUUGGCAUCACAUGAUACUGUGGGUAAUAGUUUGAGAUUUGGAACCCACCAAUUGGGUGUUUCCUUUACGUGUCCAUACUCUGGCUAUAUCUUGUUGAUGGUUACUUAUGAAUGAUGAGAUUUUUUUUUCUUUUUCUUUUUCUUUUUCUUAAAAAAUCUAUCUUUCUUAUCCUUCUCAUAUUUUUGGGUGCCUCUCCAUGUACAAAUUCGGAUCAAUCCGACACAAUUUAUUUUAAAAAAAUUAGGACUUAUUUGGCUACGUUGGAAUUUUUCAGAGUACAAAUGCAGAUUUCUCAUAAUGUUGUUCUUAGAAAUUAUUAAUGUGUUCGAGACAUAUGGUAUGGAGGUCUUUGAUUGAUUUCUGCGUAGAGUCUAAAAAGUGUCACGUAUGUUUGUUAAUACGUUUUGUGAUUUAAGAAUAUCAUUCGGGGAGAACUAAAGAAUUUUCUUUUAAAAAAUUAUUAACUUCCUUAUUGUGUUUUAAACCAGCAUUGAGCACAAUUAUUUUCAUGGAAAUAUAUUUUAUAUUUAUUUUAGCUAUUGCAGCACUUAAAGCUUUGAAUUAAAUCUCUUGCACACCCUUUUGGUGUUAAAAAUUUUAUUGGAGCUUCUUUUCCACUUAUAAAGUAUAUAUAGUAUAUAUAUAUAUAUAUUAUAUGAUAUAUAUAUUAUGUAAUAGUAUAUAAUAUAUUAUACUCUCGGUGCUUCUAAGUUUCUAACCUUUGAAUCUACUCCUUAAUUACUAAUAGCCUUUGAUCAAAUAUUAUUUCACUUACCACCAUUUACUAUCAUCAUCUCAACCUCACAUCACUCCAUCAAAUGGCUAAAAAUUCAAAAGCACCACACUCAUGAUACUUUUGAGAGUAUUCUAGUUCAACUCUCUCUCUCUCUCUCUCUCUCUCUCUCUCUAUAUAUAUAUAUAUAUAUAUAGAGUUGUGCUGGUAUGCUUAUGGAAGCACGGAGGCCUCCGUGCUUCUAAGUUGUUUUCGAUGUUCAGACUUUCGAAUCGACGAUCGGUUUCGUUAGAGUUGAUCUAGAGUAUUUGAAGUACCUAGAAAAUAAAUUUUGCGAUUUUUCGAUAUCAUUUGCCUAAUGAUCAAAGGGGCUCAAAAUCAAUAAUUUUAAUAGCCGUGAUGAGCCGGUUGUAAGUUUAACGGUGUAGAAAUAUCCAAAUCACGUGAAAUUUUGAUAAAAAAUUCUUUAUACUAUAUAAAAUAAGAUCAAUAUUUUUGAUCUAAAUUUUUAAUGUCAUAUCAUCACAUUUUGUGAGAUUUUUAUUUUCAGCCGUUGAUUUUGAGCCCCUUCGAUCACUAGGCAAAUAAUAUCGAAAAAUCGCAAAAUUUAUUUUUUAGGUACUUUAAAUACUCUAAAUCAAGUCUAACAGUGUGUGUAUAUAUAUAUAUAUAUAUAUAUAUAUUGUUGAUUACUAAAUUUUAAAUUAAAAAUUUAGUUUCAAAAAUUAUAACAGCUUAAAUGCUGCCAUUUUUCAAUAGCGACAAUGAAAGGACAGUGAGGUACGCAGGGAGUGUGCUGUAAUUUCACAUGCCAUGUAGCAUUCAUAGCCUCGUUAGUCCUAAAAGCGGUGAAAGCUAAUGCUAUUAAAUGUUUGGUACGUAGCUUUCUUUUUCCCUCGCUCCUGUCUAUCUCUAAAUGCAAAUUUUUACUCUUGCAUGUAAAUUUGUUUGCGCAAAAUGGUGAGUGGAUGAGAGCAUCAUAUUAGGUUCUUUUACUUGUGAGCUGUUUAGUUUUAAAAUGAGAAUUAACACCUUAUCAAAAUAUGCGCCUUUCAUUGUCAAAGUUUAAAAAAGAAAGACCAAGUCUUAUUAAAUUCAAUUCUAGCUAGAUAAGAAAUAUCUGUUCUGAAAACAUCAAUAAAAAGCUGCAGCAAUAGUAAAAUAUUCCCUUUGGAAUGGAUUCAUUUGUAUGUUCUAGAAAAGUUAGUGACACCUGAAUUAUACGUCUAUACACAAGGAAUGAUGCUUUCUUGUGCCACUACACCAAAAACGGUUUAUGGCGACACUUUUAAAUAUAGAUACAUGUCAAAAAAAUGCUGCUAGCUAAAAUUACCGACACUUUUAAAAAAUGUUGCUAUAUGUGGGGUCGCUGGGUAUAUAGUGACAGUUAAAGAGUGUCGCUAUAAUCUAAAAGAGUGCUGCUAAUUUACCAACACUUAUUUAAGCAUUUAGCAACCGCCAAAACUCUAUCUCGUUGGCUGUGGUGGCAGAGGAGGACGACAGUAAAGGCUCUUCGUCUAGAAUUUCAGUGGAUUAAGUGAAGAGAGAAGAAAAGAUGGUAAUUGAUUUUUUUUUUUUCUUUUCUGUUUGUAAUCAGGCCAAAUGGACUGGGUGUGGUGGGUUGAGUAGAGUAAUCUUUUAUUUUUGAUUGGAUUGGGCUUUAUAUUUAGGCAUUAGUAGAUGUGUUUUUAAGUUUUAGCAUAAAUGGGACACUUACUCAAAAAUGUUCCAAACAUGUGUCCUUAUAAUCUAAUUCUGUUGUAGUGUGCCUUCACCAAGAAUGAGCCAUGGAUACACAAUGAGAAAUCAAAUGACCACUGAAGGGAACAAUACUCCACUUUGUGCAACU